RNAcentral lists this long non-coding RNA (139282 nucleotides) under Setaria italica (foxtail millet). Its description in RNAcentral is "long non-coding RNA (SITA_LNC004628)". Lineage: Eukaryota; Viridiplantae; Streptophyta; Magnoliopsida; Poales; Poaceae. The record is from RNAcentral.
GCGAACGAUGCCGUUGAGAGUUGCGACCAAGCCUGCUCUAGCUUCUGCAGCGUGCAUGUUGGCAGCGCCACCGUGGUUGCUUAAGCAAAUGCAUCCAACUAGAUCGUCCUUGUGCUGAAUAAUUGGAUAUCGUAUCCACUUAAAGCUGCCUUGUGUAGUACGUCUUUGUGUCUCUCUUUAUAUUCCAAUAAGGUCGGUGAUCUUGAUGCCACACACUCAGAUGUGUGUUCAUCUCCAGAUACUACUCCAUGCUACCUGCCCUUUGUGUUUUGUUCAAUAACUGGGUAUCAUAUCCCAACCAGUAUGCCGUCUGUUUUGUGUUUGUUUCCUUCUAGUUCCAAAAGGGUCAUCAUGAUGUUACCUUCUUUCAAUAUGGUGCUUUGCAUGACUACUAUUGUAUGGUACCAUCUUGUGGCCAAUAAGUACAUCUUAUCCUAUGACCUUUGCUAUGACCCUUUGCAAAUAAGUAGAAGAUUGUUAUAAGCGUCAAUACUCCUUAUAAAUUGAUCGCUGCUGUGAGUUCCCUUUCAGCUUAUCGUAGGCAUACAUUAUUGCUAGCACGGUAAAGCCAAUCAACACGAAUGAUGAAGUAAAUGUAGCGGUACUUCUGUAUACCAACACCCUUACUUAAAUGUACCGGUGUCAUUCCCUACUGGCACAUAUAUUCUUAUAUGCUAGCCAGCUUGUAAAAUUAACCAAUUAAAAUAAUUAAUUCAAGAUAGAAAUAACUUAUCGGCUUCUCGAAGCAUGUGUAAUAUGAAUCGCUUCAUCUAUAUUGCUUUCAGGAUUUUGGGUAACUAAAUUUAACAUUUGCACAUACAAAUGUUAAAGUACAAAUGUUAAAUCUAGUUACCCAAGCAGAAUAUGAAUAUACUCUAUAGUAUAUAUAUACUAUAUAAAUCUAGUUAACAUUUAGUCUAAAUGUUAAAUCUAGUUACCUAAAAUCCUGAAAGCAAAAUGUAUAAAUAUAUAUCUUUUAAGGCAGUAUAAGCUUCGAUUCCUAUUGCUGCUCUGUUAAAUCUCAUCUUUCGUUGUGGCCCAACACUCUAGUAUGUAUGUUGCACCAAGCUUCCUUGAGCCGCUCUGCCCUCUGAUUUUGCUGCGUAGGGGAAUCUUUAUCAGGUUGGGCUGCUUCCAGUCAUACGAUGUGUGGCUUCAUAUCUUCUACAAGUUAGACAGGAAACCCGCGUUCUGGAAGAUUCUGCAACGUGCACGUUGGCGCUGCCACCGUGGUUGCUUAAGCAAAUGCAUCCAACUGAAUCGUCCUUGUGCUAAAUAAUUGGAUAUCGUAUCCACUGCUUAAAGCUGCCAUGUUUAGUACAUCUUUGUUUUUCUCUCUUUAUAUUCCAAUAAGGUCGGUGAUCUUGAUGCCACACACUCAGAUGUGUGUUCAUCUUCGGAUACUACUCCAUGCUACCUGCCCUUUGUGUUUUGUUCAAUAACUGGGUAUCAUAUCCUAGUCAGUGUGCCAUCUGUUUUGUGUUUGUUUCCUUCUAGUUCCAAAGGGGUUAUCAUGAUGUUACCUUCUUUUGAGGUGUCUAUGACUUUGUUAAUAUCAAUAUUAACCAAUUCAAUCUAUCUUAACUAUUUGUAAGGGGUAUGAUGUAUGCAUGAUUAUAACAAUGAUUGCGCAUACAAUCACUGCCAAAGAAACGGUCAAUACCAUAAAGACAUAUUACAGACAAUUCUCAUAAUUUAUAAUGAAUAUACAUAUUCACUACUGCAGAGACUGUCAUUUGUAUCAGCUCAUACGUGCCAGGGCAAAGGUCACCCUUGCAUUAAAAGUACAUUUGCACGGUAAAGAUAACCAACACGAAUAAUGAAGUAAACAUGCCGGUGCUUUUGUACACCAACACGCUUACUUAAAUGUACUGGUGUCAUUCCUCACCGGUAGCCGGCUUGAAAAUUAACCAAUUAGAACAAUUAUUUAUUGUAUCGGUGUGAAUUUUGACCUAUUGGAAUAUGAAUUUGACCGUUACUGCAUUCGUCAAGACUCAAGAGAGAAAUAACUGAUCGGCUUCUUAGAGCGUGUGCAAUGUGAAAUCAAGGACUGGAUGGAAGUUGAAGCGCUAGCUUCAUCUUCCGCUGCAUGUUAAUUGCUUGGAUAAGAAGUUGUAGCCGCGUAUAUAAAUAGUCCCGCUGAUGCUGUGCUCCGAAGUCUAUACUAUAUAUGCGAAAACUAGAUUGCUUUCAGGAUUUUGGGUAACUAAAUUUAACAUUUGUACAUAAAAAUGUUAGUUUACGAAUGUUAAAUCUAGUUACCCAAGCAGAACAAGAAGAUAGUAUAUACUAUAUACUAUGUAAAUCAAGUUAACAUUUAGUCUAAAUGUUAUAUCUACUUACCCAAAAUCUUGAAAGCAAAGAAAGAAUAAGUAUAUAUCUUUUGUUGGAAAAUUGGUCCACGGAGAGUGGCCUCGUUCGUUUCACCGGGAUGGAAUUCCAGUCAGGAUUACUUCCAAGUCCGGUUUAAGUGAUUCCACCCAUGUCACUCAAUUCGGCUAGGAUUCAUUCCAGGGGUGAGGAGGUAUGGUUUCAAUCCGGGCCAUCUAAUGUAGAAGGAUUCCAAUCCAGGCCGGUUUUCGUUCUAGGCUAGACUAAAACGAACAACACUUUCAAUGCAAGUCUGGUUUCAAACCGGGCCACUUCAAACCACCCGGAAUGGACCUCAUUCCGGGCCAAUCCGGUGAUAACAAACGAGGCCUUAAUGGAAUCCCAAAGCAAGAGUUCAGUGGCAUUCUAUAGUCCCAUGCUGCUAGUUUGAGUUGGUCGAAGCCAACUUAAAUAGGAGAGCUCUCUCACUUCUCUAAAAAUGUAACUGAAGGAGAGAAGGGGGCUUGGGUUACACAACGCACGCACGCACGCAUAUUUGCAUUCUUUUCGCGUAACCGACCGCGUGACUUGAAACUUGCGACGUAGCGUGCUGCUAAGUCAAGUUGAUAUAACCUUUUUGCCGUUUGCGUGUAAUCUUUUGACAACGGUCAUUGGAGGUGAUAAGCACGCAGUCAAUACCUUAAUCCUGAGUUAAUAGGGCGGUUACUACUGCCAAUUAGUGCAGCAAUUUUGUAGGGGAAACGGUUAGCAGAGGGCUACCGUCUUCUCUAUAAGAAGUUUUGGAGACGUUCAGGAACACACAUGUACAUGUGAGAGACCCACGGAUUCCUUCCCUUCUCCCUUUUCCAUCUGGUGAAGUGUGCUAUGGUACUGAGCUGCUGGAUCUCGCCGGCUCUUCUCCUUGGCGUGCACCGAGGAGGAGGGUGAGCGGUAUCUCUGAGCUAUUGCCGUCAGGAAGCCUGCACGAGGGACAACAAUAAAGUUUUUAGGUAGCGCCUGCCUAAUCUUCGAUCUGCACUGCAACGUGUAACCCUGCAGCAACUCUACACGAGGACGGAGCACUAAUCUGUAAGUCCUAGAUUGGUUUCUUACAUAGUUGUAGGUUACACAAGAUCUAGAAUGGUUACAUACCAAUUAUUAUGGGUUACAUGAUGUUUUGUACGGUUUCGUCUAUUUUGCAUAUGCUAUUUUUUCUAUUUUGCAUAUGCUAUUUUUACAUACCGUUUACAUGCAUAUGUUAAUGGUUACACCUAGCUAUUUGAAUCUAGAAUUGGGUUACAUAGCAGUAGCAAUGAGUUACGUAAUAUGCCUCACGUUUAUAUCUGGUAGAAUUUAACACGUAUCUCCAACAUAUUUUGAGGCAGUAUAAAUUUCAAUUCCUUUUGCUGCUCUGUUAAAUCCCGUCUUUCGUUGUGGCCCAACACUCUAGUAUGCAUGUAGCACCAAGCUUGUUUGAGCCGCUUUGUGCUUUGAUUUUGCUGCGUAGGGGAAUCUGUAUCAGGUUGGACUGUUUCUUUGUCUUGCGAUGUAUAGCUUCAUAUCUUCUAGAGGUUAGACAGCAAAACCCGCAUUCUCUUAAGGCAACAACCCGAAGAAUCUGCAGCGCCUCUGAUAUAUCACUGCUGCAGAAACGAUCUUUAGUACUGAUCUCCAACCCUCUUUAGUAUCGGUUGGGCAACCAGUACCACUAUGUCGGUACUAAAGGGAGUUCUCUAGAAUCGGAUCAAAUAACCGGUACUAAAAGGGCUCCUUUACUACCGGUUGGUAACAACAAUAGGUAGUGACUUUUUUGCACCCAAAAAAUUAAAGAAUAACAGCCGGGAGGCUCGCACACACACGCAUCAUGAGUAAUAUGCGCGUGCAUGGUUUGUGGGAUUUCAACCCACGACCAAGCUAUAAGAACGUAGUUACAACAAAUCAAACACUUAGACAUUUUAGAGCAUCCCAAAUAACUACAAAUUCUAUAGUUUACCAUAUACCAUAAAAUAUUAGUUAAAAUAAGAGCAUACACAUGUCGGAAGAGUCCCAAUGCACCGGUUGAGGAUCAGACCAGGCACUUUGAAUGCACAUGCCAUAAGAUAAUUCUGCAGGACAAUGAUUGCAAUAAUGGACCAUCGAGAAGAUAGGGGCGAUGGGGUUGCCUCAUCAAUUAUCACUUGGCGCAACAAGACCAGCAAAGUCUUUAUCGACAGGGGUGGAUCAAGGGGUGGGGCAGGCAGAGCUCCAGUCCUCCUACCGCCGCUCGAACAAUGGAGCCCCCUUAGCCCCUCCAUAAAUUUUUAGGUAGAAGAAAAAAGAAGAGAAGGGAAGCAAGGGGAAGAAGAGGGAGCCCCUACUAAGUAGGUCGCCAUCGUGCUUCCCAACGCAUGAUCGCCGCACCGCAUCCAUUCCUCUACAAGCCUUCAGCGUCUCUCCCGCCGCUACCUCUGAACCAUGUGCAGCUAUAGACCCAACUAGUGUGUUGUCGCCCAUCUCAGUCCCAACAGAGCGGCGGCGGCUGCCAACACAAAUCUCCCUCCGCCUCUUCUUCACGGUCGAUGGCCGCCACAAGCAUAAACCUCGCCUUCGCAUCCAAGCAAAAGGGUCGUUGGGGUGCCUUCUUGCAUCACUUCUCAGCCUCCUUCACUUGCGGCCAGCGAAGAACUGCGCCACCACCUCGGGUGCGUGCCACCACUCCAGGGCCGCUACCCCAUGCCUGCGGCCGCCACCGGCCACCACGCGUGUGCAACCGCGUUGCACCGCUUCCCUGCUUUGUGCCACCACUACUGCUGUACCACCAGCUCCACCACCUUGGGAUGGUCGCCAGGGUGACUGAUUGGUGGAUUAUUACUAAAAAUAAGUUCCUUAUUAUCUGCAACUACUAUUAACUCAGAGAUACAUGCGUCUUUUCCUUCUCCUGCUAAUAGGUCCUAAAAUAUCUAGGAUGCUUUAUAUUUCUGGACAGAGGAAGUAUUUGAAUAAAAUGAACCAAUUUAAAAAAAAUGUGUUGUACACUACUACAGAAAGACCUAUCAGUGUCAAACCCAAAAAUGUCGUCACCGCCAGUUUUAGGCAUCGUUGGUGAAAGGUUGGCGGUGAUGGGCAUCCCCUUCAACAACGGCACUGGAGCCGACGGUGAUUGACAUUAGAAAACAAAAAAGGGAACCCCACCUAGCCACCCCUGCAACCCAGCCGGCCGUGCCUCCCCUCAUGCCCACCACCUCGCCUCCCCCGUGACCCCCCGCCGGCGCCCUUGUGCCUAGCCCCCUCGCCUGCCCGGCCGGCCACCCUCGUCAUGAGAGAGAGAGGUGCAUGUUGUAUAAUUGCGUGAAUUUUUGAAUGUUUAAUUUUAUGUAAGUUCCAUGUAAUAAAUUGUACAAGUUUUAUUGUAUAUAUGAAUUCCAUAUAUAUAUAUUUAUAAUUUAAUGUAUGGUUUCAUGUGUAUAUUUCAAUCAUGUGUAUAAUUAGUAGAUUGCCGAUUUUCUUUUUCUACUAGACAAGGGUUGAUGUAUAAUUACGUGUAUAUGUUUAUUGUAUGGGCAAUUAGGACAAGUUUUGUAUAAAUUUCUUUUAUUUCAUGGUUGUUGUAUGGUUUCAUGUAUAUACAUUUAUUGUACUACUUGAGACAAUUUUAAUUUAAUAUUUCUAUGAUUACAUGUGUGUAUAACUAAUUGUAUUAUUAGUUAAGAUGGGAGCCAAAGAGGAUGAAAGGUAUAUAAUAGAGUAGAUUAUUGCUGGCGGUAGUGGCUCAAACGUUGCAAGAACCUACACCGAGGGUGAGGGUAGCUAGGUGGACAUGUACCUCAACAUGUCCAGUGAUGGCAAUGACGAUGAGGAGCACGAGCAUGACGUCUAUGAUAAUGCGGAACAAGACAUUGCAGAAUUGGAAGGUUCUAAUGAGGUGUGCUUCAUGUUGACGAUCUAGUUGGCUUUUUUUCUUUGGUCACACCUUAGUUACCAUAGAACUUCGUCUCGGGAGAAGAUUGGUGGUGCUAUGGUGAUUGGAAUUUUAUUGCCUCCAAAUUUGAUUUCCAUCGAAUCAUAUCCCUUGUAUUUAUCUUCUUUUUAUUUGUGAGAGCAUCUUCUUUAUGCUUGCAAAACAAUUCAAGUGCACAUACUACCCCUAGGGUGAUGAUUGGGAGUAGAAACAAUUGCCAACAAAACAACACCACAUCCUAAGAUUCUUAACUUGUGGCAUAAUUAAUCUAGUGAAAAGAAAGAUAAAAACCUAAUGGGUGUACGUGAGUGCAAUGUGUAUAUGCAUAUGAGUGGAAGGCAUAUAAGCAAAGACAAUAUUUACACAUAGUUCUAAACACGAUGUUUACAGCUAGGUUGCUGAAUUUCUCCAUAGCUAUAGAGAUUAAUUAACCAAGGUCAAAACACGAUGUCUAUCCCAAGAUCAGUAAUUCUUUAUAGCACAAGAAAAAGAAAGCGCAUUGCAAAGUUUAUAAACCAACCAAUACAGCAUGAAAACAAGAUGAAUAGCUAGCAAGGUUUAUUAAAUUGAAUGAUGACGGUCUGCAAGCAAGUUUGAACACCAUCUUUACACAAGAUUGCAAAUGGAAAAUGCCCAUAUGAAGCACUAACAUGGAUAUGAAAUCAUUCAUCAUAAAGCGUAAAGAACAACCAAGUAGUUUUUAAUGGCAUAUACAUGUAUAAUAUAGUUUAGGUGCUAAAAUUGAUAUUCACAGCUAUUUUGGGCUCCAAUUCGCGUCCAAACCAACCUAGCCCACAGACCACACCCGGCCGGCCAGCUCAUCGGCCCAUCUAGUCACUGAUCCUUCCACCACCACACUCAGCCCAUCAGUCGGUCAGGUCCCGAGCUCCUGCCUGACCUAGUCCGCUACCGCCGCCAGGCGCCAAGCACAGCCGUACGCACUGCACCGCCCCCGUCCACCCAUGUCCGCUGCGCGGCAAAGCCGCGCCCCCCAGCCCCCGCGGUGAGAUCUCGACGCCCGCUGCCGCCAGACCCCAUUAGGCCUCCACCGGCAAGUCCACCCACAGUCCCACACGACCUAGUCCGCUNNNNNNNNNNNNNNNNNNNNNNNNNNNNNNNNNNNNNNNNNNNNNNNNNNNNNNNNNNNNNNNNNNNNNNNNNNNNNNNNNNNNNNNNNNNNNNNNNNNNNNNNNNNNNNNNNNNNNNNNNNNNNNNNNNNNNNNNNNNNNNNNNNNNNNNNNNNNNNNNNNNNNNNNNNNNNNNNNNNNNNNNNNNNNNNNNNNNNNNNNNNNNNNNNNNNNNNNNNNNNNNNNNNNNNNNNNNNNNNNNNNNNNNNNNNNNNNNNNNNNNNNNNNNNNNNNCCCCCCCUCCACCAGGACUGCUUGUUGGCCCCCACCGCGAGGUAAUCAAAAUGGACGGCUCAAUCACUCAAUCUGUUGACAUGAUGCACACGGUUGCAAAAAUAGAUGUGUCAAAAUAGAUAUAUUGCUAAUUGCUAUAGAUGCAUACGGUUGACAUGAAGAAGUUAAAAAUGACAUUUGGUUCCUUGUAGGCAGUCAAAAAUGAAGUCAAAAAAUAUUGAUCUGAAAUCAAUGUGGGAAAGGGCUACGAAGACACACAGAUUCCCUUGUGAACUUUUUAUGUCAUUCGUCUAAAUAUUUUUUUGCAAUGGGCAUACCCUACUCUGAAAUCCUGGGUCUGCCACUGAUGAUGAUGGUCUAAACAUAAAACAAGCCAAGAUUAAUUAGCCACAACUGAAAUUAAACAAAGGUUAAUGUCAUUGACCCUAGCUCUAUCCUAGCUUUUACAAAAGUCCCGGCACAUAUAGUGGUUGGGCCCACUCUCUCUGCUUCCCUCUCUGCUGCAUGCAUGCACACGAGCAACGGGAGGCCCCACAAAGCCCAGAAGGGUUCGGCUGAACCCGGCCGAUCCAAUCUGAGCACCACUCCCUCCCAGCCUUCGCGCAGAUGCUCCUCCAACAUUCCUUGACCCCUCCCUCAGCGUCCCAUUGGGUUUAACAUUGCAGGAGAGGAGUCCCUUUUUUAAAAUCUCAACCACCUCCUCUCCUCAUUCACUCCACUCUCAUCUCCAUCAAACUCACCAAGAUCCACAUCGGAAAUCCCUGCUUACCACCAUGGCUGGCAAAGCCCUCGUCCCUUUCACCAACUUGGGCUUAACCAUUGAUCUCGAUGGGGAAAUCACUCCGGAAAUAGGGCAGUGACCCAGAGCAAAGGUGAUGCCAGAGUGUAGAUAGCAGUUAGCAUGCCAAAUUGUGAACCGCAAGCGCUCGGAUUAGUUGUUUUUUUUCCCUUAGAGAUUCCCCCAAGGUUUAUCAAUCCAUGGAACAAGGGAUUUGCACAUUUCACUAAGCAUUAAUCAAUGUAAUUGAAAGCUUUUUGAAUAAGAUAUGAUUAUGCUAACAAAGGAACUAAGCAAUCUAGAUUAAGAUGGAUAGAGAGUAAAGGUUGUGAACAAGAUAGAUUAAACGCUUAUAGAUGCAAUCACCAUGCAUGAAUGAAUUAGAUCUAGGUGUUAUUGUGAGUGGUUGUGAACCAUACCCCAACACUUUCCCACCCGCAACAUUGUCACUACAUGUGGGUACUCAACUAUCGAAACAUAAGAACACAUCAAGAUGAUCAUUCUAGGUAAGCAAAUAAGCAACCCAAAGUAGCGCUGGCCAGCCUUUUCAUGAAAGAGCAUCAUCAAGAUAAGAUUGAUAACAAAAUAGAUCUCAACCAAAGGUUCAGCGAUUACAAAUCAAGAUCUCCGUAUAACCCCGAUGACAAAUAGAGGUAUUACCCCCAUGAUCUUACACAUGUUGAUGAAUUUUAGGGUAAAGGACGCCCUGUAGAUCAACUGGACCAAAGAUGAUGAUGAACAGGGGCAGGGAAGGCCCAGGCUGAUCAGCCUGGGCACUUUUGAGCCGAUCAGCUUAGGGAGUUUCCUCCUCCCCUGGUGCUCCUCUUCGCGUGGCCUCCUCUGGAUCCAAUCUUCUCUUCAUUUCUCCUACUUGUGGUGGCAAUGGAUGGUGUUUGCAUGGUGAUUUCCUCUUCUCCCCAACUCUCCCUCCUUGAAGUCCAUGAGGGGGUAUUAAUAGUCUCCAAUAUGCGGCAGCUCUGGGUCAAUGUCGGUGAAAAAACCCUAGAGAUCAUCGUACACUUCACGCUGAGGAAACAAGAGGUCGACCGAGCCCUGGGAUAGACCAAGAGGAUCAGCCUAGAGGGUCCCAGGCCAAUCGGUCUAGGCCCUUCCUAGCCCUUCUAGUCCUCUCCUUCCUCGUGCUGGCUUUUCUCGAUGACCCUUGUCCAAAUAUCCAUUAAGCUCUAUAUACAUACCCCCUUGAUUAUGUCGUAUUUCCUGUCAAAAUACAAUGCUCCAAAAUACAACACAUAUGCAAUAAUAGGGUUAUUUCAUGUGCCAAUUGGUGCGUUAGUAUACGAAUAAGCAUGAAAAUACUGGUUAAAUGACACUAAAAGUGUGUCAAUAACGAGCACCAACAAUCCCCCCACGCUUAGAUCUUGCUCGUCCUCGAGCAAGUCUAGCGACUAAAAGAUCUUGAAUUAAACAUGAGCAAGCGAGUCAAGUACCUAGCCUUGAAACAAAAGAUUAGAGGAGCAGCAAAGAUAAUCAAAGUCUGGGUGUUCAAAGAUUUAUCUAAGCAAAGAUUCCCCUACAACUAUUAUUCAGAACCAAGUAACUUCAAGAAUCAACUACACUUAUUUUCUGGCUUUUUUCAGAGGGUUUUUCUUUCAUCACAAAACAAUCUCCCUGCAACAAAAUUGAAAAAAGAAUUAUUUUCCAGGUGCUUACAUGUCGUUUAAAUGAAUGUUCGCUAUCCUACUUAUUUGCAAGCUCUCAUCUCUCAAAAUUCAUUCAAUUAUAUGGUGGAGCUUGGGUAAGGUUAGCUAGAAUCAACACGUAUAUUAUUGAAUUAAGAAAACCCUCUAACGGUAGCCUACCUUUCGAGCCAUUGAUCAUAAGAAUAUCCACAUAAUGUGAAGUUUUCAAGGAUGAGAAUAGAAUGGUGGACAUGUGCAAAGGAAAAGAAAUAUAGUGACUCUGAGGCACAAGCAAUGUCCUCGUCGUUGGAUUGCAUAUGGUUGGAAUGAAAAUCUGUUCCUUAAACAAGUCCAUCUUUUCUUUGCACCACUCUUGAUCUUCAUGACAGUAAAAACUCCUCCUUUAUUUCUUUCUCUCUUUUCCUAUUAUUUCUUUUUAUUUGUCUCAAUACUUUUCUUUCUUUAUUUCUUUAUUUUAAUCUCUUCUCCGAACCUCUUCUGAACACCACACAAUAAAAAUCAGUUUUAGAUCCUUCUAGAGACCUUCCAGGAAUUUGCUACAUGAAAACCGAGGCAAGGAGACCCCAGGCCGAUUGGCCUGGCCACUCCUUUGCUCUCCUCUAGCUCUUCUUUCUUGUGAAGCUUCCUUAUCUUGUAUCUUUCCAAAAAUUUCAUAAAGCUCAACUAGAAACGGAACACAUCUUCAUAUAAUGAGUUGUGUUCAAGGAAUUGGUAAUAAAAUUGAGAAAUUUGUGGUUCGGGUUUACGAAUUCAGUACAAAAAUAUGAUUAUUCCAAUGAAGAACUCUCAUUACUGAAUAUUGACGAGGCAAGCAUUCAAAGAUGGUAAAAAGGAUAUGAUCAAUUCUCAGAAUUAAAGCAAACCAAGAGAGAGCGAUCCUAAUUCAAUUCAAAGUGUCAAAUGUUGCUUAUGGUGGUAUGAAUAAAUAUUUUUAGGCAUUGGGUAGGAUAAAUAAAAACUCUCAACCUGGUUAAAAGAUAUUGAUCAAUCUUGUUUUUGCAGAGGUUUUAAAUAAAAAAUAAAAUUUUAAAUCACCUCCAAUUCAAAGCCUUACUCAUAAAUCAUAAUCAAAACUGAAGCACUUGAUCAUCAUAAAGCAUGGGUAUUGCAUAAACAAAUCGAUUACUAAAACUCCACAACUACGAUUUAGAAUUCAAGACAAUGCUCAUAAUCUAAAGUUGCAAAGACAAAAUAAAAGACAAGCAAGCCAAGGUAGACACUAAAAACACUUGCACGAUCCUUGAAUUUUAUUCAUGCUUCUUCUCACAAAGACGCUAAAGUAGCCAUGUAGGCCUAAGUCUUCCCAAAAGCUUAAGAAGACUACUACUUUAUCUACUUUUGGUUGAAAUAAAAAUACUAAUCUAGACUCUCACAUGAUUCGACUCGACCAAACUAGAUCCAAAAACUCAUACGAGCGACAAUCUCCCCCCCCCCUCUCAAAUCUACGACCUCCUCGUGGUAACCAUAUGGAGUACAAGGAAAAGACGCUUGUAAACGCACUAAUGACGCUACCCGGACUACUUGCACACGGAAUGGUUGUUGUUUCCUUUGCUUUGUUCUUCGUCAUGUUGCUGCACAUCCCGAAGAGCUUCCUCACGUUCCUCUGCAAGAACUUGAACUUGAACUUGUCCUCCUGACGGCAAUCAUUAUCUUCUGCCUUUUGAUCCAGAGCUUGUAAGGCUUGCAUGAUGUCAUCGAACGCAUCGAAGAGGUAGUGGAUGUUCUUCCUGCAAGCUGUGGAACAUGUACGAUCAUGCUCCUACGAUUCUGGCCCGUCGUCUUCUAGAUCCUCCUCUUUGCCCUUGUCUUGACGGUGGCCAUCUUGCUCCUUGCUCGUCUUCUUGCCUUCAGCCCGAUCCCAGUACGUGUUGUCAUCUUCUUCAUCGUCACGGCCUGCAGCACCCUAUGAUCCAUUGUCUAUCUUGUAUGAAAGAAUCAGAAGCUUGUUCUCCUCAGGGUGUCUUGCGCGGUGCAGCGUUUGCAAGUGCAAGGCUUGCUAGUUCUUUUUACACAUUGUAAUGUUCAUUGCAUGCUCUAAUUGUUCUACAUUUGUAAUUUCUUGGUGAAGUUUGGUUACUGAUCCACUGUUUGAUUAACUCUUGGGCCCAAACACUGUACUACUUCUGAUUAGAUAUCUGUAUCUUAACUUUGACCAAAAAAAAUAUCCGGCAGUUUUUGCCAUUAAAGUUUCAUAAAUCAUCUUGCAAAAAUCGUACUAUACAACAAGGGACGGUUUAUUAUAAAAUAUACGUUCCCCUUAUCACAUGCCACUUCCACUCAAAAGGCAACGAAUCAGUUUUCAAUCCUGAGUGAGCAAUUUGCUUUUAUUACCGAUGCCUCCUAUUCCCUUGUGCACCAAGUUCAUUUUGGAUAGGACUGCAAAAAGCGACUAACCAGCUCGGAUUCUCCACCUGCAAAACCGCAUCUGCAGCAACCAACCCCACGCGGUGGAAAAAAAAACAAAACCCAGAAACCGGACGGGGGUGGAUGUGGGGCUCGGAGCCCAAGCAAAAAAAAGGAUCGGGAGCGCCGGAGCAGGCCAUCACCGGAUGUUAGAGAUAGAAAAUGGUUGAAGUUGGAGUGGAAAUCAAACAAGCCUUGGAGCAAAGGAAAAAAAAGAUCAAACCACUCAAGCAUUCAUUUGAUUUAGAAAAGAGAACAUUUGUUAAGGUGGGGAGUUGAAAUCAUCUUUUAAUUAGUUCCACGUAUCUGGUAUCAUUACAGUUGGUUUACUUGUGUAAGUAUAUAAGUAGCUCUGCCGAAGCCUUUGCUCCUAUAAUUUAGUAACUAGUACAAAUGGAUCAUUAGGAAAAUCAAGUUGCAAUCAUUUCUCAGCCAACCAAACCUAUCUAAAUCAAAUUAUUGUCCAUGCCCGGCAUGCACAGGUGCCUGCCAUGCAUGCAUUGUUGCUCCAUUGUAAUAACCAUUAUUGUCCAUUGAUGUUCCAGCGCAUGUGUGCACUGUGCAGACACCAAGCAUCGAGAUUAUGUACUAGUAAGGUACCAAGAACACGUGAAGCACACGGGGGAGGCUGCUCCACUCGGCAUGCACAGGUGGGGCACGGCACCACUACUCGUCUCCUUCAGGCAGAGGACAAGUGAUGUACGCUGAUCAACCACUAGUAGAAAAACGACUUUCCAUCCGCCCCUUUUGUCCCGGUUUAAAGUUGGCCCGGGACAAAAGGUUCACCAACCGGGACUAAAACUCGGUCACUGGUGGGGGGCUCACCAACCGGGACCUUUUAUCCCGGUUGCAAAGGCUAGUGGGAAAAAAAGACUCUGAGAGGCCUUUUAUCCCGGUUUGAAACACCAACCGGAAUAAAAGGUGGUCUUUUAUCCCGGUUGGUGUUUCCAACCGGGAUAAAAGGGUCCCCCACGAGUUAAUACAAAAGGAUAGUAUCCCCUAUAUAGUCAGAUGUGGUGUGUAGGUGGGAUGGCAAGGAAGCUACGCGCGAGGCUGGAGGUUGUGGGUUUGAAUCCCACGAACCGCGCACCCCCACCACGGCAAACGGAGGUGAUGGCGGAAGGUGAGGCAACGACAGUAGCUGGUGAGCUCCCGCUCCAAUGUCUCGCGAGUGAAGGAGGAGGAGGUGGCAUGGGAAUCGAAGAGGAGGCCGCCGCUGGCGGGUUUAGACUACGUGGAUGUGUGGGUAGGGUUAAGGUGACGGUGUGGACUAGUAUAUAUAAGAUGUCUGGGCUUGUUAGAAUAAGAUAACAUUCUAACCGGCCAAAUUCGGACCCGGUUAGAUUAAAUUGAUAUUCUAACCGGUCCUAUUUCUAGGUGGUAAGAAUAAGUUAACAUUGUAAUUGGCUUUAUUUGGAACCCGAUUGAAUCUUCUUGUUAUUCAAAAAAACAUCAAGUUCAUCAAUUUUAAUCCAGAAAAACAUCAAGAUAAUUUAAGCACGAUAUAUAACAAGAUUAAUAAAUUUAAUAAUUGUUUGAUCCACAAAUUAACGAUAUUUAACAAAUUCAAAAAAUCCAAAUUAACAGAACACAAUAACCAAUUGUUCGAAAAAAUCAAAAUAAUCCACACACAUUAAUAUAUUACAAAUUCAGAAAUAUAUCAAAAUAAUCCCCGAUCCACUCGAUACCGUCAUAGGACUUUUAAAUACUGAGCUUCUUGAUUCGUCUGAGGUCCACGUACUCGUCUCAGUAACACUAGUGAUGGCCAUGCAUCUUGUAGAUGUCUUCUAACGAAUCAAGCUUGACGUACAAGGUCAUGCCUUCCGCUCCUUGAGGAUAACCAUCUUUGGUGAUCUUGAAAUGGCAGACGGUGGAUGUGCCAAAGGUACGUAACGAUCCUUCUAAAUGUAUGCCACCACAACUUCCGUCUGAUCGCCAUGGGUGACACCAAGAAGAGCUACCAUGCGGCAAGGGACGAACAAUUUAUCAAUUAGUGCCGCUGUCCAUUCGCCAUCAUCUAAUCCAGCCAUAUCUUGAUGUAUAUUUAAGUAUAGAAAUUAAGAUUUAAAAAUAAACAGAAUAAAUUGAGAUCGACUAUGUAUGUAUAUCAGAACAUUAGCUUUUGGAAAAAGGGCUUCGAUGGAAGAGAGGCACGGGGCAUAGAGACAACAACGAGUGACAAUAUGUCAGAAGAAUACCCGAUCACAAUUAUUGGCUACAGGACGGGCACACACAGCCGAUAUUUACAGUAGUCAAUACCCCUGGUAAAUAACCACACCAUCAAGAGUAAAUAGUGACAAUAUGCAGUAUAUACACGACAUAGCCUUGGUUGCCGUGGAAGCGCCAGAAGGGAGACAAAUAACAGGGACCACAACAUCAAGUAGAUAGUGACAAUAUGCAGAAGAAUACCCGCGCCUGUUAGCAUGUGUGAACUGACCACACCACGAAACGUGAUACACGGCAAGCGUACCAAGGCCUUGCUGUGCAGACUAUGCAUGGACAACACAUGGUACCUGACCGCUUUUGGCCUCAGACACAUCGAAAAACUGCAUCGUUCCACGUUGUACAUCCAUUGCUAGUUUAUCUAUAUUACAUAAUAUAUUAUUAGCUAUUUGAAUAGAAUGAACCAAUUAAAAAAUUGCGUUGUAUUUUAGUACCGGCUGCAGGAUGGUGUUACCAACCAGUACUAAUUGGCCUGUAGGAGUGAUGGUUAUUAGACUUGGUACUGUUGUUAGCAUCAUUAACCUAAUUGUGCGCGGUAUGAAUUUGGGGAUGCAAAGCUAGCUCUCUAUGAAUGUGAGGGAUGGAAAGCUAGUUCUCUAGUAGUAAUUAGCUAUAUAUAUAUGUCAGUCAAGAAAUCGAACACUAUGCUGCUACGAGUCACCAUCAUUUCCUUCAUUGACAAUCUGACAUAGGUGAAGCUGCUUCAAGAAUUUCCUUCGCGCAGUCGUGGAGCUUAUUGGAUUAUCACCAGGACGGGACACGGAAAUGGCCAGCAAUGAAGCUGAUUGCCGUCUGAGGAAGAUUACAUACUUACCUAUGAAAUGAAGCGAUUGCAUAGACUAAUGAAGCAUUGCAUAUUUGCAUGUGAGUGUGGCAGAUAAUUCUGCAGGACAUGAUUGCAAUCCACGCACCAUCGAGAAGACUGGGGCGAUGGGGUUGCCUCAUCAAUAAUCACGUGGAUGCAUGCAUGCAUGUUCCCGCAACCGGACAAGGGUCUGAUAUAUGGCUAUAGUAUUACUGAGCCCACAUCAAUAAUUUCCGCUGGUGUAUCGUGUGGGAAGAAUCAACAUACUACACCUCGAGUUCUUGGAACUAACUGACGUUCACAUGCAACCUCCACAAGGUGCUGUAUAUAUGCUUUUGACAUUCACCUGCCAGUUCGUGUAGAGGACACCCUAACGUAUGGUUAAUAUUAUCCAUUUCAUGAGUAAAAUACUGUGAUUCAAAAAUACUUCAAAUCCCUUGAGACAAUACUUCUCACUUGACUAACCACUAACCAACCCCGAAACCCUAACUCAACUCCGAACCCUAACACCUAACGGCAUAACCACUCCGUUUUGCCAGCCAGAUGGAGGAACUGGCUGGGAGGGAGAGAGGGCAGCGGUCCAGGGUUGAAAACGACGGGCGAGCGCAGUAACAUGUGGAGGAGGAAGUGCCACGUAUUCGUUCACCGCUAUUGGGCAGCGACACACAACACGCCCAAUAAGAUUUUCGCACGGUAGAAGGGCGCCAUGUAUUCAAUAAUGUUAUUGGUCCUCCAUGUGCAGAAGGGCGCGUAUGGAAUAACAAGUAGGGACACUGCAACUAAUCUACUCUGCUCGUCCAGUCCCUAGCCUAUAAAUAGAUGCCAUGCUAGCUCUUGUUGUGCUCACAGUUAAUCCGAUUACACACGAGCUUCUCUCCCUGGCCAAGACACAAUCAUAGUAUGAUGAAGAACAUGGCACUAGCCGGCAAUGGUAUGAAGAAGUUAAUCCUCGCUGUUCUCUUACUGUGUCUAGUUAUAGGGCAGAUACAAGUGGAAGCUAAGAGCUGCUGCCCAUCCACCACUGCAAGAAAUGUCUACAAUACCUGCCGUUUGACGGGUGCAUCCCGUCCAACGUGUGCAAAACUGUCAGGCUGCCAAAUUAUCAGCGGGAACAAAUGCAAGCCCCCUAACGACCACCUCACCCUUGACCCGGACACUGGUAAAUAAUAAAUUUAUCUCACUUGAUUUCUUUGUGUUUUGAGUCGUUAAUGUAUUUUCCAUCUGAUGAAACGCAUUGGUUUUGCAUUGAAGAGGAAGUUAAUGUGCUUAACUUCUGCAAGUUGGGGUGUGCGUCGUCUGUGUGCAACAACAUCAACGCUGGUAAGCACCUUUUGCUCAGACAGAGAAAACAAUAAUCAUUAAUUAGCGGCAGCUAGAAUCCUAUAAUCUAAUAUAUAUAUAUAAUUUUAUCAGCUCUGGGAAAUGAAGAGGCGAACGAUGCCGUUGAGAGUUGCGACCAAGCCUGCUCUAGCUUCUGCAGCGUGCAUGUUGGCAGCGCCACCGUGGUUGCUUAAGCAAAUGCAUCCAACUAGAUCGUCCUUGUGCUGAAUAAUUGGAUAUCGUAUCCACUUAAAGCUGCCUUGUGUAGUACGUCUUUGUGUCUCUCUUUAUAUUCCAAUAAGGUCGGUGAUCUUGAUGCCACACACUCAGAUGUGUGUUCAUCUCCAGAUACUACUCCAUGCUACCUGCCCUUUGUGUUUUGUUCAAUAACUGGGUAUCAUAUCCCAACCAGUAUGCCGUCUGUUUUGUGUUUGUUUCCUUCUAGUUCCAAAAGGGUCAUCAUGAUGUUACCUUCUUUCAAUAUGGUGCUUUGCAUGACUACUGUUGUAUGGUACCAUCUUGUGGCCAAUAAGUACAUCUUAUCCUAUGACCCUUUGCUAUGACCCUUUGCAAAUAAGUAGAAGAUUGUUAUAAGCGUCAAUACUCAGUAUAAUUGAUCGCUGCUGUGAGUUCCCUUUCAGCUUAUCGUAGGCAUACAUUAUUGCUAGCACGGUAAAGCCAACCAACACGAAUGAUGAAGUAAACGUAGCGGUACUUCUGUAUACCAACACCCUUACUUAAAUGUACCGGUGUCAUUCCCUACUGGCACAUAUAUUCUUAUAUGCUAGCCAGCUUGUAAAAUUAACCAAUUAAAAUAAUUAUUUCAAGAUAGAAAUAACUUAUCGGCUUCUGGAAGCAUGUGUAAUGUGAAUUCAAGGACUCGACGGAAGUUGAAUCACUUCAUCUAUAUUGCUUUCAGGAUUUUGGGUAACUAAAUUUAACAUUUGCACAUACAAAUGUUAAAGUACAAAUGUUAAAUCUAGUUACCCAAGCAGAAUAUGAAGAUAGUUUAUAGUAUAUAUAUACUAUAAAUAUACUAUAUAAAUCUAGUUAACAUUUAGUCUAAAUGUUAAAUCUAGUUACCUAAAAUCCUGAAAGCAAAAUGUAUAAAUAUAUAUCUUUUAAGGCAGUAUAAGCUUCGAUUCCUAUUGCUGCUCUGUUAAAUCUCAUCUUUCGUUGUGGCCCAACACUCUAGUAUGCAUGUUGCACCAAGCUUCUUUGAGCCGCUCUGCCCUCUGAUUUUGCUGUGUAGGGGAAUCUUUAUCAGGUUGGGCUACUUCCAGUUGUGCGAUGUAAAGAUUCGUAUUUUCUAGAAGGUAGACAAAAAACUCGCGUUCUCUUAAGGCAACAACCGGAAGAUUCUGCAGCGCAUAGGGCAUACCAUUAUUGUAGAAACGACCUUUAGUACCGAUCUCCAACCCCCUUUAAAACUGGUUUUGCAACCGGUACCGUUAUGUCGGUCCUUUAGUACCAGAUCAAAUAACCGGUACUAAAAGAGUCAACUAAAAGGACUCUUUUAGUACCGGUUGGUAACCAGUAUCAACUUGUUUUGUGGCCAAAAAAAUAAAGAAAAAAACAGUCAGAAGGCUCGCACACACGCGCAUCACAUGAAAUAUGCGUGUGCGGGGUCCAUGGGAUUCGAACCCAUGAAAUCAAGCUACGCGCGACCCUUCGUUACCAUCUCACCUGAAGUAACCCGUGGAGGAGGCUUUAGUACCGGGUCAUAACACCACCCGGUACUAAAAGUGACUCUUCAGUACCGGGUCAUAACACCACCCGGUACUAGUAUCGGAUGGUGUAAUGACCCGAUACUAAAAGGCCUCUAGGGACCCUCAAAUUUGAACCCGGUACUAAUGCUAAUAUUAGUACCGGGUCAAAGUGCAGCCAGAACUAAAGCAUGGGAUGAAAGGUCAUAUUUCUAGUAGUGUAUAGUUGUUGUGAAGGACUUACUUGGCUGUCCUCUCUCUUCUCCAUCCCCUUGGUCUUACGCCGCCGCUCGCACGCGAGCUGGUGCCCAACCAGAGGAGUGAGAGCUAGGGGCAGGUUGGGAGGUGGGGAUAGCGACUGGUGGCCAGGGUGAUGGUUGAUCCUGGCGGGGUUAGGGUUUUAGGGUUUUCGAGCUUCCUAUGGUCGGCGAACCUAGAGGAGGAGCUCAACAUCAGCUGCAACCCGCGAUGGUGGUGGUUUGGCCAGCGCCCGAGGCGAGGCAGCGCGGGAGUGCUGCCGGUGGGUUGGUGUUGGCACUCAUUAUUGACAACUAUUUUGUUCAUAAAAUAACACUCAAACUUGCUGCUGCUGCCGCCGCCAUCGCCACCCUAGCCAUAAUAUAAAGGCAAAAUUUGCUAAAGGACAUGCAAAAUGAUGCUAGUUUGCUGGCGGGCAUCGUUGACCUUGUAAUAUGCUACAAGACACUCUAGUUGUGUAUCAAUUUGCUGAAAGACAUUGCUAUGACUAAAAUAAUGUUUCUGGACUGAGUUGGAGAGAGAGAUGGAGUGAAAUGUCUGUUUUGCCCAUGACCCCACUGGUCAGAUCCUUCUUCUUCCACCCUCCUUUGUUCUUUCUUCAACCAUUACCCAGCUCCAGCGUGUUGCAGAUCUACGAGGGUGGCGGCCUGGGGCGAGGGGCAUUGCUCGCCCUCGGAGGAGCGCUGCGAGCGACGGCGCGGGGGCGGCAACCGCGCGUCAGAACCUGACUGUUCGUUAGCUCCUCUCGCUGCUGGGGAAGAAGGAGGGGGAUGGGCCAUGGACGGGGUUCCCUUGAAAACCUCAGCGUCGAGCUCGGGCGGCUACGCGCAGGCAGCACUAGGCUGCUUCACGGGGAGGGGGCGCGGCCAAUCAUUGGCACCCCACUGGUCCAAUGCUGAUGAAGAUGGUGCCAGCGUCGUGUGAGGACAUCUCAUCUCCUCGAGUUCCAUGGCCAGCACAGGUGAGCUGCCGCUACCACAAAACAGAGAUUUCGUGAGAGUCAAAAAACCUUAUGAAAAUAGCUAAAACCAUCAUGAAAAUAAUCCGUGACAUGACACUCUCACGAAAAUCCUCUCACAAAUAUGGUGCCAUGAAAAUACCAUUUUCAUGAGAGUGAACUGUCAUGAUUUUAUUUCGUGAGAGUAUUUCCUAUCAAUGACCUCCACGAAAUACUUUGUGCCACCAGGUCUUCAAGAUCAUUUUCAUGAGAGCUGAACAUCAGGAAAAGUCCGCCACAAAUGUUUUUCUUGGAGCCUCUAACUCUCAUGAAAAUCAUGCGGGCCGCCACGAAAAACAGCAUGACCAAAUGACAAAUUUUAUUUUCAUGUGUUCAUACCGUGAAAAUGGUCAUUUUCAUGAGAGUUGAUGAAACAAAAAAUAGUGCCAUUUUCAUGAGAGUUCAAGCAACCAGGAAAAGACACUAAUAAACAUCCAGAUCCCAUCCAGCACACAUCCAUGCACACAUAUAACCCACAUAUUGCUCCAGCACACAUCCAUGCAUAUACAAGAUCCAAAUGUUAAUAUAGUAGACAUCCAUGCCUGAACUAGUCUGCCACACAAGUCAUUGAUGCUACAAAUCCUACAAUCGCAGCAUGUGCAUACAAGUCACAGAAUGAGACAAUGUACCCAAAACUAAAAGGUUAGCAUCAACUGUGCUUCAACCAAAGUUGUCAUCCCAACUCUCCUCUUCAUCCAUGCCAUUCUUGUCAUGGCCGUCACUGUCAGUCCCCAUGGCAUUGCCAAUGCUGUGCAUGUCUUGGUAGGAACCUACAUGUGAUGAACCAGUAACCUGCAAAAAGAACUCAAAGGAUCUUGUUCUCAUAUUGUUCUCAUAUUGUAGCUGUGAAAUUCUUACAAGUAGUGUUGCAAUCAGUUCACUUUGAACCAAAAGAGCUCAAAGGAUCUUGUCCUAAAAGUUCCUCAUAAAGCUUAUGGGUUUGCUGGUGGAACUGGAAGGGCUUGAUGCAGCAGAUGCCAUUCUGCAAUAGAGAAAAAUUUAGAGAGCAGUAAUAGUUAAAAUUGGAUGCAGCAGAUACACAUGAAACUAGUAUUUAUACAAGUCUAUACAAUUAAAAUCUAAGGAGACUUAUCAUCGUUUUCAUGUGUUGCGAAUUAAAAUAAUGAAGGAUACACUGUUAGGUGAAAAUUCAAGAAACAAAAUUUUGCAUAGAGAUAAAGGUCCAACAUUAUUACAAGUUAAGGUAGUUUUAAAUAUCCUUGUAAUCUUCCUUUGGUUUCCUCAACGAUUCGAAGACAAUAACCUUGCUUCUAUCAAUGAUAAUUAUAAGGAGAAUCCAGUGGAAACUGUGUAUUCAUAUUAGAACUACCUAAGGUUAAUUAGGUUAGGAAAGGAAAUCGAAAAUAGAUGGUACCCACACUUACUUAAAGUUGUCGGGCAAUAGUAUGUAAUGCUUGUAAUUCCGUUGCUCCAAGAAUUUGUAUAUGUGGUCCAAUGUAGACUUUGGUUGAUCCCGUAUCUGCUGUUGGUUAAAUAAGUGUUUCUAGCCAUUUCUAGCCAUUAGAACUGGGACUAAAGGGGGCUCUUUAGUACGGGUUGAUAUUACUAACCGGGAUUAAAGAGCCCCCAUUAGAGUUGGUUUUUGGAUGCGGAACUAACAACUCCUUUAGUCCUGAGUACGAAAACGACUGAGAUAUUUGUUGCUUGGUUGAAGGUCCUUUCUCUACCGUGAAUAUUGCCAGAAAGAAUUGAAAGAGACUGCUUGCUAAAAAUAUGUCAUAGAUGUAGACCAAGCUACCAAGGAGGUAGCACUAGUAGAGAAUUGACUUUCGAGCCGCCCCCUUUUAUCCCGGUUUAAAGUUGGCCCAGGACAAAAGGGGGUGCGCCGGGGUGCGGAAAUUUGGAGGGGAGCAUUACUCCCGGUUGGUAAUUGCAACCGGGACUAAAGGCCCCCCUUUAGUCCCGGUUGCAACGGCUAGCUGGGGGGCAUCGGUGGCCGGACCCUUUUAUCCCGGUUGGAUCCUCCAACCGGGAUAAAAGGGACUCCCUUUUAUCCCGUUGGAGGAACCAACUGCGAUAAAAAGUUUAGUCCCGGUUGGUGCCUCCAACCGGGAUAAAAGGGUGUCCCUUUUAUCCCGGUUGGAGGAUCCAACCGGGACUAAACUUCCAACCGGGACAAAAGGUGUUUCCUUUUGUCUCGGUUGGAGUUUUUAACCGGGAUAAAAACUCAUCCCCCACUAUGUCCCGAGACAUAGACUUUCUUCUUCCUCCAGCCCGAGCCAGUCCAGCACAUUGAUAGAGAGCUGAGCUUCACCUACUCUCCGGUGGUGCCAAAGCAAGGGAGGUGCUGCCCGAAGUUUUUUCCCUCAUUUUCGUGGGAAUUUGACUCAGCCAACACAAGUGUUGCGAAGGUUUGCUACUUCAUCCUCGUGUUAUGCUUUGAUUUAUGCUUUGGAGAUGGAAAGAUUAUUUGCUACAAUGUGAUGAUGAAGUAGAAAAAUGGAGAGGUAUUUUGAGCUAGAAUGUGAGGGAGAUUGAUGUGUCAUAUAUAGUAUGCAUUAUUUCAGUGGUUUAAAAAUGAUGCUACCUUGUCUAGACGGUUUAUCUUAUCAAAUUCAAUAUGGUUUUUUAAAUCCAUAUACUUGUUGAACUUGCAUACCGUGUUCAUUUCGGCGAGAAUGUUCUCCGCCGAGCAGCAACGUAUGUCAAGAAGGAGGUUCGAUUCUACGAGAAAGAGUGGAUACGGACAUCGUGACCAUGUCCCCUUUUCCGUAGCAUCUAACCUCUUUCAUGACGAAGUGCGGUGCCACCCAGCUGAGGACAUCCUCGCGAAAUGAACACGGUCUUCAAGUUCAACAACUUCUGUAGUGGUAAGGAAAGAAUUUUUGUACAUAGAUGACUUCUGCUACUUGUUGAACUUGCAUACCGUGUUCAUCUCUCCGAGGAUGUUUUCCGCCGAGCAGCAACGUAUGUCAAGAAGGAGGUUUGAUUCUACGAGAAAGAGUGGAUACGGACAUCGUGACCGUGUCCCUUUUUCCGUAGCAUCUAACCUCUUUCAUGACGAAUACCGGUCCCGCCUAGUUGAGGACAUCCUCGCGAGAUGAUCACGGUCUUGAAGUUGAACAACUUAUGCAGUGUUAAGAUGAUCACGAUCUUUAAUCGAUUUUCACGCGUAAUCCAUUAUCAAGUGUAAUCCAUUUUCAUGCGUAAUACGAUGCAGAUGGACUAGCAAUGGAUGUAUAAUGCAGACAGGCGGAGCAAGGCGUUUAUUGAUGGCUUGCAUUAUUUUCUCGAAGUGGCAAAAGCGAACAAGCCAGAGAAUGGGUUCGUAUGUUGUCCAUGCUUCCAAUGCAAUAACAGGAAGGAGUAUUCAAACGAUUCCUGGGGGACUAUUCACAGCCACUUGUUUAAAUACGGUUUCAUGCCUAACUAUUUGGUUUGGACCAAGCACGGUAAACUAGGGGUUGUAAUGGAAGAUGGCGAGGAGGAGGAGGAAGAUGACACCAUUCCGGACUGGGUUGCAGGCCAAGCUUUUGCAGGUACUACAAUGGGCGAGGCUGAUGAAGAUGAGUUUGCAGAAAAUGACCCUACUGAUGACCUUGGUCAGGUGAUACAAGAUGCAUACAGAGAUUGCGAAACUGAGAAGGAAGCAGCAAAGUUGCAGCGCAUGAUAGAUGAUCACCAAAAAUUGUUGUACCGAGGUUGCCAGCAGGACCAUAAAAAACUAGGUACGACACUAGAAUUUGUGCAAUGGAAGGCAAAAAAUGGUGUGUCCGAUAAGGCAUUUCAGGGGAUGUUGAACAUUGUCAAGAAGAUUCUCCCCGAGAAUAAUGAAUUACCGUCCACAACAUAUGAAGCUAAACAGAUUAUUUGUCCUCUUGGAUUGGAUGUUCAGAAGAUACACGCAUGCCCUAAUGACUGUAUCCUCUAUCGUGGUGAUGAAUACGAGAAAUUGGAUGCUUGUCCCGUCUGCGAAGCCCUGCGGUAUAAGAUCAGGCGAGAUGAUCCUGGUGAUGUCGAGGGGCAGUCUCCCAAGAAGAGAGUUCCCGCGAAGGUGAUGUGGUAUUUCCCUAUAAUACCACGCUUGAAGCGCUUGUUCAGGAACAAGGCGAAUGCUAAGUUGAUGCGAUGGCACAAAGAAGACCGUAAGGAAGAUGAGAUGCUGAGACACCCCGCAGAUGGGGCACAGUGGAGAUCAAUUGAUAGAAAAUUCCCAGACUUUGAAAGUGAAGCAAGGAACAUAAGGUUUGGUUUAAGCACUGAUGGAUUCAAUUCAUUGGGUGAGUUGAGUAGUGGUCAUAGUACUUGGCCUGUGACCCUUUGUAUGUUCAACCUUCCUCCUUGGCUGUGCAUGAAGCGGAAGUUCAUUAUGAUGCCGGCGCUAAUCCAAGGCCCAAAACAACCCGGCAACGACAUUGACGUGUACCUAAGGCCGUUGGUUGAUAACCUUUUACAGCUCUGGAAGGAAGAAGGUGUACGUGUGUGGGAUGAGGAUAGACAAGAGAUCUUUAAUCUACGAGCACUGUUGUUCGUAACCAUCAACGAUUGGCCUGCAUUGAGUAACCUUUCAGGACAGACAAAUAAGGGAUAUCGGGCAUGCACCCACUGUUUAGACGACACAGACAGCAUGUACUUGAAGCACUGUAAGAAGGUCGUCUAUAUGGGUCAUCGUCGAUUUCUCCCUGCUCACCACCAGCUGAGAAAGAGCGGGAUGCAUUUCAAAGGGGCGCCAGACCAUCGUAAAAAACCUGCACACCGUAAUGGAAAGCGUGUGUUUGAGAUGAUGAAGGAUGUAUAUGUAGUCUUCGGAAAGGGACUUGGUAGCCAACCUGUUCCGAACGACGAUAACGGACAUGCACCCAUGUGGAAGAAAAAGUCAAUAUUUUGGGAGCUACCUUAUUGGGAAAUCCUAGAGGUUCGCAACGCAAUAGACGUGAUGCACCUGACGAAGAAUCUUUGCGUGAACGUGCUAGGCUUCAUGGGUGUUUAUGGAACCUCAAAAGAUACAUUGGAAGCACGACAGGACCUGAAAGCCAUGGGGCAACGAGAUGACCUACAUCCGGAAAAGAGAGAUAAUGGACAGCACUACUUACGUCCUGCCAGUUACACUCUCAGCAAGGAAGAGAAGGAUAGCAUGUUUGAAUGCUUGAAUAGUAUGAAGGUCCCGUCUGGGUACUCCUCGAAUAUAAAGGGAAUAAUAAAUAUGAAACAAAAGAAGUUUACAAAUCUCAAGGCUCAUGACUGCCACAUGUUGAUGACCCAGUUGCUUCCGGUUGCACUGAGGGGUGUUCUACCAGAAAAUGUCCGGUUGCCGCUCGUAAAGCUAUGCGCGUUUCUCAAUGCGAUUUCGCAGAAGGCAAUCGAUCCAUCCAAGCUAUCAAAGCUACAGAACGAUGUGGUGCAAUGUCUUGUCAGUUUUGAGUUGUUAUUUCCACCAUCCUUCUUCAAUAUUAUGACGCACUUACUGGUUCACCUAGUAAAAGAGAUUGGUAUUCUCGGACCUGUAUACCUGCACAAUAUGUGGCCUUUCGAGAGGUGCAUGGCAGUCCUAAAAAACUAUGUUCUUAAUCGUGCCCGUCCAGAAGGAAGCAUCGCCAGGGGAUAUGGAACAGAGGAGGUGAUCGAGUUUUGUGUUGAUUUUAUUGAUUCAAUUGACUCGAUUGGGGUUCCAACUUCACGCCACGAGGGGAGGCUCCGAGGAAUGGGCACCAUUGGAAGGAAAUCAAGUUUGAGCAAUGAUACUGAUUUGUUCGACAAGGCACACUACACUGUUCUACAACAGUCAUCCUUUGUGUCUCCGUAUAUCGAGCAGCACAGGCAGAUGGUAGCUUCCAAAAACCCGACCAAAUCCGAUGCUUGGCUUACCCGUCAUCACAUGGAAACUUUUCCCUCCUGGUUGCGCCAACAACUUAUGGGUAACUCUGAGAUUCACCCACAGCUUGCCUGGUUAGCCAGGGGACCUACUACCACAAUCGUCGAAUUCCAAGGCUAUGAGAUAAAUGGUUACACAUUUUACACGAGAGCCAAGGACCAGAAAAGCACGAACCAGAAUAGUGGUGUCCGCAUAGAUGCCAUGGACAGAAAUAAUAGCAAGGAGUCGUAUUAUGGUUUCAUACAGGAGAUAUGGGAACUCGAAUACGGACCGCUGUACAUCCCUCUAUUUCUUUGCAAUUGGGUGAAGCUAACUGCCGUCACCAAAGAUCAGUACGGAAUGACAAUAGUAGAUCUGAGCAAGACUGGAUACAGUGAUGACCCAUUCGUACUUGCCAAUGAUGUGCAUCAGGUGUUCUAUGUGAAGGACAUGUGCAGCAAACCCAAGAGGAAUCCAGAAGAGACAUGGGAGCCAAAGUGCCACAUAGUUCUUCCAGGUAAAAGAAAAAUCGUGGGAGUCGAGGAUAAAACAGACCAAUCAGAUGAUUAUGAUCAGUUUGAUGGCAUGCCUCCAUUCGCCGUUGAAGUUGAUCCAAGCAUCCUGCUAUCCAAAGAAGAGGCUCCGUACUUACGCCGCGAUCAUGAUCAAGGAACUUUCGUGAAGAAGAAAUUUUACAACGUUGUAUUGUAAUGCGUUAAAUGUACAUGACCUUUGUGUAUUAAUUGAUACAAUUUGUAAUGUACCCUAUGUAUGAUUUCAUGUGUUAUUAAAUUUGUUAGGUGAAGAUUUUUUAGAUAAACAUGAACAUUGUUAACCACAUACUAACAUGGAUUUUUCUGCUGUUGACGUCGGAUUUCGUCAUCAGUAGAAUCGGCGCCAAAGAGGAAAGAAAUCGAAGGAGGACGGAUGGAAAUCGGCCAAAAGGUGUUACAGUGCGGAAUCGGUCAAGUGGCUUUUACUUCGCUUCAGAGUGAAUACGCCGGGUUCCCAAUCGGCAAUCCUUUGCUGAUAAGAAAUCGGCCGAUCAGGAAGGUGGACUAAGGUGGGCCUGUAUGGGCUUGGAAAGAUGGAAGGAUAAGGUGGAGUUCAGCCCAUGAAGCGUGGGGUAAUUAGUUUAGCUCGGAUUGUGCUUGUAGAUAUUUGUUUUCUGUUUAAAUUAGAGAUAGAGUCCUAGUCGGUUAAGAAGAUUAUUUGUACGGGGCUAUAAAUAGCUACCUUUGUAAAUCUGUAAAAAAAAAACAAUCAAUCAAUACAACAAGUUACUUUAUUCUUCGUACUUACUUUCGAGCAGGCGACUUCGCCAUCACUUUUCCUUCUCACGAGUUCGUGCGGGUUGGCAGGGCUGCAUCAUCUUGAUCUCCGGCCGAUUCUGUAAGUUCCGUUUAUCGAGUAAUAUCUAAGCUUUAACUUCCGGCGCAUCGCUGUUGUUUCGUUUAGAUUUUAUUCAUCAGUUAUCGAUAUCGACUAGAUUCAUAGGUUUUUACCUGUUCUCCUAGUUUUUAUCACCAGUUACCCCGCUAGGAAUCGGUAGUAUCGGCUUUCAUUACUUUCUGUUACCAAAUCCAUCUGUUGCCGAUUAGAUCUUUUCCUGGUGCUGUUACUACGUGCCUUGUACCGAUUACUUUAAUAUUUUUCUAUCUACAAGGCUACGGGGGUCGUGCUGUCUUGUAGCCGAUUUCUUUACCACAGUAAAUCGGCCGAUCUGCCGAUAAGCUCUCUCGAUCGGAAACUUAGCCGAUCGUAGUUACUGAUUUUGACACGUGUUCUUCCUUGCCAAUCAACAGGUCAGAUUGGCUGGCACGCCGCGCGAACCGCACCAGGGCAUUCACCCGAACAGGAGCUAAGCAGAUUCUCCCGGGUCGUGUGUCGGCCGCUGGGAUUCGGUUGACCGAUUUCUAGCGCCAACACACUUUUGGCACGCCCGGUGGGACCAUUACAACCGCUGUCUUGUCGAAAGCUGCUGAAGUCUCCGAAGAUAACGUCAUCGAAGUGACGGAGGCAGAUCUAAAGGACGACCAAAAAGAAGAUCUAAAUCAGUAUUUGGAGCAAGUCCGGAAAACUUGCUUGAAAUCCUUCAGUCGUUCCAGGAGCGGGGAAACUGUUAAAAAGUCUCCUUUCCCUACUCCCCGCCAGAUCACGAUUUCAGAAGAUUCGGACAAAAUGUCCGAUAUGAUUCAGCAAUCUCUUCAUCACGCCUUCAUCAACCAAUCCCCGGUACUUUCAAACAUGGUGCACAAUGCUGUUGUCAACUCUUUCGCCGGAGGUAUACCACAGGGGUACAGGGGGCCUACGUAUUUUCAGCCGAUUCCACCAAAUCAGGCUUAUCAGGCUUCACAGCCGAUCCAAUCCUCUGUCGGAGGAUCUGGUGCUUCUACGUCAUCAACUCCUUUGGGAUACGGCUCCACUGCACCACUCCCUCCAGUCAUUCCUUUACCCUGGGGGGCACCCUUAAACACGACCGGUUUGAAUCAAUCGGUCAGCCAAGGAAAUCCUCCGUUCCAGACACCCUCCCAAACGGCCACUCGGCCGAUCAUACCACCAUACCAGCCUAUCGCUCCGGAGGUCAACAAGACGUCAGAGCUCAUGCUAUAUGAUGGAACAAGUGGUUCAUACAAGCAGCCGUCCUUUACUACACCGCCGGCUUAUACUCAGAUACCACCUUUUCAUCAACCUCCUUUUAUUCAACCUCCGAUUUAUCAACAUGUGCCGAUUCCGCCGCCAAUUAUUCCCCAACAACAACCGGAUUGGACGGCGCAAAUCGCGGAGGUAAUGCAAGAACAAUUCGGACUGAAGCCGAAGGUGCAAACUUAUACCUACAGGACACCAUACCCAUCUACGUACGACUUGUUGCCGUUUCCCCAUCGGUACAAAGUCCCGGAUUUCACUAAAUUUUCCGGAAUAUAUGAUACUUCUACCGUGGAACAUGUGAAUAGAUUCAUCAUCCAAUGCGGAGAAGCAGCUACGCAAGAUGCCCUACGGGUACGGUUGUUCUCGUCAUCUUUGUCUGGAUCGGCUUUCCAAUGGUUCACCACUUUGCCACCAAACUCGAUUAUCACAUGGGCCGAUCUAGAGAGGCAGUUCCACAAGUACUUCUAUGCUGGAGUCCACGAAAUGAAGUUGUCUGAUUUAACUAGCCUCCGGCAACGAAGUGAUGAGCCGAUACCCUCGUACAUACAGAGGUUUCGGGAAAUCAGAAACAAAUGCUACUCCUUGGCUCUAACCGAUGCGCAGUUGGCCGAUAUAGCUUUCCAAGGCCUGCUGCCACACAUUAAGGAGAAAUAUGCUUCGCAAGAAUUCGAGAGCCUGAGCCAGAUUGUCCACCGAUUGUCCGGACAAGAGGUGCGUCCAUUCGAUCCAAGAAGGAAUUUCCAGAAGAAAGUGGCGUUCCUGGAAGAAUUAGAGGACGAGGAAGACGCCGACAUCGGACUUGCAGAGUGGAUUAAAGGAAAGAAGCCGAUAUCAUGCCCGUUCGGCAAAAAGGAGCCGGAAGCAUUUGGUUUCGAUACAACUAAAGCUGACAAAAUCUUUGAUCUUCUACUCCAGGAAGGACAAAUUAAACUCUCGCCUUACCACACGAUACCCUCUGCCGAACAAUUGAAGAAGAUGAAGUAUUGCAAGUGGCAUAACGCCACAUCACAUGAUACCAACGCCAUUGAGCAAGGCAGACUCAAAUUUGAAGUGCCGGCAAAACUGGCUAAACCUAUGAAGAUUGAUCAACACCCUUUUCCUACCAACAUGGUGGAUACGGGUAAGAAUCCCCUCCAAACAAAAGUGCUGACGUCCGAAUCGGCAAAAAGGAGCGGCUCUGUCGACCCCAGAAAUCAAGUUACACCCGAAGACAUCAAAGGGAAACGGCGAAUGGAGGACGACGAUGGUGAGUCUGAUAGACCACGUAUUACUUCCCAGUUCCUGCUCCAAAAGUACCAACGCCAACAUGAACGAUCGAGGUCCCGAGAGGAAGCAAUGCGUCGACACGAAGAACACUGGAGAUGCCCAUUCUUCAUCCAUUGUUGGGAAAAUAACCUCAGGCUUCCAUCAGCCGAUACUUGCCCAGAGUGCAACGGUCCCUAUCGAAGCAAUCGGCCGAUUACAAGGUCUCGCUCCAGAGACGGAAGGCCAGAACCGAUCAGCAGGAAUCGGCGCAACCCAGAUGAUCAGCGCCCUUCCAUGCGUGAUCGGCUGGGGGGCAGAAGUGACCGAUAUGAUCGGUCAGAAGAUAGAAGCCAUAAUAGGCAGGGGGGCAGGACCGAUCGACAUGAUCAAUCAAGUAGCAAAGCCAGCGUUCACAGUCGGCUCCAAGACAUGGCCGAUGCUCGGGUAACAGACGAGAACCCGUUAGGACGCGAGCCAGAAUGGGAACGCGCCAGGAAAGAAGGGAGGCCAAUAAACCCCAGAUGGUGUCCCGAUGGUUUGACCAAAUCACAAAAACGAAGAGUCCAACGCCUCCGCCAAUGGGAACAGCAAGAAGAAGAAAGCGCGAUGGACAAGAAGGAAGGGAGGCCUCGGGUAUGGCGCCCCAAAGGAAACGACAAGGGCAACGAUGAAUCGGCGGGUGAUGAAUCGGCAGCCGAAAUCGGUAUGGUUUUCAUAUUGCCGACGGAGUUUAUGACCCCUGCCGAUCAACAGAACGUGUCGGCAAUAGAGGAACAAACAGCACGGUUGGCGUUAGAACCAAUGAUGGCCACGUUCGAAAAGCCCGAAGACGACGAACGACAACAUAUGAAGGCGUUGUUUCUUAAAGGGCAUGUUGACGGUCGCCCCCUCACUAAAUUGAUGGUCGACGGGGGAGCUGCCGUCAACAUCAUGCCGUAUGCCAUACUCCGAAAGCUGGGAAAGAGCGAUGACGACCUAACCAGGACGGACAUGAUGCUCAAGGACUUCGAAGGCAAGGUGUCAAACGCUCGCGGUGCCCUCUGCGUUGACCUCACCAUCGGCAGUAAGACCCUUCCUACCACGUUUUUCGUCAUUAAUGGCAAAGGGUCCUAUAAUAUGCUUCUUGGACGAGACUGGAUACACGCAAACUGCUGCAUACCGUCAACUAUGCAUCAAUGCCUGGUACAAUGGGUCGGCGACAACAUCGAGGUGGUCAAAGCCGACUCCGCGUACAGCAUCGCAGCAGCCGACGCACAGCAAUGGAGCUGCGAAACCGUCAGGUGCAUAUCAGGUAGGGUGUGGGAAACUGAUUUCCUGAAGGUCACCGAUUUUGGCCUACAGCCGAUCCGAGCAGUCGGCUCUGAAGAAGCGCAAUAAAUGGAUCAGUUCGCCCGAGAAGACGGGAAGCUGGGACACGGAUUCACGUCGGCCGAUUCAUUGGAAAUGGUAGAUUUAGGUGACGGGACCAAACCAAGGCCGACUUUUAUUAGUGCAAAUUUAGAUCCAGAGUACAAGUGUAAAUUGACAAAUUUAUUAAGAGAAUUCAAGGAUUGUUUUGCGUGGGAGUAUCACGAGAUGCCCGGAUUAGAUCGAUCUAUUGUUGAACAUCGGCUACCCAUAAAACCAGGGUAUCGGCCGUACCAACAACCCGCACGGCGAUGCAAUCCUAAAAUUUUACCAGACAUAAAAGCCGAAAUAACUCGGCUAAUUGAAGCGAAAUUUAUUCGGCAAUGUCGUUACGCCGAGUGGAUUUCUAAUAUCGUACCGGUGUAUAAGAAAAACGGGAAACUGCGCGUUUGCGUCGAUUUCAGAAAUCUUAAUCAGGCCACACCGAUGGAUGGCUACCCCAUGCCUACGGCCGAUGUACUGAUCGACGCUGCCGCGGGGCACAAAAUUAUUAGCUUCAUGGAUGGGAACGCCGGAUACAAUCAAAUACUUAUGGCCGAAGAGGACAUACCCAAAACGGCUUUCAGAUGUCCAGGCCAUCUUGGUCUAUUCGAGUGGGUGGUGAUGACUUUCGGUUUGAAGAAUGCUGGUGCUACAUAUCAGAGGGCCAUGAACUAUAUUUUCCACAAACUCAUCGGCCUCCUGGUGGAGAUCUACAUCGACGACGUUGUGGUCAAAUCCAAAAGCCACGAGGAACACCUAGCCGAUUUGCGAAGGGUCCUAGAGUGUACCAAGAAACAUGGUCUUAAGAUGAAUCCCAACAAAUGCGCUUUCGGCGUCUCCGCCGGACAGUUCCUAGGAUUCAUGGUGCACGAACGAGGCAUUGAAGUCAAUCAGAAGACCAUAGCGGCCAUCAACAAAGUCGUCGCUCCGCAGAACAAAACUGAACUACAAUCUCUAAUCGGCAAGGUAAACUUCAUCGGAAGGUUUAUAUCUAAUCUAUCUGGACGGAUCCAGACGUUCACACCACUUCUGAAGUUGAAGCCAGACCAAGAAUUUAUUUGGGGAGAAGAACAGCGCAAGGCGUUAGAAGACAUCAAGCGAUACUUAGUCUCGCCCCCAGUCCUGGUUCCCCCCCAAACGGGUAAGCCGUUUAAACUAUAUUUAUCAGCCGAUGAAAAAGCUAUUGGGUCGGCUCUAGUCCAAGAGUUUGAAGGCAAAGAACGGGUGAUUUAUUACGUUAGUAGAAGACUCCUGGAUGCCGAAACAAGAUAUCCUCCAGUAGAGCGUUUGUGUUUGUGUCUUUACUUCUCGUGCACCAAACUCAGACACUAUCUACUGUCGGCAGAAUGUAUAGUCGUAUGCAAAGAUGAUGUAGUGAAAUACAUGCUGUCACUGCCGAUAUUGAAAGGGCGAAUCGGUAAAUGGAUUUUAGCUUUAUCAGAAUUUGACCUACGGUACGAAUCGGCAAAAGCCAUCAAAGGUCAAGUCAUGGCCGAUUUCGUCGCACAGCACUGUGGGCCGGAGAUCGCCUUCGUGGAACUAGCGCCUUGGCAGUUAUUUUUUGAUGGGUCAUCAUGCGGAGUCGGAUCGGGAAUCAGCAUCGUUCUCAUAUCGCCUCGGGGGGCAAGAUACGAUUUUUCUCUGCCGAUAGAAACCGCCACCACAAACAAUCAAGCGUAAUACAGAGCUGUAUUAAAAGGCUUACGAUUAUUGAGAGAAGUCAAGGCCGAUUCUGUCGAGGUCUUCGGAGAUUCGAUGUUAAUCGUGGAUCAACUAACCGGGAAGGCUGAGUGCAAAGAUGACAUAUUACGAAUUCAUCACGAAGAUUGCCUACAGCUGUUAAAAGAAUUCAGAUCGGCAGUAAUCGAGCAUGUCCCAAGAGACCGCAAUGAGGAAGCGAACAAACUCGCUCAACACGCAUCUGGGUAUCGGCCGAUUCUAGGCGCCAUGGCCUUAGAGCUUGCAGCUGACGAUUGGCGCAAAGAAAUUGCCGAUUACCUAAAGGAUCCGUCUAAAAAGGUGGAGCGGCGAGUACGCUUUCACGCUACCAAAUACGUAUUACUCGAAGAUGAUCUGUUUUACCGAACGAUCGAAGGUGUUCUUCUUAAAUGCCUUGGGACAGAAGAAGCCAAGACUCUAAUGGGAGAAAUCCACGAAGGGGUAUGCGGAGCUCACCAAUCAGCACAUAAGAUGAAGUGGAUGAUCAGAAACAAUGGGUACUAUUGGCCUACGAUCCUUGAAGAUUGUUUCAAAUAUUAUAAGGGUUGUCAGGAGUGUCAAAAGUUUGGAAAUGUCCAGCAUGCACCUGCAUCGGCCAUGAAUCCCAUCAUCAAACCAUGGCCGUUCAGAGGGUGGGGAAUAGACCUUAUCGGCCAAAUUUAUCCACCAUCGAGCAAGGGGCACAAGUUUAUUCUGGUCGCCACCGAUUAUUUCACCAAAUGGGUGGAGGCAAUCCCAUUAAGAACUGUGACUUCGGCUAUCAUGGCCGAUUUUGUAAGGGAUCAUAUCGUCUACCGAUUCGGUAUCCCUCAAACUGUAACAACCGAUCAAGGAACGAUGUUCACAUCGGGGGAAUUUGAGGAGUUUACAACCGAUAUGGGCAUCAAAUUGUUAAAUUCUUCUCUGUAUUACGCUCAGGCCAAUGGUCAAGCAGAAUCUUCCAACAAAGGAAUAAUCAAGUUGAUCAAAAGGAAGAUUGAAGAAUACCCGAAGAAGUGGCACCUGUGUUUAACCGAAGCCCUAUGGGCAUACAGAAUGGCCUGUCAUGGGGCCACCAAGUUAUCUCCUUAUCAGUUGGUAUACGGUCACGAUGCAGUACUUCCAUGGGAAUCGAGGGCAGGAUCAAGGCGCAUUUCACUUCAAGACCAGUUAUCGGCCGACGACUACUCGGCACUUAUGAAAGAAGAACUUGAUGAUGUGGCCGGUCAUCGACUAAGGGCUCUGAUAAGUAUCGAAGAGAAUAAAAAGAGAGUGGCCAGGUGGUACGAUAAAAAGGUCAAAGUCAAGCAGUUCUCCCCCGGAGAUUUGGUAUGGAAGUUAGUACUACCGAUCGGGUCGAAAGAUCCUAAAUUCGGUAAAUGGUCUCCUACCUGGGAAGGGCCGUAUAAAAUCGGCAAAUGCUUAUAUCUUGGAAACAAUAGAAGGAGAAGAAUUCACUAGAGCUCUGAAUGGGAGGUAUUUAAAAAGGUAUUACCCAAGUAUAUGGGUCGGUGCCUAAGGAAUUAAACACGAUCAUACAUGACCGAUACGAUUCGGUCUUGAGACACACAUAAAGUCAACCGGAACGGCCGAUUACAUUCAUUCGGUACGGGCGACGGGUUACAUGGCCGACAAAAUGUUUAGUCGCCCUUAGAACAAAAAUACAGCAACUAAUUAUUCUUUUUCUUACGCUCCCUCUCAGCCCGACCUAACUCUAUCAUGAGUCGGAUGUAUUCUUCUUCUAUGGCCUUCAUUGAAAUCUCCGCUUCGACUUGACCGGGGAGAUCUACGGGAGGGCGCGAAGUCCCCACUCCCGCAUCUUCAAGAACGACUUGCCGAGGGAGUGGAUGACUCCUGUCAAUGGGAGGUCGACGGCUGCCAUUCCUCUCCACGAAGUCCAGGAUCAUUCGGGCCUCCGUGGCGAUGUCGUCUUCAAGAUCGCCACAACGAUCGCCCCUGACAGGUGGAGAUUGCUGGUUACUUUCACUCACCACGGAAUCCAAGACUACGCGAGCCUCCGUGGUAAUGUGAUCCUGGAGCUCUUCUCGGUGAGCCGCGAUCAGCAUCUUGUCCUCCGACGUUAAUGGAUCUUCGGAAUGAAUGCACUCAAUGGCGCGCACGAGCUCGGGGCUAAGACGUUGAGGCUGAAACAAAGAAGGGAUGAGGAGGGAUAUUCUCUUCCUUAGGGUCUAAAAAAGAAAGGAAGGUAGAGGUCAAAAAACUUCACCUGGUUAACAGAGGAAGAAGAAGAUGACGAGGCCAUAGCGAAGAAAUUGCACCGAUGAGAAGGGGCAGAAAGGUUGAACCGAGAGCCAAGAUUGAUGUUACCAGGAGUAAGCGCCGAGCUUGGUAUUUAUAAAAGAAUGCGUGGAAAUCUGGUAAAGCUACGUCCCAUCGGUAAUAAGAAGGCAAUAAAUAGAAAGGGCGUCGCGAGGGGCGGUCAAAGAAGGUAGUAAAUGAUUCGUACAAAACGGUCAGUGUUUUACAGAUUACCCAGAAGGGUAUCGAUGGCCGUGAUGGCCCGACGCCGGAUCUGAUCGGCAGAGUCAAGUACCCGUUGGUCUUCUUCCGCCGAUCCAGGAACCUCCGAUGCGCUGCGAUGGAGUCUCAGUGCCUCGUGAGCAAAGCGUUGCCUCUCCCGUGUUAAAUCGGCAAUAACAGAAGGUAGCUCUUCGAGUUUGUUCUCUUCGGCACUGAUUGCCUUGAUCACUUGCUCCAUUUCCUUGGCAAGCUCCGCCCUACGACGCUUGAGACGGUCUAUUUCUCCUAUGAUCGCCGGACGGGAAUCUUCUAGGACAUGGAUACGCCGAUUCGCCUCUUGAGCCUGACGUUUGAAAGCGUCUUCCUCUUCGCGAGCCUUGGUCAGCUUAGCGCGAUCGGCCAUGUGACGAAGGGCUCUGAAGACCGGGAUCCUCAUAGACUCGAUGAAGGCCGCCGGCGCCAGGGCCUCCUCCGCCUCUUCUGGUACUCGUCCGCUGACGUCAUUGAAGAGCUGCCGAAUCGGCGAGGCGUCUUCUACUAAUCGGCCGAUGUCCCCUUGAAGGAGGGAUCGGAUGCUGGAAAGUUUGGCUCGGACGUCGUCAGGAACGGAACUCAAGGCGACUUGGCGAGAAGCAACUUCUUCGUCGUCAGAGAGGGCGACCGCAAAAGAAAAGAGACUGUUGUCGGGGGUAUCCUGUUCCUGAAGAUAAUAAAGAAAAGAAAUGAACCAGCUGUAAGAAAGAGCAAAUCGGCUAAGAUGGAGGCCGAAACAGAAAAAUACCAUUUUGAAGCGAAUCUCCUCAUGUUGCACUUGAGAAGCCGCCAUGCCUUGCUCGGGGGCCUGCGCCAUGGGUUCAUCAGAUGGAGAGGACUCCACGAUAAUUGGCGCAGUGUUUGGACCAGCCUCCUGACAAGAAAUCGGCGAUCGAGGAGCGAUUGAUGUGCCGAUGGCCUGUGUCAGAAGUUUGAAUAAAUACGGUACGUAAAUGCCCAAAGGAAAUCGGUACGAGAAGUUCUAUACAUUAACGGAAGGAAACGGGGGCACGUCAAUAGCUGGAGGGGCUGCUGCCGAUUGUGGUACUUCUGUAGGGAUGCUCUGUGCAGUUUAAAGAUAAAAGAAAAAUUAAUAUCAAAAAUAAUAAUCGGAGACAGCGCAACUCAGUUUUACCUGUAUGGCCUCCAACAACAACGAUGCGGCGGCCGCCCCAGCUUGCGUCAUGGUUUGAGUAUCGGCACCUUGAAUGACUUGAGGAGGUGGUACGGCCGAAGUGUCUGCCGAUACGCUCACGGGAGGAUCCGCCGAUCCCGUACGAGCCCGGACUCGGCGACUGGUCUUCUUGGUAGUCCUUUUAUGAACUUGUUUCGAUCGGCCAGUAAUCACGUCAACAGACGGGGCGUUAUAGCCGAUAAGGGGAUAAGUAGUGUAUGGAUGACUCUCUAUCAGUCGUCCGCUGCGGCUGUGUGUUGGAGGGAUCCGAUUCUCGGCCUAAAAUAAUAAAAUCAUUAGUACUCGGUCGUGUUAAGGGGAAUAAAAGGGAAUAAAAAUCGGCUAUGUGAAGUACCUCGGCGUUUGGAUCAAUGUUGGUCGGGUCCAGAAGAUUGCAGUAUGCCGAUGCUGAGUUGCAGAAGAGGAAUUGCUUCCAAUCAGCCCACCAUAGUUUGAACGGCUGAACAGCAAAUGGAGCUACUAGCCAGUCGUUCAAGUUAAUUGUACUGGAGUCUGGAAUUCGGUCUCGCAACCGACCGUAAUCUAGGCUAGAUUUGAGAUCAUCUCUAAACUUGAUUUUGCCAGCAAAGUACACCUGAAUCGGCAGCUGACCCAUGCCAAAUUGUCGUGCCGCAGCAGAAGGGUUGUAGAAUUCAUACGUAGGGGCAUCCUUCCCUGAGAAGAAAUUGGCCGGUAGGAUCCCUGGCUUGAUCAACCCUUCAUAGAGAUCUUCAUCAAACCGGCCAGAAGUUGAGUCAAAGCAGGAAGGGAGCUCGAAGAUGGGAAUGUCUCGCUGGUAUGGAAACCAGAUAGUUGCGUCCUCAUUAAAUCCAUCGUAAAAGCACCGAAAGUACUCGGCUACCUUUGUAGCGGAAUACGCACAACCUGGAAAAGCUGAUGCCGCUUCACCAUAAGACAUGCAUCGGCGACGCUCGGUAGGGUCUUCCGCCGAUUCAAUAUUGGGAAACGUCAUGUGGUCCACUGGCUGCCGGGUGAUCCUGUUCAUGUAAAGGUUCAACCAUAGAUUGACGAACCACCAAGGCCCACCUGGGUUGCCGAUUGGUUCUCCCUUGGAAAGUUUUGUGCCGAUUUGGUGGAGCAUGUGGUACACAGCACCCAGAAGAUGUUUCCCGAGAGGAAUGUGGCUUCCUUUGGACAGUGCCUCGGCUAAAGAUUGGGUGUUGGUUGUUGGGCCGGCGGCUCUUCCACAGAAAAGGUGUUUUUCUAGCCACAUCAUCAGGAAAGCGGUGUGCUCCCUAUUAUCAAUAGUACCGGUCUUCUUGUUAUUACUAAUAAAGCCCUUCCAGCUGCCGAUUCCUCUUACGUCCAGCCGAUGCGACGGUACGGUCAGAAGUUGGAAAGGCGUGUCAGGAGAGGAUAUGUCCAGGCCGGUCAAGAGGACCACAUCGGCCAGAGUGGGGGUCAUAGGACCGUGUCCAAAUAAGAAUGCAUUAAGAGCGUCAGACCAAAAAUAGGAAGCCGCCAUCACUAGCGGUUCGUUUUUCUCCAUUUGCGACAGAGAGAGGUUGAUACAUUGGCCGAUUUUGAGUUCAUCCCACAAGACGCUCUUUGACGUGGCCAUCCGUUGGUACCAUUCCCUCCAACCGGGGGUUUCAUUCGGCCAAGAUCUAAAAGUGCUGGCCCAUUGAUCUAAGUUCAUGUCAGAUCGUUUGAAAGGUAUCCGGUCAGUUUCCAAGUUUAUGAGGUCUGCUGGAUCUGGGUCUCCCAUGGGACCAAGGCAAACAAGGCCAGGACUACCCGUGAGAUGGAUAGUGAUUCUAUGUCUAACCGCCUAAAUGAGGAAAAGAGGCAUAAGAAUAUAAGGAAUAGAUCUAAGAUAAAUACGUUACCGAUAGAGGAAAAAUUCGGUGUUUACCUCCGGUAUAAAAUUCUGAGUAAUCGGUGUGGUCGCCGAUGCAGAUGCAGAUGAUGAAGCCGUAAUGGGGAUCGCCAUUGGGAUCUCUGAUGAAGCUCCUUCAUCUAUGGAUGGAGUGACGGUUGUUGCCACCGUUACCGGAGGUGCUACCUCCACCGGGGGCAUUGUCCCUGGAGCAUCGCGUGCUGGGGAAUUACCGGAGGGAGUCGCCAUUGAAGGGGAGGGGAAGAAGUGACAGGAGCUGGAGCUGGAAGGCUUCGAUGGCAAGAUUGAAGAAGGAAGGAAGUGCGCGCGCUGGAAAGAGGGAUGUGAGCUUGAAGAUGAGUUGCGGUGAAAUGAUAUUUAUAGGGUGCCUGAAGAAAGGGUAAAGAUGGAAUUUUCAACGCGCCGGCGCGUCGAGUUUUUCGGGGUAGUGGCUGUCGUGGGCGCCCGUUUCAAAAAAUUGCAAUGAUCAGCCGGGAGACCGCGAAACGGAAGGAUAUUUUCACUGCGGCCGUUUCGGAAGAGAGGUUAUAAAGAAUUUCGAAGUAAAAGGCUAUGUUUUACUCCGAAACUGGGGGGCAUGUGUUGACGCCGGAUUUCGUCAUCAGUAGAAUCGGCGCCAAAGAGGAAAGAAAUCGAAGGAGGACGGAUGGAAAUCGGCCAAAAGGUGCUACAGCGCGGAAUCGGUCAAGUGGCUUUUACUUUGCUUCAGAGUGAAUACGCCGGGUUCCCAAUCGGCAAUCCUUUGCUGAUAAGAAAUCGGCCGAUCAGGAAGGUGGACUAAGGUGGGCCUGUAUGGGCUUGGAAAGAUGGAAGGAUAAGGUGGAGUUCAGCCCAUGAAGCGUGGGGUAAUUAGUUUAGCUCGGAUUGUGCUUGUAGAUAUUUGUUUUCUGUUUAAAUUAGAGAUAGAGUCCUAGUCGGUUAAGAAGAUUAUUUGUACGGGGCUAUAAAUAGCUACCUUUGUAAAUCUGUAAAAAAAAAAAACAAUCAAUCAAUACAACAAGUUACUUUAUUCUUCGUACUUACUUUCGAGCAGGCGACUUCGCCAUCACUUUUCCUUCUCACGAGUUCGUGCGGGUUGGCAGGGCUGCAUCAUCUUGAUCUCCGGCCGAUUCUGUAAGUUCCGUUUAUCGAGUAAUAUCUAAGCUUUAACUUCCGGCGCAUCGCUGUUGUUUCGUUUAGAUUUUAUUCAUCAGUUAUCGAUAUCGACUAGAUUCAUAGGUUUUUACCUGUUCUCCUAGUUUUUAUCACCAGUUACCCCGCUAGGAAUCGGUAGUAUCGGCUUUCAUUACUUUCUGUUACCAAAUCCAUCUGUUGCCGAUUAGAUCUUUUCCUGGUGCUGUUACUACGUGCCUUGUACCGAUUACUUUAAUAUUUUUCUAUCUACAAGGCUACGGGGGUCGUGCUGUCUUGUAGCCGAUUUCUUUACCACAGUAAAUCGGCCGAUCUGCCGAUAAGCUCUCUCGAUCGGAAACUUAGCCGAUCGUAGUUACUGAUUUUGACACGUGUUCUUCCUUGCCAAUCAACAGGUCAGAUUGGCUGGCACGCCGUGCGAACCGCACCAGGGCAUUCACCCGAACAGGAGCUAAGCAGAUUCUCCCGGGUCGUGUGUCGGCCGCUGGGAUUCGGUUGACCGAUUUCUAGCGCCAACAUCUGCGCAUUCAAAUAAUUUAAUUGAAUAAUUUCUUGAUCACAGCAAUGCAGUAAAAUAAAUAUUUUACAGGCUAAAUGAGUUGGUAUAGAAUUAAUGAUUACUUCAUACUUAUUGUCAAUUUACUCGUUAAUUAAAUAUAUUUUUGCAUGUACAAAAUCUGUGAAGGUUUUGUUUUUCAUCCUGAAAUGCAGUGAAAAGGUAAAAUAAAAUCCAUUUCCAAAAAACAGGCGGGAGAAGAAAAAUAGGAAAAAAGACCUUUUGUCUCGGGGCUAACAGCAACCGGGACAAAAGGCCCCCCUUUUAUCCUGGUUGCCAACGGCAACCGGGAUAAAAGGGUACGUUUCGUCUCCCGCCCAAACGUACCCUUUUAUCCCGGUUGCCAACUGCAGCAGGGAUAAAAGGGUACACUCCCAGCCCCACCUGGCGGGGGUACCCUUUUGUCCCGGGUCCCGUCGCCAACCGGGAUAAAAGGGGGGGGGCCUUUUAUCCCGGUUGGUGNNNNNNNNNNNNNNNNNNNNNNNNNNNNNNNNNNNNNNNNNNNNNNNNNNNNNNNNNNNNNNNNNNNNNNNNNNNNNNNNNNNNNNNNNNNNNNNNNNNNGACGAGACGACGACGCGAGACGACGACGGCCGAGGCGAAGACGACGACGGCGGCGUAGGCGGGACGGCGACGAGACGGCGACGAGGGGCGACGAGGAUGGAGCCGGCGACGAGGAUGUGGAGCCGGUGGCCGGAGGCGACGAGGUGGCCGGGGGCCGGGCGCGUCGACGGACGAGGAGGGGAUCGAGGAGGGCCGGCCGGGGGACGACGACGGCGCAAUGGGGGACAUCGACGGCGCAAUGGGGGACGACGACGGCGGCGGCCGGUGAGGGAGGCGGACGGGCGGCGACGGCGGAGAACGCGCGGGACUUGCGAAAUUUUGGCUAAGUGUGUAACUGGCAGGGGGUAGAAGGGAGUACAGUGCCUUUUAACCCCCCCCUUUUAUCCCGGUUCGUAAUAGGACCCGGGACAAAAGGCUCUUUUGUCCCGGGUCCUAUUACGAACCGGGAUAAAAGGGGGGGGUUAAAAGGCACUGUACUCCCUUCUACCCCCUGCCAGUUACACACUUAGCCAAAAUUUCGCAAGUCCCGCGCGUUCUCCGCCGUCGCCGCCCGUCCGCCUCCCUCACCGGCCGCCGCCGUCGUCGUCCCCCAUUGCGCCGUCGAUGUCCCCCAUUGCGCCGUCGUCGUCCCCCGGCCGGCCCUCCUCGAUCCCCUCCUCGUCCGUCGACGCGCCCGGCCCCCGGCCACCUCGUCGCCUCCGGCCACCGGCUCCACAUCCUCGUCGCCGGCUCCAUCCUCGUCGCCCCUCGUCGCCGUCUCGUCGCCGUCCCGCCUACGCCGCCGUCGUCGUCUUCGCCUCGGCCGUCGUCGUCCCGCCGUCGUCGUCUUCGUCCUCGUCGCCGUCCCGCGCGCCGCCCGGCCGCCGCCGUCCCGCCGCCCCGGCCGCCGCCGUCCCGCCACCCCGGCCGCCGCCGUCCCGCCGCCCCGGCCGCCGCCGUCCCGCCGACCCGGCCGCCGCCGACCCGCCGACCCGGCCGCCGCCGUCCCGCCGUCCCGCCGUCCCGGCCGUCGGCCCGCGCGGGAGAGGUCCGCUGCCGCGCCGGCCGGCAGCGCCGGGAGGGUUUUCUUUUUAAGUUAAUUAGAAAAUUAAGUUUUAUUUUUAGAUAGAAUUGUAAUUUUGUUAAGUUAGAUUUUUAGAUUUCUAGUUAGUUUGUUAAGUUAGAUUUCUAGUUAGUUUUUUAAGUUAGAGUUGAUAUAGAGAUCGCCGAGUAGCCGCCGUGAUCGUCGCCUUGUAGCCGCCGUGAUCGCCGCCGAGUAGCCGCCGUGAUCGCCGCCAUCCCGCCGCCCAUCACAACCUAGUAGGCACCGCCCGUGGUUCCGGUGAACCGUCCCCGCCGUACCGCCGCCCUGACCGCCGCCGUCCCGCCUCCGCCGCCCUGAUCGCCGCCGUCCCGCCUCCGCCGCCCUGAUCGCCGCCGUCACAACCUAGGCACCGCACGUGGAUAUUGUUACAAAUUCGUAGAAAUUCGUCAAAAUUCGUAGAAAUUCGUCAAAAUUCGUAGAAAUUCGUAGAAAUUUGUAGAAAUUCAUAGAAAUUCGUAGAAAUUCGUAGAAAUUUGUAGAAAUUCGUAGAAAUUCAUAGAAAUUCGUAGAAAUUCAUAGAAAUUUGUUGAAAUUCGUCAAAAUUCAUAGAAAUAUUUCGGACUUUGUACGAUUCAUGUUAUUUUAUGAUUUCAUUAUAUACAUGUAUGAUUCCAUUCCGGACUUUGUACAAAUUUGUAUUAAGACGAUUUCUAUGACUGUCAUGUAUGAUUCCAUGUAUGUUUCCAUCAAUAGUUGAAAUGGCAGACGAUGAGACCGCAAGGUAUAUCAUGGAGCAGAUAAUCGCUGGUGAUGGUAGUGGCGACAACGUUCCACUAUCAUACACGUAUGAAGAGGGCACCCAGGCGGACAUGUUCCUCAACAUGUCCGCUGAUGGGAAUGAAGAGCAACAGCCGCAACAACAACUUGCCGUGGCGGAAGGUUCCGGCGAGGUAUAUACAACCAUUCUUGUAUUGUUUCACGCCACCGCUACUACUACGUACUAAUUAACGAAUCUUGAACUGUUAGCCCUCCGGAUCGACACAAGGGCAGAAGACCUGAGGUCGUACAAAGGUGAUGGAAGGGAGGCUUGUCAUCACCGAAGUUACAGAAGAGGGCAAGCCGGUUGCUCCCGAGAAAGUAGCAAAGAAGUACGUGAGUCAAAUCGGGGCAAUCGUUCGGGACAACGUGCCUAUCAGCAUCAGAGAAUGGAAGGGCAGAAGAGAUAAUCCGUACGCCCUUCCAGAGAUAGAAAAGAAUAUGCUGUGGGAAGACGUGAAGAGACAUUUCACAUUCCCCGAAGGAUAUAGCGAGAAGGAUGUCAAAGCGUGGACGCUUAAGAAGAUGGCUACUCAAUUCCAGACAUUCAAGAAGAUGCUGGACACCCACUACAUCAAGAAGGGCAAAACUCCAGACUUCAACGCGUGGCCAAAGUUGAGGGACCACUGGGAUGCAUUUGUUGAAUACAAGAGGAGUGAAGAAGGUGUGAAAAAGAUCACGACCAACAUAGCAAAUGCUAGUCAGAAGGGCUACCACCAUCAUUUGGGGUGAGGUGGGUAUGGCUCAGCAAUUCCCAAGUGGAGGAAGAUGGAACAAGAUCUGAUCGAACGGGGAAUCGUACCUGCAACUAUUGAAUGGCCCGAACGAUCAAAGAACUGGUACUACGCUCAUGGAGGCUCCCUAAGCCAAGAGGAUGGGACGCUGAUUUUCAAUGACACAAUACGUGAGAAGGCCGAACAUCUCAUGAAGAACAUUGAAGAUUCCAAGGCUGGGAGGUUGAGGGUGGACCAAGAAAAUGAUGAGCUCACAUUGGCCCUCGGUAAUCCAGAGCACCCAGGACGUUGCCGGGGGUUCGGGGUGGUUCCGUGGAAGUUCGCUUUCCGAGGCGACAGCGCCUCUUACAGAAGCCGGAAGCGAAGAAAGGAACAGAUGGAGGAGAGCUGGUAGCAGAUGGUAGAACAAAGAAUGAUGGAUGAAAUCAAUCGGCGGGUGGCCGACGCAGUUGCGGAGUUGGCGCAAUCUGGAGCAAUGCCGAAUCCUAACACCGCCAGCCCUUCUCAACGCCUCGGGAGCAGUUGUGCUUCUACAGGGGUCCCCGAUGCGCAGACGCCCAGGUUACCCGUGGAGGAGCAAUGGUUCCCCGUGGAUGCCAUCACGCAACGGACCUCAUGUAAGCUGCAUGCACCGGUCGGCAACCUCACUAUUAAGGUAUACUUAUACAUAAUAUUUAUGCAAUCUUGUCAAUUGAUCCAGGCCUCGAGAUCGGAGUUCAACCUGUUUACUUCUACUAUAUGUACAGGUAGCGUACGGGAGUGUGUUACCAACCCUGGCAGGGCAGAGCAGUCAUGGCAUGGACAUUCCAACAGGCUACGCCAGCGUCUGCGUCGAGCAAAUAGUUGAUCCCCAGUAUGAAGGUCUAGAGCUCGACUUCCCGGGAGGCGACGGGGAAAAGACAUUGGCAGAUGCGCUUCAUGGGAUCAUUCUAUGGAAGAAACGCUACAUCAUUAUUCCCCGCACGGAGCCAUCUCCUCAGACCUCAAGACCACUCCCCGUAGAUCCCCAGCAGCGACCUUCUCCUCAUACCUCGAGACCGGCAUCUCCUGCUCCAGGACCGUCUCUUCCAUCUAUAUCAAGGUCUCCAUCUCCACCACAUCCUGGUGCUGGGAGCGACGACGACAAUAACAACACCCCUCCCCGAUCACCGUCACCGGCACCAAGAGCGGCCCCCUCGAAGGAACCUGCAGCACCACUCAAGAAGUCACGAGCACCGCCUCCCAAGCAAAGACAGAGAAAGAAGAAAACAAAGGUCGACCCUGAAGUGGCUCGCAAGGAACGCUUUGAGGCAAUGUCUCAUGAAGAACAGUGGGCAGAAAUCCAACGAGAGGCCAGUGAGUGGUUCAAGAAACAAGCCGAAUUAAAAAAGGCAAGGGAGAUGGAGCCACCGUCAGUAAGUCGGCGAGAUUUAAACUUUUUUAUCAGGAUGGAGGAAGAAGCCAAGAAAAGGAUACCACUCUUGUCAAACUAUGAACGGGCUCUAGUAAAGGCUGAUGAAAAGGAUAAAAGGAAAGGAAAAUCAUCCUCCAGCAGUCCAGUCCCCGACCUCAGCCAUUUAUCAAAAAAAGAUGCUCAACGGGUAAAAGCAAUGCCCUUGGAUCAACAAGCAAAUAUAUUGAAGUUCAUGGAAGAAACAGGUCUGGGACUUGAUGAAUGCAUAGGGCAAGUCGAGACGCCAACUGCACCGCCCCCUGAGCCGAAGUGGACUUAUGAGCUAGGCAAACCUCUAGUAAAGCCUUCAAUGGUACGGAAGCUAUCAACAAAGAUGUACGAAUUCCAUCAAUGGUCGGCAUGAAGGUAAAACCGAUAGAUUUUCACGGUGAAGGGGAGAAAGUGCUGUGGCUAGACUUCAAGGAUAUAUACGAAGUGUACCAUCAUGAUGCCCUGGACGUCUCUCUGAUCAGCGCUUGGAUUCUGUAAGUGUCCGUUUAUUAUCUCUACAUGUAAAUUUUGGCGUGCGUCACCGUACUAACUUCAUCUUCCAUUUCAUGUAGGAUGCUAAUUCAGACAUGCCGCCGAGAGGCGUACCUACAUGUAGGCUUCAUGGAUCCAUCUGUAGUUAACCAACAACAGAUACAAUUAGCGCCGGAAAAAACCUUUGCGGAAAUAUACAAUUUCCUACACAAACAAACAUUCAAGGAUUUCAUACUACUUCCAUACAACUUCAAGUAAGUGUGUGUAUACCGUCUACUUUCGAUGUCUUUUUCCUUAUCUCUACAUGUUAGUUAGCUCUAAUAUGCAUGAACAUUUUACGCACGCAGCUUCCACUGGAUCCUUAUUAUAAUUGAGCCUGAAAGAAGCCACGUCACUGUCUUAGAUUCGUUAAGGAAAGAUCCGAUGGACUACCAAGAAUUGCAAGACAUGCUAGGCUUGUAAUAAUUCUGGACCUUUAUCUCUAUGCAAAAAUUUAUUUCCUAAAUUUUAUCCCUGUUACACUAUGUCAUUCAUUAUUCUAAUCCGCAGCGCAUGGAAACAAUUCAUAAGGACACACAAAGGUCCAUUCAAAGAAAAUCUUACAUGGAACACAGACUUCCCGGUACGUAUGCAGUCUGCACAUUUAUUACAUUGUAUAACACAAAUAUUUCAUAACUUAUUUUUUUCCGCACUGAAGUGCUUAAGACAGGAACCCGGGAAUAAUCUAUGUGGCUACUACAUCUGUGAGCACAUGCACAGUUUUUUGGGACCCAAGGGACCGAAGAUGACGCCGCACAACUUUAAAGUACGUAAAAUAACUAUAUUACUAGUUAAUUAUUUUCUAGCUCCUUAUAUGUAUUUGUUCAUGUAACAUUCACAAAUUUCCAAAUUAUAGAUGUUAAAUAUUCAACAAGGACUCUUGAAGGAAGAAAGAGUAGCGGCAAUAUGUGAAGGUCUCAUUGGAUUCAUAAUGGACGAGGUGGUGGACGAGGUGGUAAAUCCAAGAGGAGAAUUUUAUUACGAUGGACGACAAUUAGACACUCCGAUCAGCAACACCACGAUGGAUACUUUGAUUUAUUUGUAUAUAUAAUACGCGCUAAUUAUGAUCGAUUUGUACUAAGCUAGUUGAAUUGUGUAUAUGAAUUGUGUAUAAGGAUUGUGUAUAUAUAUAGUAAUUGUAUAAUUACAAAUCCCAUUCGUUUAAAUACUAGUUGAUUUCGUUCUAAAAAAAUCUCAACUACAAGGUUAACAAAUUAAAAGGGCUGCGGUACUACUAUACGUAUACGUGAUGCAUGCAUGAAAAAUUCAGACGUCACGGCUGUGCCAUGCAAGCGCCAUUUAGUCCCGGUUGGAAUCGAGCCGGGACUAAAGGGGACCCCUUUAGUCCCGGUUGGGAAAUCCAACCAGGACUAAAGGGGGACCUUUACUCCCGGUUAAAAGACCCGGGAGUAAAGACCCCCCCCUUUUGUCCCGGUUGGUUUAUCCCGGAUGGAUAUCCGAGAGAUAUGCACCCUACCAACCGGGACUAAAGGCCAAUUCUCUACCAGUGUAGACCAAACAUGAUACACACCAUGCGUACCUUGCUGUGCAGACUAUGCAUUGACAAGAUACCCGACCACAUGUUGGCCUCGGUCACAUCAAAAGAAUCAUGUAGGCCACCAAUAAACUACUUGAAGCGGCAUUCCGUAUCGUAUAUGCAUUGCCGGUUCAUCUGCAUUACAUUACAUAAAGCACUAUUAACUAUUUGAAUAAAAUGAACCAAUUUAAAAGUAAUGUGUUGUACUCUACUAUAGAAAGCCCUAUCACUGCCGGAUCCAAAAACAUCAUUGUUAAUGGUGGUUAAGUACCAAAUAUGAUGGUCAAUAUUCUCAAGAAUAAUGGAGAAUUAGCAUUUCUUAGACACAUAUUUGGUUUUGAACAAUGUAGUUCCACAUGUCUUUGGAGAUUAUUUGGGUGUGGGUGAAAUAAUACAAAAAUAAGGAGAAAACACACUCCCAUGGCAAAGAAACACAACUCCAACCAAUGAGAGAUAGCCACAGGGGCAGCACACGGAUCCAUGGGCCCACAAACCGCAUCAAACCGUCUUACCAAGGCAGGUAGCACCCACAACCGUCAUUAGGACCCACCUGGAAGUCUACCAAGAAGAAGGUUGCGAGUGGGGCCAGGAGGGGUUCGGUUGAAUCAUCUCUAGCUAGCUCCCCUCAUCCCCAGCUGGUGGGUGGUGGUGGUUGAUGGUGUCCCUACAUCGGUUAGAGGAGAUUCCCCCAAAUAUUCCUCCUGUAAACCACCUCUAUGGACCUAUACAUAGAGGGGUGUGCUCUCCAUUCCAACACACACCACAAGUUGAAUCACUGUCUCCCUCUUUAGUUUCCAAGUUUAUGGAGUUAGGCUAGAGUAGCUCUGCUCAAGGUUCCAAGUCCACUUGGAGUUAAGCAUAUGUCUCUUGUAUCGUUAUUUCCUAAAUUGACUUUAUGCUUAGUUCUUAUAUGCAUGAGUUAGUCUAAUACCCUUGCUCUAUUGAUAUGCUCGACUUAUAUGCUCGUAUGCUAGUCAUAUACCCUUGCUGUCGUAGUAUAGGCUUAUAUGCUCUCAUGUGUGCCUGUAGACCUUGCUAUAGUAUAUACUUGUUGUGUAUACAUACCAUGUAUAGGCUAGUCGAUCUAUACCAUGGCAUUGGUUCAAUAGCCAUGUUUUUGGUGGCUCCAGCCCUAGUCACAAUAGCUCGGGACAGCUGGAGUGUUGUUAAAAAUGCAAGAGUGGUGCUUGGGUUGUUUAGCAUCGUUGGAUAUGGGUUUGCCCCACAGGUUUCUAACGGUAGGCGACAGCUAGUGACAUCCCUGUCCGUCCUUCGUAAUCCCCCCACAUUCAGGUACGCCAUAAAUGUUCGUAAAUUAGCAGUAACUACGCCGGUACACCCAUAGGGUAUUGUCUCCCUGUAGUACCUUGGUGCAUAGAACUAAGUCCUAUACACUGUGUGUGUAUGUUUACGCUGAUAUGAUCUGUGCAGUAUAUAGGAUGUAUAUAUGAACCUAGAGCUAACUCCUAGUCCGUUCUCCAUAGCUUAGUUAUCUUGAGAUGAUUCUUUUGUAUGUGUAACACUACCCAUCUUAUCAUUAUCCUUGCUCCUGUCUUGUGUAAUAUAUCUACUCAUCCUAUGAUAUACUCAUAUGCAUAGUAAACUAUUUUGACCUACCCGCCUUCCUUUGGGAAAUAUGAUACCCUGGAAUAAUCCUAGGUGAAAUCCUACAACGGUAUAUCCAUGUGCUUGCGGAUUUAUUCAUGACCAUUAAAUAUACCAACAAUCAUCACUGCCGGUUAUGGGCGUCGUUAGUGAAGGGUUGGUAGUGAUGGGCAUCCCCUUCACCAAUGGACCUGGAACCGGCGGUGAUGGCUGUUAUAAAAAAGGGGACACCACCCAGCGUACCCCGCGACCCGGCUGGCCGCACCUCCCAUCAUCCCCGCCAGCCGCCCUUCCUUUUCGCCGGCCGAGCAUGGUCCUGGCCUUUGUCCCUACCGCCUCGCCUCCACCGCGACCCCCCGCCGAUGCCCUCAUGCCUGGCCCCCCUCAUCUUGCCGGCCACCCUCCCGAUGCGUCCACUAGGGCCCUCACACCACCAACCGCCCUUGCCUAGAGAGGGAGAGAGAGGAGGGAGGUGAGGCCACGCACCUCGUCCUACACCGCCGCUGUUUCUCCUCGGCCCACCGCGCCUCACCCCACACCACAGCCGCGCCUUGCCAUCUUACCGGCUGCGACGCCUCAUCUCACCGGCCACCGUUCCUCACCCCCACUUCGGUCGUCGCCGCUCCUUGCCCUACUGCUGCUCUUUGCCGCUGCGACUGAGCGGCGAGUGGAGGAGGAGGGACGGGGCAGGAGGAGGGCAAGAUCCGGGAGGAAGGGAGAGAUCUUGGGAGGUGGAGAUGGAAGGAUAUGGCGGAAGGGAGAGAUCCAGAGGGAGAGAGCAGGGGAGAGAGGGGGGCAUGUGGGGAGAGAGUGCGUGUGGGGUGGGGCCAGGCUGGUGGGAUGGAAGGGAGAGGGGCUAGACGGGCGCAGUGCAUUCAACUGGAUGAAGUAAAUAUUUCGGAUUCGAGACCCCAGCUUUAUUAUCACCGCUGGUCCGUAGUACCAUCCGGUGCCUGCUCGUAAUUUAAUUUGAAUCUGCGGUGAUGUUUUAUUAUCACCAUCGGAUCAUAUAAAAAAUCCGGCGGUUAAAAAUCCGCUGGUUUCGAUGAAAACCGACGGUGAUAGGAUGACUGUGAUAGUCUCUUCUCUAGUAGUGGUAUAUUAGUACCGGCUGCCAGACGGUGUUGCCGACCAGUACUUCUCCGGAGGCGAUUCAGUACUGCUGUUAGCAAAGCUUGUUCUCUAUGAAUCUGGGGAUGGAAAGCUAGUUCUCUAGUUGUGAUUUGUUACAUAUAUAUCUAUGAUAGUCUAGAAAUUGCAUGUCCUUCGUUGACAUAGUUGAAGCUGCGCGCUUCAAGAAUUUACUUCGUGCAGUCGUGCAGCAUAUUGGAUUAUCACCUAGACAGGAUACAUAGGUGAAGCAUUGGAUGUGAUUGUGGCCGAUAAUUAUGCAGGACGCUGUUGCAAUCAACCACCAAGAAGUCUGGAGUGAUGGGGUUGCCUCAUCAAUAAUUUUUAUAUAUGGCUGCAGUAUUAUUAAGCCCACGUCAAUAAUUUUUUCUCCGCACCAUAUAUCGAUGGGGUUGCCUCAUCAAUAAUUCGCGCAACCAGACAAGCUGCAGACUCAAUAUGGUACGAAGCUAGUUGCUCAGCCCACAUGCUCUGAUAUAACAUUGACAUCUGCUGAUCUACAGUAUAUAUGACCAGAAAUAUUGUGCCCACCUCAAUAACUUUCUGAAGUAUCGUGGGGAAGAACCUACUCGUACUAUGCCUCGGAACUAACUGACAUAUCGGCCUAGGCGGUCUAGGCCGAUUGGACUGGCUCUUCCUUGUGGCUUCUCACGUCCCCUUCGUCCCCAAGUAAUUUCAGGUGUUCUGCAGUUUCCUUUUCACUUGCAUCUGAGCCUCAUAUAUCAAUAGCUUCGGGAUAAGAAUGCCUCUUGAUAACCUUCCAAAUCCUCGCUUGAUUCACAUUGAUUCCGAAAUCAUCUUGCCAUAUCUUCAGAGACUUAGGUCCUAAGGCAUCAUGGAGGAUUGCUCGCCAGGAAUGAGCACCAUUGGGCUCCUGAGGACCCUAGGCCGAUCAGCCCGGGCUCUAUAGGUCGAUUGGCCCAGGCCCUCUCUGGGCCCGUUGGCCUUCAUCUUUCUCUGAGUCGACGCUUAUUCAGGGCUUUGUCCAAUUAUAGUCUAUUAUAGUCUAAUUUCCUACAAAAACAGAAUGUCCUCCAAAAUACAAUGCAUAUGUGAAAACAGCCCAAUUAUUAGGUAUGAUCAAUAGUUUAGGUAUAUAAAUUAAUAUUAUUAUUUAAGAUAAACAGGGGUAAAGGGUGUCAUUAAUAACAAGCGCCAACAAGCGUCCUGGCUGUUCAAUAAAUUUUUUCUAGUACCGAUUGGUAACACUAACCGGUGCUAAUAUGUACCCUUUAGUACCGGUUAUUUUACCAGGUACUAAAGGAGACAAGAGCAUCCUAACAUAAGGUUAAUAUCAUCCAUUUCAUGAGUAAAAUACUAUGAUUCAAAAAUAAUUCAAAUCCCUUAAGACAAUACCUAUCAAAUGAGUAAAUUGUAAAUAGAGUAAUCUUGAUCAAACAAUGUCCUAAUGAAACGGAACACUUCUGGUUCGUGUAGAGCACAAUAUAGAAAACAGUAGGGUAGCUGUACGAUUGACACGUGGUCCAUUAAUUCUUGAGCCAACACUAUGGACAUGUCUUCAUGAGUAGUGUACUAGUCAUGAUACAUGGUAUGCAGUAGGUGGAGGUAUUGACUUAGCCAUGCUAUGAGCACUUAGUUACAACAAACACUUUGCCAUUAUCGAGCAUCCCAAAUCACUACAAAAUCCAUAGUUUACCAUAUACUACAAAAUCUGAGUUAAAAUAAGAGCAUACACGGAAGAGUCCGAAUGCACCGGCACAUUGAAUUACUAGACAAAAAUUAUGGGACAAGGUUUUGGGUAACCGCAUGAAAAAUAUUGGAUUUUACUGAACACUUAGUUACAAUUACCAUGCCGUGAGCACUUAGUCACCACAAACAUUUAACCACUUUAGAUCAUCCUGAAUCCCUAUAAAUUCUAUACCUUACACCGUACCAUGAAAACGACAAGAACAGAGACAGAUGCGGUGAAAAUCUCCAGAGCAAGCCUGAAAUUAAAAUAAGAGGAGGCAGUCACUAUCGACAGGACACGGAGAUUGCUAGCCAUGACAGAGGAAGACAUGAUAUGAUAUUCACCUCUGAAAUGCAGCGUAGACUAAAUGAAGCACAAUUGCAAGUGAGUGUGGCAGAUAAUGGACCAUCGAGACCAUCGAUUGGUAUGAAGCAUGAUUAUCACCUAGACAUGAUAUCCUAGACAGGACGGUGAAUUGUAAAAAGAGUAAUCUUGAUCAAAGAAUGUCCUAAUGAAACGGAACAUUUUUGGUACGUGUAGAGCACAAUAUAGAAAACAGUAGAGUAGUUGUACGAUUGAACUGCAUCCAUCGACGUGGUGCAUGAAUUGUUGAGCCAACACUGGGGACAUGUCUUCAUGAACACCAUCUAGUGAGGACAGCAUGCAGAAAAAUAUCAAAACAUGUCAUAGGGAGGCAGACCAAUCUUGCGAGGUAGACGAAACGUGAUACACGAUCUGCCUACCUUGUCGUGGAUACCCCAAGUGAAGAUGUCAUAGAGGUGCAGACCAAGCUAGCAAGGAGGUAGAUGAAACGUGAUACACGGCCUGCCUACCUUGCCGUGGAUAUUAGUCCUGAUAUCAUUCUAUUGUUCAAGGAAUAACACUCAAUGCUGCUGCUGCUGCUGACCUGGCUCCAUAAAGUUAUAUUCCUCUAGCCGCUUGCACUAACUUUAUCUGAAGUAUUAUUCUCUCUGCACUGUAUAUAUGGUUACGGAGUUUGCUGGAGUAUCCGGGGGGAAGAACCUACAUAAUAUGUCUUGGAACUAACUGACAUUGAUUCACAGACAAGGUGCUGUUGUUGCCAUAUUUUAGAGCAUCCCAAAGGACUAUAAAUAAUAUAGUUUACCAUAUACCGUAUACCAUUAUAUGUUAGCUAAAAUAAGAGCAUAACAUGUCGCAGGAGUCCAAAAGCACCGGUUGAGGACCAGGUACAUUAAAUUACUAGAAAACGAAAGGGGACAAGGUUUAGGUAGCCACAUGAAAAACAUUUGAAUUUACUGUACCAUGAACACUUAGUUACCAUGCCGGGAGCACCUAGUUAACACUAACAUUUAGCCACUUUAGAUCAUCCCGAAACACCAAUGACCCUCAAUAGCGACAAAUUUUGGUUUAAAUGCCGUCACCAAUGAUCCUCAAUAGUGACGUGUUUAGGUUUAAAUCCCGUCACUAAUAACCCUUGGUAGUGACGUGUUUUGGUUUAAAUCUCAUCACCACUGAUCCUCACUAGUGACGUGUUUUUAGCAACACACGUUAUGAAUGACUUGUCAUUGGUGACAUGUUAAACGCGUUAUCUCAAUGGCAAAUCAAUGGUGACGUGUUUAAAAAAACAUGUCACCGUGAGAGUUAUUGGUGAAGGGUAAUUAAAAUGCAUCACUAAUUUUGUAGCAUUAGUUAUGAUAUAAUUUUGUAACGCAAAAAUCUACCAUAGUAACGAGGUUUAGAGCCGUCGCUAAUGUGGGUUUCUUACGUAGUGAUGCAAGCUCUACAAGGUGCUGUUGUUGCCAUUUUAAAGCAUCCCAAAUGACUACAAGUGUCUGGUUGAGGACUAAACAAAUUGAAUUACUAGAACCAAAUGUAUGUCCAGAACAAAGAAAGGGGUCAAGGUUUGGGUAACCGCAUUAAAAACAUUGGAUUUUACUGUACCAUGAACACUUAGUUACCAUUACCAUGCCUUGAGCACCUAGUUACCACAAACAUUAAUUUAGCCACUUUAGAGGUUCCUCAAUCACUAUAAAUAAUAUACCAACACCGUACCAUGAAAACAUCAAGAAGAGAGACAGGUACAUGGACCACCAUCAAGUGAGUAGUGACAGCAUGCACAAGAAUACCCGGAACCUUUUAGCUUGUCUGUAGUGAUCUGUUUUCUUCCCCGUAAAAUCCAUGAGUAUUGCCACAAAUAAUGAAAGAGGCUGACCAAGCUAGCAACGAGGUAGAGCAAACGUGAUACACGUAGGUUUCAUUCAAGACAUCCAUGUAAGAUUCAUUCAAAACAUUCAUGGAAAUUUCUUAUAAGUUUUCAUGUAAAUUUCAUUCAAGACAUUUGUUAGAGGUGUUGUAUAUAUACUUAACGUACAUAUAUCUAUGAUUUCAUGGUUGUUAGUGAUGGCAGAUGAGGAGCAUGCAAGGUAUUUAAUGGAGCAGAUUAUUGCUAGUGGCAGUGGCUCCAACCUGCCCGUAACGUACACCGACGAAGAGGGCAGCCAGGCGGACAUGUUCCUCAACAUGUCCGGUGAUGGCAAUGAAGAGCCCGAGCAAAACCUUGCCGUGACGGAAGGUUCCAGCGAGGUAUAUAUCAUUUCCAUUAUUUUACCCCAUCUAUAAUUUCAUAUUCAUUAUUACUAUGUACUAAUUAACGAAUCUUGAACCGUUAGCCCUCUAGAUCAACGAACCGAAAUAAGCCCCGAGGUCUUACAAAGAUAAUGCAGGGAAGGCUUCACAUCAUGGAAGUCACAGAAGAGGGCACCUCGGUUGCUCCCGAACAUGUGGCAAGAACGUACGUGAGUCAAACCGGGGCAAUCGUAAGGGACAACGUGCCCAUCAGCAUCAGGGAAUGAAAGAGCAAUAGAAAUGAUCUAUACGCACCCCCGGAUACACAAAAGGAUAUGCUGUGGGCAAAUAUCAAGAAACACUUCACAUUUCCCAAAGGAUAUGUUGAAAAAGAUGUGAAAGCGUGGAUGCUGAAGAAGAUGGCCACCCAAUUCCAAACAUUCAAGAAGAUGUUGGAUGCCAACUUCGUCAAGAAGGGUCGAACUCCGGGUUUCGAUGAGUGGCCAAAGUUAAGGGACCACUGGGAGUCAUUUGUCGAAUACAAGACGAGCGAAGGUGGUGCCAGUAAGGUUCGCAUCAAUGUUGCCAAUGCUAGCAAGGAGUACCAUCAUCAUCUAGGGCGACGUGGUUACAGCACUGCAAUUCCCAGAUGGCGCAAGAUGGAACAAGACUUGAUCGAUCGGGGUAUCGUACCAGCAACUCUUGACUGGCCUGAUCGAUUGAAAAAUUGGUAUUAUGCUCAUGAAGGCAAUCUGAGCCAAGAGGAUGCGACAUUGGUCUUCAAUAAAACAAUACAUCAGAAGGUCGGAAGGCUUAUUAGGAACAUUGAAGAUGCUAAAGCUGGGAGGUUCAAGGUGGAUAGAGAGAAUGAUGAACUCACAUUGGCCCUCGGGACUGUCAUCUCUAGCACUUCCAGCUCCAGGACUAUCAUCACCACCGGGACCGUCGCUUCUUGCUCGAUCACAGUCUCCAUCUCCAGCACAUCCUGGUGGUGCGAGCGACGACGACAACAACACCCCUCCCUGCCCACCAUUGCCGGGACUAAGACCCGCAUUGUGUAAGGAACCUGCAACACCACUGAAGAAGUCGCGACCACCACCUUCAAGGCAAGUCAGCAAAAGAAGAAAGCAGAGAAGCCUAAACCCACUGAGAAGCCAGCGACUGAUAUGACCGAUGCGGAAAGAUGGAAGGCACUCAAAGAAGAAUGCAUGGAGUGGUUCAGAAAAAGGACCAAAGAAAGAAAAGGAAAGGAGAUGGAGCCACCGCCAGUAGAUCCAAGAAAAUUAUAAUUUUUUAUUAAGAUGUCAAAAGGAGCUAAGAAGAUGAUGCCACAACUAUCAAACUACGACUGGGCGUUAGUCAAGGCUGAUGAGAGUUAAAAAAGGAAAGGAAAGUCAUCGUCAAGUGGUACUGUCCCCCAGCUCGAGGAUCUACCAGAAAAAGAUGCUAAAAAGAUAGUAGCAAUGCUCUUGGAUCAACAAACACAUAUAUCGUGAGAUUAAUGCAAGAAACAGGUAUGUCCCUUGCUGAAUGUCUAUGGCAAGUUGAUAUGCUAGCUCCAGAGCCAGUUGUACCGAAAUGGACCUUUGAGCUAGGCAAGCCUCUAGUAAGGCCUGAGUUGGUACAGAAGCUAUCCACAUAGAUGCAUGAAUUCCAUGAAUGGUACAUGAAGCAGUCUGCCAAUGAGAGGGAAAUGUUCGGUCUCGAGGAAAAACUAAUAAUUUUUUUCGGCGAAGGCGAGAAAGUCGUAUGAAUCAAAUUCAAGGAUAUAUAUGAAGUGAACCAUCAGGAUGCCCUUGAUGUCUCUCUCAUCAGCGCCUAGGUUUUGUAAGUGUAUGUUUAUCUAUACGUAAAUUUUGGCUCAUAUCAUUAUUUUUUUUGCGUGCGUCACCCUACUAACUUCGUCUUCCAUUUUAUGUAGGAUGCUAAUUCAGACGUGCCGCAUAGAAGCGUACUUCCAUGUUGGCUUCAUGGAUCCAUCCCUAGUUAACCAAAAGCCGAUACGGAAGUAGCUAGAGAAAACGUUGGAGGUGGUGUACAACUUUCUGGACAAACAAAACUACAGAAUAGGGGCAAUAUGUGAGGGUCUUGUAGGAUUCCUAGUGGACGAGGUGAUAAAUCCAUAAGGAGAAUAUCAUUACAACGGACGAGCAUUAGACACACUGAGCAACACCUAGACGGGAGGAUCCUAGGAAUGACCUCAACAGAUUUUGGUAUAAAUAGUAAUUGUGUAAAUACUAGUUUGAUUUGUAUAGGAAUAUACUAAGAAUUGUAUAUAUAGUAAUUGUACAAAUACUAGUUUGAUUUGUAUGAAUACUAGAUUGAUUUUAUUAUAAAAAAGUUUUAAGUCGUACGUGCAUGCGCCUACAAAGGCGCGGAUGCCCUUUAAUCCCAGUCGGAAAAACAAACCGGUACUAAAGGGGCUCGUGCCGCACCUGGCAUGACCACCCCUUUAGUCCCGGUUGAACGACCCAGGACUAAAGAUCUCCGCGUCUCAAAAAUUUUAUCUCGGAUGCUUUUUAGAGAGAUUUGAGGCCUAUCAACCAAGACUAAUAUCGAGUUUUCUACCAGUGGAACUAACUAACGUUCACAUGCUUUUGACAUUCACCUGCCAUUUGGUGUAGACAAGGGCACCCUAACAUAUGGUUAAUAUUAUUCUUGAAAGAAAAUCCUUUGAUUCAAAAUACUUCAAACCUAAUAAUACAAUACUUCUCACAUCUCAAAAAUAUGAGACGGCCCGACAGUAUUCUAACCGACGCAAUAAUAUUUUGAGGGCAGCACUACUACAGCGACCCUCAUUCGUGCCGGUGCUGGGACUCCUAUCACGACCCUGAUACAAAUGAGGGUACAUUAUUGGUGCCAGUGCUAGAACAGCCACCAAUAACUUGCUAAACGUGCUGUUACACUCACUACAGGGACCAAGAAGGUAGAUAAAUUACACGACAUAGCCUUGGUUGCCGUGGAAGCGCCAAGAAGGGAGACAAAUUACAGGGACCACACCAUCAAGUAGAUAGUGACAAUAUGCAGAUGAAUACCCGCGCCUGUUAGCAUGUGAACUGACCACACCACGAAACGUGAUACACGGCAAGCGUACCAAGGCCUUGCUGUGCAGACUAUGCGUGGACAACACAUGGUACCUGACCGCUUUUGGCCUCAGACACAUCGAAAAACUGCAUCGUUCCACGUUGUACAUCCACUGCUAGUUUAUCUAUAUUACAUAAUAUAUUAUUAGCUAUUUGAAUAGAAUGAACCAAUUAAAAAAUUGCGUUGUAUUUUAGUACCGGCUGCAGGAUGGUGUUACCAACCAGUACUAAUUAGCCUGUAGGAGUGAUGGUUAUUAGACUUGGUACUGUUGUUACAUCAUUAACCUAAUUGUGCGCGGUAUGAAUUUGGGGAUGCAAAGCUAGCUCUCUAUGAAUGUGAGGGACGGAAAGCUAGUUCUCUAGUAGUAAUUAGCUAUAUAUAUAUGACAGUCAAGAAAUCGAACACUAUGCUGCUACGAGUCACCAUCAUUUCCUUCAUUGAGAAUCUGACAUAGGUGAAGCUGCUUCAAGAAUUUCCUUCGCGCAGUCGUGGAGCUUAUUGGAUUAUCACCAGGACGGGACACGGAAAUGGCCAGCAAUGAAGCUGAUUGCCGUCUGAGGAAGACUACAUACUUUACCUAUGAAAUGAAGCGAUUGCAUAGACUAAUGAAGCAUUGCAUAUUUGCAUGUGAGUGUGGCAGAUAAUUCUGCAGGACAUGAUUGCAAUCCACGCACCAUCGAGAAGACUGGGGCGAUGGGGUUGCCUCAUCAAUAAUCACGUGGAUGCAUGCAUGCAUGUUCCCGCAACCGGACAAGGGUCUGAUAUAUGGCUAUAGUAUUACUGAGCCCACAUCAAUAAUUUCCGCUGGUGUAUCGUGUGGGAAGAAUCAACAUACUACACCUCGAGUUCUUGGAACUAACUGACGUUCACAUGCAACCUCCACAAGGUGCUGUAUAUAUGCUUUUGACAUUCACCUGCCAGUUCGUGUAGAGGACACCCUAACGUAUGGUUAAUAUUAUCCAUUUCAUGAGUAAAAUACUGUGAUUCAAAAAUACUUCAAAUCCCUUGAGACAAUACUUCUCACUUGACUAACCACUAACCAACCCCGAAACCCUAACUCAACUCCGAACCCUAACACCUAACGGCAUAACCACUCCGUUUUGCCAGCCAGAUGGAGGAACUGGCUGGGAGGGAGAGAGGGCAGCGGUCCAGGGUUGAAAACGACGGGCGAGCGCAGUAACAUGUGGAGGAGGAAGUGCCACGUAUUCGUUCACCGCUAUUGGGCAGCGACACACAACACGCCCAAUAAGAUCUUCGCACGGUAGAAGGACGUCAUGUAUUCAAUAAUGUUAUUGGUCCUCCAUGUGCAGAAGGGCGCGUAUGGAAUAACAAGUAGGGACACUGCAACUAAUCUACUCUGCUCGUCCAGUCCCUAGCCUAUAAAUAGAUGCCAUGCUAGCUCUUGUUGUGCUCACAGUUAAUCCGAUUACACACGAGCUCCUCUCCCUAGCCAAGACACAAUCAUAGUAUGAUGAAGAACAUGGCACUAGCCGGCAAUGGUAUGAAGAAGUUAAUCCUCGCUGUUCUCUUACUGUGUCUAGUUAUAGGGCAGAUACAAGUGGAAGCUAAGAGCUGCUGCCCAUCCACCACUGCAAGAAAUGUCUACAAUACCUGCCGUUUGACGGGUGCAUCCCGUCCAAUGUGUGCAAAACUGUCAGGCUGCCAAAUUAUCAGCGGGAACAAAUGCAAGCCCCCUAACGACCACCUCACCCUUGACCCGGACACUGGUAAAUAAUAAAUUUAUCUCACUUGAUUUCUUUGUGUUUUGAGUCGUUAAUGUAUUUUCCAUCUGAUGAAACGCAUUGGUUUUGCAUUGAAGAGGAAGUUAAUGUGCUUAACUUCUGCAAGUUGGGGUGUGCGUCGUCUGUGUGCAACAACAUCAACGCUGGUAAGCACCUUUUGCUCAGACAGAGAAAACAAUAAUCAUUAAUUAGCGGCAGCUAGAAUCCUAUAAUCUAAUAUAUAUAUAUAAUUUUAUCAGCUCUGGGAAAUGAAGAGGCGAACGAUGCCGUUGAGAGUUGCGACCAAGCCUGCUCUAGCUUCUGCAGCGUGCAUGUUGGCAGCGCCACCGUGGUUGCUUAAGCAAAUGCAUCCAACUAGAUCGUCCUUGUGCUGAAUAAUUGGAUAUCGUAUCCACUUAAAGCUGCCUUGUGUAGUACGUCUUUGUGUCUCUCUUUAUAUUCCAAUAAGGUCGGUGAUCUUGAUGCCACACACUCAGAUGUGUGUUCAUCUCCAGAUACUACUCCAUGCUACCUGCCCUUUGUGUUUUGUUCAAUAACUGGGUAUCAUAUCCGAGCCAGUAUGCCGUCUGUUUUGUGUUUGUUUCCUUCUAGUUCCAAAGGGGUCAUCAUGAUGUUACCUUCUUUCAAUAUGGUGCUUUGCAUGACUACUGUUGUAUGGUACCAUCUUGUGGCCAAUAAGUACAUCUUAUCCUAUGACCCUUUGCUAUGACCCUUUGCAAAUAAGUAGAAGAUUGUUAUAAGCGUCAAUACUCAGUAUAAUUGAUCGCUGCUGUGAGUUCCCUUUCAGCUUAUCGUAGGCAUACAUUAUUGCUAGCACGGUAAAGCCAACCAACACGAAUGAUGAAGUAAACGUAGCGGUACUUCUGUAUACCAACACCCUUACUUAAAUGUACCGGUGUCAUUCCCUACUGGCACAUAUAUUCUUAUAUGCUAGCCAGCUUGUAAAAUUAACCAAUUAAAAUAAUUAUUUCAAGAUAGAAAUAACUUAUUGGCUUCUCGAAGCAUGUGUAAUGUGAAUUCAUGAGACUUCAAGCAACCAGGAAAAGACACUAAUAAACAUCCAGAUCCCAUCCAGCACACAUCCAUGCACAUAUAUAACCCACAUAUUGCUCCAGCACACAUCCAUGCAUAUACGAUAUCCAAAUGUUAAUAUUGUAGACAUCCAUGCCUGAACUAGUCUGCCACACAAGUCAUUGAUGCUACAAAUUCUACAAUCGCAGCAUGUGCAUACAACUUACAGAAUGAGAUAAUGUACCAAAACUAAAACGUUAGCAUCAACUGUGCUUCAACCAAAGUUGUCAUCCCAACUCUCCUCUUCAUCCAUGCCAUUCUUGUCAUGGCCGUCGCUGUCAGUCUCCAUGGCAUUGCCAAUGCUGUGUAUGUCUUGGUAGGAACCUACAUGUGAUGAACAGUAACCUGCAAAAAGAGCUCAAAGGAUCUUGUUCUCAUAUUGUAGCUGUGAAAUUCUUGCAAGUAGUGUUGCAAUCUGUUCACUUUGAACCAAAAGAGCUCAAAGGAUCUUGUCCUAAAAGUUCCUCUUAAAGCUUAUGGGUUUGCUGGUGGAACCGGAAGGGCUUGAUGCAGCAGAUGCCAUUCUGCAAUAGAGAAAAAUUUAGAGGGCAGUACUAGUUAAAAUUUGAUGCAGCAGAUACACACGAAACUAGUAUUUAUACAAUUCUAUAUAUGUAAUAAUUUGUCCCCUAAAUUUUUAGGAUCCUCUUGAUGGUGGUGAGUCUUCCAGUAAGGCAAUUGAAUGUCCGUCAUAAUAAAAUUCUCCUUAGGAUUUAUCAUCUCGUCAACCAGAAAUCCUAGGAGUGCUUCUUGGAUUGCCAAAACCCUAUCCUGAUGCAGGAGUUCGUCCUUAAGCCUUAACAUUUGUAAUUUGGAAAUAUGUGAAAGUUAAACCAACAAUUAAAAUAUAAGGAGCCUUAUCAUCAUUUCCAUGUGUUGCGAAUUAAAAUAAUGAAUAAUACAGUGUUAGGUGAAAAUUCAAGAAACAAAAUUUUGCAUAGAGAUAAACGUCCAACAUUAUUACAAGUUAAGGUAGUUUUAAAUAUCCUUGUAAUCUUCCUUUGAUUUCCUCAACGAUUCGAAGACAAUAACCUUACUUCUAUCAAUGAUAAUUAUAAGGAGAACCCAGUGAAAACUGUGUAUUCAUAUUAGAACUACCUAAGGUUAAUUAGGUUAGGAAAGGAAAUCGAAAAUAGAUGGUACCCACACUUACUUAAAGUUGUCGGGCAAUAGUAUGUAAUGCUUGUAAUUCCGUUGCUCCAAGAAUUUGUAUAUGUGGUCCAAUGUAGACUUUGGUUGAUUCCGUAUCUGCUGUUGGUUAAAUAAGUGUUUCUAGCCAUUACUAGCCGUUAGAACUCGGACUAAAGGGGGCUCUUUAGUACGGGUUGAUAUUACUAAUCGGGAUUAAAGAGCCCCCAUUAGAGUUGGUUUUUGGACGCGGAACUAACAACUCCUUUAGUCCUAAGUACAAAAAUGACUGAAAUAUUUGUUGCUGGAUGGAAGGUCCUUUCUCUACCAUGAAUAUUGCCAGAAAGAAUUGAAAGAGACUGCUUGCUAAAAAUAUGUCAUAGAUGUAGACCAAGCUACCAAGGAUGUAGACCAAACAUGAUACACACCAUGCGUACCUUGCUGUGCAGACUAUGCAUUGACAAGAUAGAAAUAAUUAAUUCUAAUAUGCGUACCCUUACUUACACUAGUAGAGAAUUGGGCUUUAAUCCCGGUUGGUAAGGUGCAAAUAUCUCGAAAAUGCAUCCGGGAUAAACCAACCGGGACAAAAGGGGGAUCUUUUAUCCCGGGUCACUCAACACGCGAUUUUUCACAAAAAAAAAAUUCCCGAGCUCCCAGGCAGGCCCCCCACACGCGAUUUUUCACGCGAAAUAUGCGCGUGCGCGGUUCGUGGGAUUCGAACCCACAACCUCCAGCCUCGCGCGUAGUUUCCUUGCCAUCCCACCUACACACCACAUCUGACUAUGUAGGGGAUACUAUCCUUUUGUAUUAAAAGGCUCUUGACCCUUUUAUCUCGGUUGGUGUUACCAACCGGGAUAAAAGGGGGGGUCUUUUAUCCCGGUUGGUGUUUCAAACCGGGAUAAAAGGCCUCUCAGAGUCUUUUUUUCCCAUUAGCCUUUGCAACCGGGAUAAAAGGUUCCGGUUGGUGAGCCCCCCACCAGUGACCGAGUUUUAGUCCCGGUUGGUGAACCUUUUGUCCCGGGCCAACUUUAAACCGGGACAAAAGGGGGCGUAUGGAAAGCCAAUUCUCUACUAGUGUUAAAUAUACCGGUGUUAUUGCCCACUGGCACAUAUAUUCUUAUAUGCUAGCCGGCUUGAAAAUUAACCGAUUAAAAUAAUUAAUUCAAGACAGAAAUAACUUAUCGGCUUCUCGAAGCAUGUGUAAUAUGAAUUCAAGGACUCGAUGGAAGUUGAAUCGCUUCAUCUAGAUUGCUUUCAGGAUUUUGGGUAACUAAAUUUAACAUUUGCACACACAAAUGUUAAUGUACAAAUGUUAAAUCUAGUUACCCAAGCAGAAUAUGAAUAUACUCUAUAGUAUACAUAUACUAUAUAAAUCUAGUUAAUAUUUAGUCUAAAUGUUAAAUCUAGUUACCUAAAAUCCUGAAAGCAAAAUGUAUAAAUAUAUAUCUUUUAAGGCAGUAUAAACUUCGAUUCCUUUUGCUGCUCUGUUAAAUCUCAUCUUUCGUUGUGGCCCAACACUCUAGUAUGUAUGUUGCACCAAGCUUCCUUGAGCCGCUCUGCCCUCUGAUUUUGCUGCGUAGGGGAAUCUUUAUCAGGUUGGGCUGCUUCCAGUCAUACGAUGUGUGGCUUCAUAUCUUCUACAAGUUAGACAGGAAACCCGCGUUCUGGAAGAUUCUGCAACGUGCACGUUGGCGCUGCCACCGUGGUUGCUUAAGCAAAUGCAUCCAACUGAAUCGUCCUUGUGCUAAAUAAUUGGAUAUCGUAUCCACUGCUUAAAGCUGCCAUGUUUAGUACAUCUUUGUUUUUCUCUCUUUAUAUUCCAAUAAGGUCGGUGAUCUUGAUGCCACACACUCAGAUGUGUGUUCAUCUUCGGAUACUACUCCAUGCUACCUGCCCUUUGUGUUUUGUUCAAUAACUGGGUAUCAUAUCCUAGUCAGUGUGCCAUCUGUUUUGUGUUUGUUUCCUUCUAGUUCCAAAGGGGUUAUCAUGAUGUUACCUUCUUUUGAGGUGUCUAUGACUUUGUUAAUAUCAAUAUUAACCAAUUCAAUCUAUCUUAACUAUUUGUAAGGGGUAUGAUGUAUGCAUGAUUAUAACAAUGAUUGCGCAUACAAUCACUGCCAAAGAAACGGUCAAUACCAUAAAGACAUAUUACAGACAAUUCUCAUAAUCUAUAAUGAAUAUACAUAUUCACUACUGCAGAGACUGUCAUCUGUAUCAGCUCAUACGUGCCAGGGCAAAGGUCACCCUUGCAUUAAAAGUACAUUUGCACGGUAAAGAUAACCAACACGAAUAAUGAUGUAAACAUGCCGGUGCUUUUGUACACCAACACGCUUACUUAAAUGUACUGGUGUCAUUCCUCACCGGUAGCCGGCUUGAAAAUUAACCAAUUAGAACAAUUAUUUAUUGUAUCGGUGUGAAUUUUGACCUAUUGGAAUAUGAAUUUGACCAUUACUGCAUUCGUCAAGACUCAAGAGAGAAAUAACUGAUCGGCUUCUUAGAGCGUGUGCAAUGUGAAAUCAAGGACUGGAUGGAAGUUGAAGCGCUAGCUUCAUCUUCCGCUGCAUGUUAAUUGCUUGGAUAAGAAGUUGUAGCCGCGUAUAUAAAUAGUCCCGCUGAUGCUGUGCUCCGAAGUCUAUACUAUAUAUGCGAAAACUAGAUUGCUUUCAGGAUUUUGGGUAACUAAAUUUAACAUUUGUACAUAAAAAUGUUAGUUUACGAAUGUUAAAUCUAGUUACCCAAGCAGAACAAGAAGAUAGUAUAUACUAUAUACUAUGUAAAUCAAGUUAACAUUUAGUCUAAAUGUUAUAUCUACUUACCCAAAAUCUUGAAAGCAAAGAAAGAAUAAGUAUAUAUCUUUUGUUGGAAAAUUGGUCCACGGAGAGUGGCCUCGUUCGUUUCACCGGGAAGGAAUUCCAGUCAGGAUUACUUCCAAGUCCGGUUUAAGUGAUUCCACCCAUGUCACUCAAUUCGGCUAGGAUUCAUUCCAGGGGUGAGGAGGUAUGGUUUCAAUCCGGGCCAUCUAAUGUAGAAGGAUUCCAAUCCAGGCCGGUUUUCGUUCUAGGCUAGACUAAAACGAACAACACUUUCAAUGCAAGUCUGGUUUCAAACCGGGCCACUUCAAACCACCCGGAAUGGACCUCAUUCCGGGCCAAUCCGGUGAUAACAAACGAGGCCUUAAUGGAAUCCCAAAGCAAGAGUUCAGUGGCAUUCUAUAGUCCCAUGCUGCUAGUUUGAGUUGGUCGAAGCCAACUUAAAUAGGAGAGCUCUCUCACUUCUCUAAAAAUGUAACUGAAGGAGAGAAGGGGGCUUGGGUUACACAACGCACGCACGCACGCAUAUUUGCAUUCUUUUCGCGUAACCGACCGCGUGACUUGAAACUUGCGACGUAGCGUGCUGCUAAGUCAAGUUGAUAUAACCUUUUUGCCGUUUGCGUGUAAUCUUUUGACAACGGUCAUUGGAGGUGAUAAGCACGCAGUCAAUACCUUAAUCCUGAGUUAAUAGGGCGGUUACUACUGCCAAUUAGUGCAGCAAUUUUGUAGGGGAAACGGUUAGCAGAGGGCUACCGUCUUCUCUAUAAGAAGUUUUGGAGACGUCCAGGAACACACAUGUACAUGUGAGAGACCCACGGAUUCCUUCCCUUCUCCCUUUUCCAUCUGGUGAAGUGUGCUAUGGUACUGAGCUGCUGGAUCUCGCUGGCUCUUCUCCUUGGCGUGCACCGAGGAGGAGGAUGAGCGGUAUCUCUGAGCUAUUGCCGUCAGGAAGCCUGCACGAGGGACAACAAUAAAGUUUUUAGGUAGCGCCUGCCUAAUCUUCGAUCUGCACUGCAACGCGUAACCCUGCAGCAACUCUACACGAGGACGGAGCACUAAUCUGUAAGUCCUAGAUUGGUUUCUUACAGAGUUGUAGGUUACACAAGAUCUAGAAUGGUUACAUACCAAUUAUUAUGGGUUACAUGAUGUUUUGUACGGUUUCGUCUAUUUUGCAUAUGUUAUUUUUACAUACCGUUUACAUGCAUAUGUUAAUGGUUACACCUAGCUAUUUGAAUCUAGAAUUGGGUUACAUAGCAGUAGCAAUGAGUUACGUAAUAUGCCUCACGUUUAUAUCUGGUAGAAUUUAACACGUAUCUCCAACAUAUUUUGAGGCAGUAUAAAUUUCAAUUCCUUUUGCUGCUCUGUUAAAUCCCGUCUUUCGUUGUGGCCCAACACUCUAGUAUGCAUGUAGCACCAAGCUUGUUUGAGCCGCUUUGUGCUUUGAUUUUGCUGCGUAGGGGAAUCUGUAUCAGGUUGGAUUGUUUCUUUGUCUUGCGAUGUAUAGCUUCAUAUCUUCUAGAGGUUAGACAGCAAAACCCGCAUUCUCUUAAGGCAACAACCCGAAGAAUCUGCAGCGCCUCUGAUAUAUCACUGCUGCAGAAACGAUCUUUAGUACUGAUCUCCAACCCUCUUUAGUAUCGGUUGGGCAACCAGUACCACUAUGUCGGUACUAAAGGGAGUUCUCUAGAAUCGGAUCAAAUAACCGGUACUAAAAGGGCUCCUUUACUACCGGUUGGUAACAACAAUAGGUAGUGACUUUUUUGCACCCAAAAAAUUAAAGAAUAACAGCCGGGAGGCUCGCACACACACGCAUCAUGAGUAAUAUGCGCGUGCAUGGUUUGUGGGAUUUCAACCCACGACCAAGCUAUAAGAACGUAGUUACAACAAAUCAAACACUUAGACAUUUUAGAGCAUCCCAAAUAACUACAAAUUCUAUAGUUUACCAUAUACCAUAAAAUAUUAGUUAAAAUAAGAGCAUACACAUGUCGGAAGAGUCCCAAUGCACCGGUUGAGGAUCAGACCAGGCACUUUGAAUGCACAUGCCAUAAGAUAAUUCUGCAGGACAAUGAUUGCAAUAAUGGACCAUCGAGAAGAUAGGGGCGAUGGGGUUGCCUCAUCAAUUAUCACUUGGCGCAACAAGACCAGCAAAGUCUUUAUCGACGGGGGUGGAUCAAGGGGUGGGGCAGGCAGAGCUCCAGUCCUCCUACCGCCGCUCGAACAAUGGAGCCCCCUUAGCCCCUCCAUAAAUUUUUAGGUAGAAGAAAAAAGAAGAGAAGGGAAGCAAGGGGAAGAAGAGGGAGCCCCUGCUAAGUAGGUCGCCAUCGUGCUUCCCAACGCAUGAUCGCCGCACCGCAUCCAUUCCUCUACAAGCCUUCAGCGUCUCUCCCGCCGCUACCUCUGAACCAUGUGCAGCUAUAGACCCAACUAGUGUGUUGUCGCCCAUCUCAGUCCCAACAGAGCGGCGGCGGCUGCCAACACAAAUCUCCCUCCGCCUCUUCUUCACGGUCGAUGGCCGCCACAAGCAUAAACCUCGCCUUCGCAUCCAAGCAAAAGGGUCGUUGGGGUGCCUUCUUGCAUCACUUCUCAGCCUCCUUCACUUGCGGCCAGCGAAGAACUGCGCCACCACCUCGGGUGCGUGCCACCACUCCAGGGCCGCUACCCCAUGCCUGCGGCCGCCACCGGCCACCACGCGUGUGCAACCGCGUUGCACCGCUUCCCUGCUUUGUGCCACCACUACUGCUGUACCACCAGCUCCACCACCUUGGGAUGGUCGCCAGGGUGACUGAUUGGUGAUUAUUACUAAAAAUAAGUUCCUUAUUAUCUGCAACUACUAUUAACUCAGAGAUACAUGCGUCUUUUGCUUCUCCUGCUAAUAGGUCCUAAAAUAUCUAGGAUGCUUUAUAUUUCUGGACAGAGGAAGUAUUUGAAUAAAAUGAACCAAUUUAAAAAAAAUGUGUUGUACACUACUACAGAAAGACCUAUCAGUGUCAAACCCAAAAAUGUCGUCACCGCCAGUUUUAGGCAUCGUUGGUGAAAGGUUGGCGGUGAUGGGCAUCCCCUUCAACAACGGCACUGGAGCCGACGGUGAUUGACAUUAGAAAACAAAAAAGGGAACCCCACCUAGCCACCCCUGCAACCCAGCCGGCCGUGCCUCCCCUCAUGCCCACCACCUCGCCUCCCCCGUGACCCCCCGCCGGCGCCCUUGUGCCUAGCCCCCUCGCCUGCCCGGCCGGCCACCCUCGUCAUGAGAGAGAGAGGUGCAUGUUGUAUAAUUGCGUGAAUUUUUGAAUGUUUAAUUUUAUGUAAGUUCCAUGUAAUAAAUUGUACAAGUUUUAUUGUAUAUAUGAAUUCCAUAUAUAUGUAUUUAUAAUUUAAUGUAUGGUUUCAUGUGUAUAUUUCAAUCAUGUGUAUAAUUAGUAGAUUGCCGAUUUUCUUUUUCUACUAGACAAGGGUUGAUGUAUAAUUACGUGUAUAUGUUUAUUGUAUGGGCAAUUAGGACAAGUUUUGUAUAAAUUUCUUUUAUUUCAUGGUUGUUGUAUGGUUUCAUGUAUAUACAUUUAUUGUACUACUUGAGACAAUUUUAAUUUAAUAUUUCUAUGAUUACAUGUGUGUAUAACUAAUUGUAUUAUUAGUUAAGAUGGGAGCCAAAGAGGAUGAAAGGUAUAUAAUAGAGUAGAUUAUUGCUGGCGGUAGUGGCUCAAACGUUGCAAGAACCUACACCGAGGGUGAGGGUAGCUAGGUGGACAUGUACCUCAACAUGUCCAGUGAUGGCAAUGACGAUGAGGAGCACGAGCAUGACGUCUAUGAUAAUGCGGAACAAGACAUUGCAGAAUUGGAAGGUUCUAAUGAGGUGUGCUUCAUGUUGACGAUCUAGUUGGCUUUUUUUCUUUGGUCACACCUUAGUUACCAUAGAACUUCGUCUCGGGAGAAGAUUGGUGGUGCUAUGGUGAUUGGAAUUUUAUUGCCUCCAAAUUUGAUUUCCAUCGAAUCAUAUCCCUUGUAUUUAUCUUCUUUUUAUUUGUGAGAGCAUCUUCUUUAUGCUUGCAAAACAAUUCAAGUGCACAUACUACCCCUAGGGUGAUGAUUGGGAGUAGAAACAAUUGCCAACAAAACAACACCACAUCCUAAGAUUCUUAACUUGUGGCAUAAUUAAUCUAGUGAAAAGAAAGAUAAAAACCUAAUGGGUGUACGUGAGUGCAAUGUGUAUAUGCAUAUGAGUGGAAGGCAUAUAAGCAAAGACAAUAUUUACACAUAGUUCUAAACACCAUGUUUACAGCUAGGUUGCUGAAUUUCUCCAUAGCUAUAGAGAUUAAUUAACCAAGGUCAAAACACGAUGUCUAUCCCAAGAUCAGUAAUUCUUUAUAGCACAAGAAAAAUAAAGCGCAUUGCAAAGUUUAUAAACCAACCAAUACAGCAUGAAAACAAGAUGAAUAGCUAGCAAGGUUUAUUAAAUUGAAUGAUGACGGUCUGCAAGCAAGUUUGAACACCAUCUUUACACAAGAUUGCAAAUGGAAAAUGCCCAUAUGAAGCACUAACAUGGAUAUGAAAUCAUUCAUCAUAAAGCGUAAAGAACAACCAAGCCAACCAUAUGCAAAGCAUGAAUGGAAUGCAAUGAAGGUGCAAGAGAACAUUUUUGGAUGAACACAUUAUGAUGAUGGCAAAAUGCAAUGCGUGCAGAAAUAAUAAAUAUGAACAUGAAUAUGAUGAUCAGGGGCGGACCCACUAUUGUGGCCUGGGUAUUCCUGGGCAUACCCAAUAUUUUUGGGAAAAUGUUUAGUAGUUUUUAAUGGCAUAUACAUGUAUAAUAUAGUUUAGGUGUUAAAAUUGAUAUUCACAGCUAUUUUGGGCUCCAAUUCGCGUCCAAACCAACCUAGCCCACAGACCACACCCGGCCGGCCAGCCCAUCGGCCCAUCUAGUCACUGAUCCUUCCACCACCACACUCAGCCCAUCAGUCGGUCAGGUCCCGAGCUCCUGCCUGACCUAGUCUGCUACCGCCGCCGGGCGCCAAGCACAGCCGUACGCAUUGCACCGCCCCCGUCCACCCACGUCCGUUGGGGGGCCAAGCCGCGCCCCCCAGCCCCCGCGGUGAGAUCUCGACGCCCGCUGCCCCCAGACCCCAUUAGGCCUCCAUCGGCAAGUCCACCCACAGUCCCACGGGACGGGGCAGCCUUUUGGCUUUGGGCGCUCGGGGCGCGCCAAUGCCAGCGCAGCCCCAGCAGGCGACUGCCCCCCCCCCCCGCAUCAGGCCUCAGCCCCUCCCCAGCUCCCCCUCCCCCCUCCACCAGGACUGCUUGUUGGCCCCCACCGCGAGGUAAUCGAAAUGGACUGCUCAAUCACUCAAUCUGUUGACAUGAUGCACACGGNNNNNNNNNNNNNNNNNNNNNNNNNNNNNNNNNNNNNNNNNNNNNNNNNNNNNNNNNNNNNNNNNNNNNNNNNNNNNNNNNNNNNNNNNNNNNNNNNNNNNNNNNNNNNNNNNNNNNNNNNNNNNNNNNNNNNNNNNNNNNNNNNNNNNNNNNNNNNNNNNNNNNNNNNNNNNNNNNNNNNNNNNNNNNNNNNNNNNNNNNNNAUUUUUUUGCAAUGAGCAUACCCUACUCUGAAAUCCUGGGUCUGCCACUGAUGAUGAUGGUCUAAACAUAAAACAAGCCAAGAUUAAUUAGCCACAACUGAAAUUAAGCAAAGGUUAAUGUCAUUGACCCUAGCUCUAUCCUAGCUUUUACAAAAGUCCCAGCACAUAUAGUGGUUGGGCCCACUCUCUCUGCUUCCCUCUCUGCUGCAUGCAUGCACACGAGCAACGGGAGGCCCCACAAAGCCCAGAAGGGUUCGGCUGAACCCGGCCGAUCCAAUCUGAGCACCACUCCCUCCCAGCCUUCGCGCAGAUGCUCCUCCAACAUUCCUUGACCCCUCCCUCAGCGUCCCAUUGGGUUUAACAUUGCAGGAGAGGAGUCCCUUUUUUAAAAUCUCAACCACCUCCUCUCCUCAUUCACUCCACUCUCAUCUCCAUCAAACUCACCAAGAUCCACAUCGGAAAUCCCUGCUUACCACCAUGGCUGGCAAAGCCCUCGUCCCUUUCACCAACUUGGGCUUAACCAUUGAUCUCGAUGGGGAAAUCACUCCGGAAAUAGGGCAGUGACCCAGAGCAAAGGUGAUGCCAGAGUGUAGAUAGCAGUUAGCAUGCCAAAUUGUGAACCGCAAGCGCUCGGAUUAGUUGUUUUUUUUCCCUUAGAGAUUCCCCCAAGGUUUAUCAAUCCAUGGAACAAGGGAUUUGCACAUUUCACUAAGCAUUAAUCAAUGUAAUUGAAAGCUUUUUGAAUAAGAUAUGAUUAUGCUAACAAAGGAACUAAGCAAUCUAGAUUAAGAUGGAUAGAGAGUAAAGGUUGUGAACAAGAUAGAUUAAACGCUUAUAGAUGCAAUCACCAUGCAUGAAUGAAUUAGAUCUAGGUGUUAUUGUGAGUGGUUGUGAACCAUACCCCAACACUUUCCCACCCGCAACAUUGUCACUACAUGUGGGUACUCAACUAUCGAAACAUAAGAACACAUCAAGAUGAUCAUUCUAGGUAAGCAAAUAAGCAACCCAAAGUAGCGCUGGCCAGCCUUUUCAUGAAAGAGCAUCAUCAAGAUAAGAUUGAUAACAAAAUAGAUCUCAACCAAAGGUUCAGCGAUUACAAAUCAAGAUCUCCGUAUAACCCCGAUGACAAAUAGAGGUAUUACCCCCAUGAUCUUACACAUGUUGAUGAAUUUUAGGGUAAAGGACGCCCUGUAGAUCAACUGGACCAAAGAUGAUGAUGAACAGGGGCAGGGAAGGCCCAGGCUGAUCAGCCUGGGCACUUUUGAGCCGAUCAGCUUAGGGAGUUUCCUCCUCCCCUGGUGCUCCUCUUCGCGUGGCCUCCUCUGGAUCCAAUCUUCUCUUCAUUUCUCCUACUUGUGGUGGCAAUGGAUGGUGUUUGCAUGGUGAUUUCCUCUUCUCCCCAACUCUCCCUCCUUGAAGUCCAUGAGGGGGUAUUAAUAGUCUCCAAUAUGCGGCAGCUCUGGGUCAAUGUCGGUGAAAAAACCCUAGAGAUCAUCGUACACUUCACGCUGAGGAAACAAGAGGUCGACCGAGCCCUGGGAUAGACCAAGAGGAUCAGCCUAGAGGGUCCCAGGCCAAUCGGUCUAGGCCCUUCCUAGCCCUUCUAGUCCUCUCCUUCCUCGUGCUGGCUUUUCUCGAUGACCCUUGUCCAAAUAUCCAUUAAGCUCUAUAUACAUACCCCCUUGAUUAUGUCGUAUUUCCUGUCAAAAUACAAUGCUCCAAAAUACAACACAUAUGCAAUAAUAGGGUUAUUUCAUGUGCCAAUUGGUGCGUUAGUAUACGAAUAAGCAUGAAAAUACUGGUUAAAUGACACUAAAAGUGUGUCAAUAACGAGCACCAACAAUCCCCCCACGCUUAGAUCUUGCUCGUCCUCGAGCAAGUCUAGCGACUAAAAGAUCUUGAAUUAAACAUGAGCAAGCGAGUCAAGUACCUAGCCUUGAAACAAAAGAUUAGAGGAGCAGCAAAGAUAAUCAAAGUCUGGGUGUUCAAAGAUUUAUCUAAGCAAAGAUUCCCCUACAACUAUUAUUCAGAACCAAGUAACUUCAAGAAUCAACUACACUUAUUUUCUGGCUUUUUUCAGAGGGUUUUUCUUUCAUCACAAAACAAUCUCCCUGCAACAAAAUUGAAAAAAGAAUUAUUUUCCAGGUGCUUACAUGUCGUUUAAAUGAAUGUUCGCUAUCCUACUUAUUUGCAAGCUCUCAUCUCUCAAAAUUCAUUCAAUUAUAUGGUGGAGCUUGGGUAAGGUUAGCUAGAAUCAACACGUAUAUUAUUGAAUUAAGAAAACCCUCUAACGGUAGCCUACCUUUCGAGCCAUUGAUCAUAAGAAUAUCCACAUAAUGUGAAGUUUUCAAGGAUGAGAAUAGAAUGGUGGACAUGUGCAAAGGCAAAGAAAUAUAGUGACUCUGAGGCACAAGCAAUGUCCUCGUCGUUGGAUUGCAUAUGGUUGGAAUGAAAAUCUGUUCCUUAAACAAGUCCAUCUUUUCUUUGCACCACUCUUGAUCUUCAUGACAGUAAAAACUCCUCCUUUAUUUCUUUCUCUCUUUUCCUAUUAUUUCUUUUUAUUUGUCUCAAUACUUUUCUUUCUUUAUUUCUUUAUUUUAAUCUCUUCUCCGAACCUCUUCUGAACACCACACAAUAAAAAUCAGUUUUAGAUCCUUCUAGAGACCUUCCAGGAAUUUGCUACAUGAAAACCGAGGCAAGGAGACCCCAGGCCGAUUGGCCUGGCCACUCCUUUGCUCUCCUCUAGCUCUUCUUUCUUGUGAAGCUUCCUUAUCUUGUAUCUUUCCAAAAAUUUCAUAAAGCUCAACUAGAAACGGAACACAUCUUCAUAUAAUGAGUUGUGUUCAAGGAAUUGGUAAUAAAAUUGAGAAAUUUGUGGUUCGGGUUUACGAAUUCAGUACAAAAAUAUGAUUAUUCCAAUGAAGAACUCUCAUUACUGAAUAUUGACGAGGCAAGCAUUCAAAGAUGGUAAAAAGGAUAUGAUCAAUUCUCAGAAUUAAAGCAAACCAAGAGAGAGCGAUCCUAAUUCAAUUCAAAGUGUCAAAUGUUGCUUAUGGUGGUAUGAAUAAAUAUUUUUAGGCAUUGGGUAGGAUAAAUAAAAACUCUCAACCUGGUUAAAAGAUAUUGAUCAAUCUUGUUUUUGCAGAGGUUUUAAAUAAAAAAUAAAAUUUUAAAUCACCUCCAAUUCAAAGCCUUACUCAUAAAUCAUAAUCAAAACUGAAGCACUUGAUCAUCAUAAAGCAUGGGUAUUGCAUAAACAAAUCGAUUACUAAAACUCCACAACUACGAUUUAGAAUUCAAGACAAUGCUCAUAAUCUAAAGUUGCAAAGACAAAAUAAAAGACAAGCAAGCCAAGGUAGACACUAAAAACACUUGCACGAUCCUUGAAUUUUAUUCAUGCUUCUUCUCACAAAGACGCUAAAGUAGCCAUGUAGGCCUAAGUCUUCCCAAAAGCUUAAGAAGACUACUACUUUAUCUACUUUUGGUUCUAAUAAAAACACUAAUCUAGACUCUCACAUGAUUCGACUCGACCAAACUAGAUCCAAAAACUCAUACGAGCGACAAUCUCCCCCCCCCCCUCUCAAAUCUACGACCUCCUCGUGGUAACCAUAUGGAGUACAAGGAAAAGACGCUUGUAAACGCACUAAUGACGCUACCCGGACUACUUGCACACGGAAUGGUUGCUGUUUCCUUUGCUUUGUUCUUCGUCAUGUUGCUGCACAUCCCGAAGAGCUUCCUCACGUUCCUCUGCAAGAACUUGAACUUGAACUUGUCCUCCUGACGGCAAUCAUUAUCUUCUGCCUUUUGAUCCAGAGCUUGUAAGGCUUGCAUGAUGUCAUUGAACGCAUCGAAGAGGUAGUGGAUGUUCUUCCUGCAAGCUGUGGAACAUGUACGAUCAUGCUCCUACGAUUCUGGCCCGUCGUCUUCUAGAUCCUCCUCUUUGCCCUUGUCUUGACGGUGGCCAUCUUGCUCCUUGCUCGUCUUCUUGCCUUCAGCCCGAUCCCAGUACGUGUUGUCAUCUUCUUCAUCAUCACGGCCUGCAGCACCCUAUGAUCCAUUGUCUAUCUUGUAUGAAAGAAUCAGAAGCUUGUUCUCCUCAGGGUGUCUUGCGCGGUGCAGCGUUUGCAAGUGCAAGGCUUGCUAGUUCUUUUUACACAUUGUAAUGUUCAUUGCAUGCUCUAAUUGUUCUACAUUUGUAAUUUCUUGGUGAAGUUUGGUUACUGAUCCACUGUUUGAUUAACUCUUGGGCCCAAACACUGUACUACUUCUGAUUAGAUAUCUGUAUCUUAACUUUGACCAAAAAAAAUAUCCGGCAGUUUUUGCCAUUAAAGUUUCAUAAAUCAUCUUGCAAAAAUCGUACUAUACAACAAGGGACGGUUUAUUAUAAAAUAUACGUUCCCCUUAUCACAUGCCACUUCCACUCAAAAGGCAACGAAUCAGUUUUCAAUCCUGAGUGAGCAAUUUGCUUUUAUUACCGAUGCCUCCUAUUCCCUUGUGCACCAAGUUCAUUUUGGAUAGGACUGCAAAAAGCGACUAACCAGCUCGGAUUCUCCACCUGCAAAACCGCAUCUGCAGCAACCAACCCCACGCGGUGGAAAAAAAAACAAAACCCAGAAACCGGACGGGGGUGGAUGUGGGGCUCGGAGCCCAAGCAAAAAAAGGAUCGGGAGCGCCGGAGCAGGCCAUCACCGGAUGUUAGAGAUAGAAAAUGGUUGAAGUUGGAGUGGAAAUCAAACAAGCCUUGGAGCAAAGGAAAAAAAAGAUCAAACCACUCAAGCAUUCAUUUGAUUUAGAAAAGAGAACAUUUGUUAAGGUGGGGAGUUGAAAUCAUCUUUUAAUUAGUUCCACGUAUCUGGUAUCAUUACAGUUGGUUGACUUGUGUAAGUAUAUAAGUAGCUCUGCCGAAGCCUUUGCUCCUAUAAUUUAGUAACUAGUACAAAUGGAUCAUUAGGAAAAUCAAGUUGCAAUCAUUUCUCAGCCAACCAAACCUAUCUAAAUCAAAUUAUUGUCCAUGCCCGGCAUGCACAGGUGCCUGCCAUGCAUGCAUUGUUGCUCCAUUGUAAUAACCAUUAUUGUCCAUUGAUGUUCCAGCGCAUGUGUGCACUGUGCAGACACCAAGCAUCGAGAUUAUGUACUAGUAAGGUACCAAGAACACGUGAAGCACACGGGGGAGGCUGCUCCACUCGGCAUGCACAGGUGGGGCACGGCACCACUACUCGUCUCCUUCAGGCAGAGGACAAGUGAUGUACGCUGAUCAACCACUAGUAGAAAAACGACUUUCCAUCCACCCCCUUUUGUCCCGGUUUAAAGUUGGCCCGGGAUAAAAGGUUCACCAACCGGGACUAAAACUCGGUCACUGGUGGGGGGCUCACCAACCGGGACCUUUUAUCCCGGUUGCAAAGGCUAGUGGGAAAAAAAGACUCUGAGAGGCCUUUUAUCCCGGUUUGAAACACCAACCGGGAUAAAAGGUGGUCUUUUAUCCCGGUUGGUGUUUCCAACCGGGAUAAAAGGGUCCCCACGAGUUAAUACAAAAGGAUAGUAUCCCCUAUAUAGUCAGAUGUGGUGUGUAGGUGGGAUGGCAAGGAAUCUCCGCCCUCUCCACCUUCGGUACUCCAUGGGAAACCAUUCCUUUGGAACCAAGGAAGCUUGAACAGUAUAACGAAUAAAGUUUCAUAUAUCCAUUUGAUUUCACAUGAAAUAAAAUAUCCUGUCAGAACCAAUGGUUUCACUGAAGCUCCAGGCAGCGAGCGAAGGGGUGAGAGAGGAUAACGCUUACUGUGUGUUACCAUCACGUGCACCAUGGAUGACCAACGCGCAGCCGAGAUGAAACGGCGGACCUAAACAGGUCCUCGCUAUUUUUGCAGGUUCUCGACCAGGCCAGUUCUUUGGGCCAACCUAUAAUUCACGAGUUAAACAUACGGUGGCUGUAGAAAUGUUCUAUUCUUUUCAACAAUACCAGCUGGUUCCUCCGUUUUUAUUCCACCAAUACAAGCACCACCUUGUAACAUUUCCUAUGUUUUUUUUCCUUUCGUCUGUUUUCUCACUACAUGCGUUGCUCUUUCAUGCAUUUUUUUCCAUUCCUGUAUUCCAAAUAGGUCUACAUGAACACAAAAUGAACUAGGGGACAGAAAAAGCCAGUGAAGUUAGUUUUGAGCUUCACCAGCUACUUGCUACAUAAAGUGUGCUAUAGUCGCAGAAAAGCUAAGCUGGAUCAGACGUGGCCGAAACCAUGCCAAAGAGCUAGGUCCCUAGCUGAUGGCAACACAUCAGAUGACUAGCCUGCUUUUUUGUAAUAAUGAUAUUGAGCAAUACACUGCAUGGCUAACCUGCUUUACAAUAAUUGUCAUUUUAUAAUAUUGGUCAUCACGAGAGAUGCACAUUGCAUACACCGGUCCAUCCCUAUAAAUAGCCAAGCCUUUCAGCCAUCUUGGGCACCUCCUCUCAGGGCCUCGUCUCACCAUUAGACAUCUCGUUCCCAGUUAUAAUUUGCGAGGUUAGAUCAGGCUGCGCCAUGGCGUCCGCAGCUGCUGUCAAGAUCGCCGCCAUCUUCAUGCUGGUGCUGACCAUGGGCCACCUGAUGGCCGAAGCAUCACCGCAGCCUCGGCGUCUGCUUGCAGAAACGGAGCAUGCUGCGGUGUCCGGGAAUCCUGGCCUCCCAGGUGAUGCUAGCGUCAUGCAGGUCCUCGAACCCGCCCUAGUUUCUCCUCUUGCCUGCAAGCCAGAGUGCACAGUCCCUUGGCCUCCUUUUGUAUGUAUCUGCUAGAUCCUCUUCCUGGAUCAACGGAACUUCAGGGAAAUGGCUGUGACGUCGGCCAAAGAAUAAAUUGGCUGAACAUAAUAUACCCCGGGUAGUGUAGCUUGGGCUUUUGUUGAGCGUCUGGUACUAGUUGUAUUUUGUUUGCUCAUGUGGCUUUGUUUCUGGUUGCAUAUUGUCUUUCCUAUCGCUCUCUGUUGCAGCUAUGGUUUCUGCCAGGUGUGUGUCAAUGCGGUUUGUAAGCGGUGCUUGUUCCUACCUUCUGUUUUCAAUAAAAGAAGUCGGAGUCUCCCUCCGACUCUUGUUAUCAGUCAAGAAAAAUGAGUUGUAUCAUAUAUAUCUGCGUCUUUUUUCUAUGUAUCUCUGGGCUGCUUCAGCUGGAAGUUUAUCGUAAGUACGUGUAUCAGGAUGAUCGUUUGAAUUAAAACGAAAUGAUAAUGUGUGGCUGCUAGAAAUGGAAUGAGCAUCUUACUAUAUUACUAAUUGGAAGCCUCCACGUGAAGCCACCUAGAAAUUCUAGGUGGAUGUUUUAAAAAAAAGAAAACCAAUAGAAGCCUCCACCACCUAGGAAUCCUAGAUGGACGCUCUAAAAAGAGAGAAAUCCUAGAAAUUCUAAAAAAAGAAAAAAAAUAAUAACAAUAAGAUUUUUUUUGCAGUCAGUUACAUAUAUUUUUUUGAGACACCGUGCUGCUAGCUCUUGCCAUUGCGACCAAUAAAGCAAGCAGAUAGUAAGAUGACAUGCGUGUGGAUUGAUUAAAACAGAUUCUGUUAGUUGAUUCUAAAUCAUAUGUAUCCUAAAAGGAACUAGAUAUGUGCGUGCAUGGUCCCUAGCGAUGACAUGUAGACAUGUAUUGCAAUUUCUUUUUUAAAAAAUAUGUCUAUCUCUAAACCAACAAACAGAAAAAAUAUCAAUCUAAAUCUAAAUCUCUUCCGUUCUCACACGCCUAUUAAAGAGAACACAACCAAUCCCAUCCAUGUUCCAUAGAAUCCAUCUAAAAGCUUGCUCACUGCGGACGGCAAAUCAACGAAAGAUCAUCCUCUCCAAAUAGCUAGACGGCAUCACCAUCUUUAUCUCACCAACCUACAGAGCUACAACGAUGUUGUAGAGAUCAACUAGGUAACCUACCAAUCACCCUCCCCUUUUCUAUAUGCUCUAAAGAACACGUGGAGUAAUUAUAGGCCUAUAGGAGCCGACUAACCUAGAUUAAUAUGAAAAAUAUUCCAAUAUUAAAAGCAAGCAGAUAGUAAUACUUGCCUUUGAGCAUUUUUCAAGAACUGUUAUUCCUAUUGAAUGUUCAAGUGCUACGGCCAGGCAUCGAAUGUCUGCACGGAACCUUCCUAUUGAAUGGUUACUCUAGAGAUCAACGCACCGCGAGACAUUGUUUUUGGAAUUUGUUUGAUUCCCCUUCUACAAUUAGAUUAAUUUUUCAUGGUAUAUAUUACUACUAUUAAAUUAUUUGUUUAUUAUCUGGCCUGCUGCAUGUGUGGUAUAGAUGACUUGCUUCUCACCAUUGUUCUCAAACUGUUAUUCCUAUCCAAUCUUUCUAUCGAAAUAUAUUUUAAUUACUUGAUUGUUGUUUGUGUACCAUAACUUCUGUAUAGAAAAAUUCCAUGUUUGUAGAUAAUGUCUUUUGUAUAGAAAAAUAGCCCAAUUAGGUCCAUCACCAUCUUUUGCUUAUGUAGUUGAACAAGUUGCAAUGCUGAACAAAACUUUAAGUGAAAUUAGACUAGGAAAAGGAAUUGUGGAACAUUAAGGCAAGGGUAACCAGAUUGUGGAAUGCAACCUUACUCAGUAGUGGCGAACAAUUAAGUCUUGACAUGAUCCUUAUUGAUCAAGAGGUAUGAUAGAUGUUCACUUUGAUUGCAUUUUUGGUAUAAUUUUUGGCUUACAAAUUAUUAAUGAUGAUGCAAAAUUAGGGAACCAUGAUCCACGGUGUUAUCAAUAAGCCCUAUAUGGAAAAGUUCAAACCAUUGAUUGAAGAAGGCAAUGUGUACAUAAUUGCAAAUGUCAGAAUCACACCAGAACCACAGAAGUAUCGGCCAGUGGGAAAUGACAGGAUAGUCAACUUCUUACCCACAACUGCACUAAAAAAGGUCAAAGAUACUGAAGACAUUCCAAAGUAUAGUUUUAACUUCAUGAGCACGGAUAUGCUUUCAGCAAGAAUAAAUGUGGACAUGUACCUAUCAGGUAAAACAUUACUGGUUUUUCAAUUUUUACACUUCCACUCAUUCAAUGACCAUCUAAUAAUAAUUCAGAUUUAUGUUUCAUAGAUGUUAUAGGUAUCUCAGCUCACAUUGGACCGAUAGAAGAAACAAGGACAAACUUCGGAUUUACCAAAAUCCGUGAUAUUGUGCUCCUGAUCGAGUAAUUCUCAUUUCUUUUGUAGAGAACAACUAUGAAACUUUCAACAUUUACAUGUAUGGUAUAGAACUUCUGUUGAACUAAAAGAUAUCUUCUACAGUGCCCCUACAAAUAAUUAAUUUCGCAGUUAGGUAUUUAAAAUAUUAAUUAUUCACUUUUAAUUUUGUGGCCAUGAAGUUAAAGUUAGAUUUUGGGGAGACAAAGUUGAGGAAGUUGAUGAUAAGACAAAAUCCCAUGUCAUUGCAAUAACAUCUACAACUGUGAGGAAAUUUGGCAGUAAGUCUUCAUUCAAUAUGAGUUAUUCAAUAUUAGUCAUUCAACAAACUAACCUCCUAGGAAAAAUAAAUAAUUGAUAUUUUAUCAGGGUAUUCUCUAUCGUCAACCAAUGCAACAAAAGUUUAUGUAGAUCUACCUAUUCCUGAAACUAAGGAUGCGCAUGAUAGGUGAGAAAAAUUAGAUAUUGUUUUUCUAUUUUAAUCUAUGUAGCAUGCACUCUAACAUGAUACAUUCUUUCGUAUGAUGAAAAAAUGUUAGUUCAAUUGAUAAUAUUGUCAAAGAGAUUCAUUAUUGAGGACCAUCUAAAAGGGAUAUUGGAAGACCAAAUGCAGUACAAUAGAAGAACUUUAGAAGAAUUAAAUUUGAUAUUAUUUGAAACAUCAAAUCAGGUAUGGAUUAGUAUGUUCAUUGUACACUAUACUAUUUAGAGACAUACAUACAUAAUGAUGGUAUUGUUCCUACUUUCAGGAUGAGGUAUUUACGAUGAGGUAUUUACUAUUGAAGCAACAAUAAAUGAAAUUAAUGCAACAUAUGGUUGGUACUACAUCUCAUGUAGUAGAGGCGAUUGUAAGAAGCAACUUGAAAAGAAGUUUCAUCACUACUAUUGCAAUAAAUGUGACAAGAGAGCCGAACCUAAAGCAUGGUAAAUUAUUUAGUAGUUUACAAUCUUAUUAUAAUACUUCUAUUUCUAAUUGGAGAAUAAUAUUUGCAAAUUCAAAAUUAAGCUUCAAAUAAGUGAUCCAACAACAAGUGCAACUUCUGUACUUUUGACAAGGAAGCAGAAAUGAUAAUUAAUGAAUGAGCAGAUUCGAUGAUCACCUCCGUUGAUCAUGAUAAUAAGUAGCUACCAAAAUCAACUAUGCAAAAAGUAGGAACAGAUCUUAAUCGGCUAUGCAAAAAGUAGUAAAUUGAGCAAUAAGAUAUAAAAAAGCUGACAGUCCUAAUUCCAAGCUGUAUAACUGGUGAUAAAACUAGAACAACAUGCAAAACCUAGAAUUCUAGUGAUUAUCGAUAACUGGUGAAUAAAUCUAAACAAAACGACAGCAAUGCGCCCGAAGUUAAAGCUUAGAUAUUACUUGAUAAGCGGAACUUAUAGAAUCGGCCGGAGAUCAAGUUGAUGCAGCCCCGCCAACCCGUACGAACUCGUGAAAAGAAGAAAAGUAUUGGCGAAGUCGCCUGCUCGAAAGUAAAGUGCGAGGAAAUAGUAGUUUGUUGUAUUGAUUUGAUGAUGAUUACAGAUCUAUGAAAGCGGCUAUUUAUAGCCAGUUACAACCAAUCUCUUAACUGACUAGGACUCUAUCUCUAAUUUUAAACGAAAACGAAUAUUUACAAGCAUAAUUCGUAUCGGAGUUGGUCAUCGUGUUCCCAUGGGCCGAUCUCCUUUUUAUCUUCAUAGCUCACUUUAGGCCCAUAUUGGCCCAACUGCUCCAACCUCCCAAUCGGCCGAUUUCCACCAACUCCAUCCGCCGAAAUACUACAGCACCAAUCGGCCGAUCCUCAACUGUAGCACCAAUCGGCCGAUUCCCAAUCGUGACCUCCGUGUUUCGCCGCAUCAGCUGAUUCCUUCCCUUCUUGACGCCGAUUUCAUACGCGUCAAAAUCUGGCAUCAACACAUGCCCCAAGUUUCGGAGUAAAACAUAAUCUUUACUUCAAAAUUCCUUUCAACUUCCCUUCCGAAACAAACGCAUUGAAAAUACCCUUCCGUUUCGCGGUCUUCUGCCUGAUGAUUGCAAUCUUUUCGAAACGGGCGCCCACGACAACCACUCCUCCUGAAAAAAUCGAACCGCCGGCGUGGUAAAAAUUCCGCUUUUACCCUUUCUCAGACCGCCCUUAGAUAUCAGUACGUCCCGUACUUCUUCUUCACGAGCCCACGUCUUCCUUCUUUGGCGCACUGACCUCCUUCUUCUUCCGGCGUCUCUUUAGCCUCUAACCUCUCACUCCGGCGAGUUCUUCCAUCUACAUUCCACCCCACCUUCCCGAUGGCAACACCUUCAGGCACUCCACCAACAUCCGAGGUCCCGGAGACGGCUCCAUCAGCAGCGGCUCCAACAGCAAUGGUGGCAGCUCCAUUGGCAGGAGCAGGAGCUCCAUCGGGCGGGAGCGGGAGCUUCAUCAACGACCACAAUGAGCUUCAUACCAGAGGUUUCUACCAAAACUUUCCUUUCCGCUCCUCUAUGUCGAUGCAUUUACCUUAGAUCAUUUCUUACUGCCCCUUCCAUUCUUUACCUGUUUAGGCAGUUAGGCACCACAUUACUAUUCGCCUCACCGAAACUCCCGGCCUUAUCUAUUUUGGUCCCAUGGGAAACCCAGAUCCAACCGACCUAAUCAAUUUGGAAACCCAUAGGAUCCCUUUCAAGCAAUCAACCAUGGACCUAGAUCACUGGUCAGGUACCUUCAGAUCAUGGCCGAAUGAAACCCCCGGCUGGAGGGAAUGGUACAAAUGGAUAGCCGCCUCAAAAAGAGUUCAAUGGGACGAGCACAAAAUCGGCCAGUGCAUCGACUUAUCUUUGUCCCAAAUGGAAAGGAAUGAGCCUUUAGUAAUAGCAGCCUCCUACUUUUGGUCCGAUGCCCUAAACGCAUUCCCCUUAGGACACGGAGCUAUGACCGCUACCCUAGCCGAUGUGGUCAUGUUGACCGGCCUUGAUAUCUCCUCUCCCGAUACUCCUUUCCGUUACUUGGCCAAAACAUCCCAUCGGCUAGAGACGAAAGGAAUCGGCGGGUGGAAAGGAUUCAUCAAGUGCAACAGAAGGGCCGGGACAGCCCAGGAAAGAGAGCAUGCGGCCUUCUUGAUGAUGUGGCUAGAAAAACACCUUUUUUGCGGGAGGGCAGCCGGUCCAUCCACUAACACACAGGCUUUGGCCGAGGCACUAUCGAUAGGUGCCUCUGUUCCUCUUGGAAAGCACCUAUUGGGAUCGGUUUACCAUAUGCUGCAUCAGAUCGGCGUCAAGCUAUCCAAAGGAGAGCCGAUUGGAAACCCAGGUGGACCCUGGUGGUUCAUCAACUUGUGGCUUAAUCUAUAUAUGAGCAAGAUCUCCCAGCAGCGAGUGGAGUACAUGAUGUUCCCCAACAUCGAAUCGGCAGAGAAUCCCACUGUACGGUGCCGGUGUACUUCCUUCGGUGAAGCGGCAUCGGCCUUCUCCGGUUGCUCAUAUUCUGCUGCCAAGGUGGCCGAAUACUUCAGAUGCUUCUACAAUGGCUUCAGCAAAGACGCAACCAGCUUGUUCCCUUAUCAAAGGGAGGAACCACUCUUCGAGCUCCCCUCCUGUUUUGACUCGGCCACCAGCAAAUUUGAUGAGGACCUCACAGAUGAAUUGAUCAAGCCUCUCGGGGAAGGAUGCCCCCACUUAUGAGUUUUACCAUCCUUCCGUCACAGCACGGCAAUUCGGCUUGGGUCAACUGCCGAUUUAUGCAUACUUCACCGGCCGAGCAAAAUUUCGAGACGAGCUCACCAAAGGUCUCCACUACUACGAUCGGAUUCCAGACUCCAGCACCAUAGACUUGGCCAGUUGGAUAGUAGCCCCUUUCGCUGUUCAGCAGUUCAAGCUAUGGUGGGUGGAAUGGAAGCAACAUCUAUUCUGCGCCUCUACGGCGAUAUAUUGUAAUCUCCUGAAUCCCGACAACAUCGAUCCGAAUGCUGAGGUAUCGCUCUCUUUCUAGCUGAUUUUCAACUCCUUUUUUUUUAUACUGACUCUUAUUAUUAUUUCAGUCUGAGAGCCAUGCUCCCCCAAAAUGCAGUCGGAGUGGUCGGUCGAUAGAGGACCGUUAUCCAUACACAACAUUCCCCCUCAUCGGCUAUCACGCCCCCUCCGUUGAUGACAUAGCCGGCCGAGCGAAGCAAGCGCAGAAAAAGAUUAUCAAGAAGACAAGUCGCCGAGUACGCGCCCGCACAGAAUCGGCCGAUCCACCCGUGGUUGCAUCGGCAGAAAUUUCGGCUACGCCGACCCUUCCGGUCGCUGAAGAAGUUGACCUCCAAGCCGCUAAAGAGGCCGGAGCGGCUGCCGCGUCAUUGUUGGUGGAAGCUAUUCAGGUAAACUCACCAUCCGAUUUUCCUGACAGUCAUUUCAAUACUGACCUUUCCUUUAUUAGGCCGUGCAGAUUGCCUCAGCAGAUCCACAGCAAUCUGCAAUGCCCCAAGCAGAAGUUGAAAUACCAGUGCCCCUUCCCGUUGAGGUACAUGAUCUCUCAACUCACUUCUUUAAUAUUUGAAUGAUGAUCCUACCAACCUUGACGCAGGUCAUCGGCACGUUAACUAUGCUAUCCGACUAGCCAUCUGCCAAAGAAGUCCUUCAAGAGGCCGGCCCGAGCAGAACGCCGAUCGUUGUCGAAUCCUCUUCUUCCGAUGAGCCAAUGGCACCAGUCCCCGAGUCGAUAGUGGUUGUUCCACAAACGCAGAUGGAGGAGAUCCAUUUCAAAGAGGUGAGAAGUCAUUUGACUCGCAUUUACCGAUUCGUCACCACCAUCGGCUGACUCAUUUUCCUUUUAUUUAUCAUUCACAGGAAUAGGACACUCCCAAUAAUAGCCUCUUCUCAUUUGCGGUCGCGCUCUCUGAUGACGAGGAAGUUGCUUCUCGUCAAGUUACUUUGAGCUCCAUCCCCGAUGACGUCCGCGCUAAGCUUGAAAGUAUACGGUCCCUUCUUUAAGAGGACAUCAGCCGAUUGGUGGAGGACGCCUCGCCGAUUCGGCAGCUCUUUGGUGACGUCAACGGGCGAGUCCCAGAGGAAGCAGAAGAAGCCUUGGCACCGGCCGCUUAUAUCGAGUCGAUGCGGAUCCCGGUCUUCAGGGCUCUGCGUCACAUGGCCGAUCGCGCCAAGCUGGCCAAGACUCGUGAGGAAGAGGACUCGUACAAGCAACGGGCCCAGGAGGUACACCAUCGGAUUCACUUCCUCGAGAAUUCCCGACCUGGACUCGUCGGCACGAUAGAUCGCCUCAAGCACCGAAGGGCGGAACUUGCCAAGGAGAUGGAGUAGGUAACCAAAGAAAUAGCUAUUGAAGAGAAGAAGCUUCAGGAACUCCCUUCCGUUAUCGCCGAUUUAAAGCAGGAGAGGCAGCAUUUGGCCCAUGAGGCCCUUAGACUCCAUCGCCAUAUGUCAGAAGUUCCAGGGUCGGCAGAUGAUGACCAACGAGUCUUGGACUCGGCCGAUCAGAUCAGGCAUCGAGCGAUUGCGGCCAUUAACGCCCUUCUGGGUGACUUGUAAAAGUACUAGCCGUUUUGUACGAACAUUAAUGCCUUUUGACCGUCCUUCGCGGCGCUCUCCUAUUUAUUACCCUUUUUACUCUGACAGGACGCGUCUUACCAAACCUCCGCUCUUCCUCUUAUUAUAAAUACCGGCCCUGGUUUCGCUCUUGAGAAUACCUGCUCCACUCGAUUCCUUUUUCCCCCAUUACGUUUCCAUCGGAACGUUCGUAGUCAUGUCUUCUUCAUCUUCUUCUUUCUCCUCUCCUUGUAUCAAUCAGGUACGAGGUCCGUCUUCGCCCUUUUUUCAGUUUGAUCCCUUUAAAUCGUUCCAACUUUUAGGCGGCUAUGUGCUAACUUCUUCAGCCAAGGCACCUUAUCCCUGAACUCGAAUGAGCAAUCGAACUCGUGCACUCUAAUGAGUCGUUGUCGCAAGAGGACAAGGACUUGAUCAAGGAACACCGUGAAGAACUCAGAGAUCACGUUCCUGCCGACGUCUAACGGAUCUGGGACUUCAUCGACGGCAAUGAUUACGGGCGACCGCAAGUUGACAGGAGCCACCCACUUCCUCUUCCGGUUGUUCUUGAAAACGCCGCGGUAGGGACAUCGCGCCCGGUGAUGGAUCGGAGCCAUCCUCUUCCUUGCCAAGUUGAGGCGGAGGCCGCGAUGAGAGAUGUGGCAGAACGAAGCAUUCGCCUUCUAAUGGAAUUAGGUAGGAUUGAGAGGGAACUCAAGAAGAAGCGUAGUUGAGUAUUUUUUGUUCUAAGGGCGAAGUGUACUGUGUCGGUCGUGUAAUUCAUCGUUCGUACUGAAUCACAAAUCGGCCGAUUUGAACGAUUAUUUUUCUCCUUUAGGCGAUUUCUUCUCCCGUAUCGGCUGUGUGAUCGUUCAGGGAGCGAUCUUUCUGUCUUGUCAAUGCCUUGCGAUCGAUUCUUAUGUUCCGACCCAUAUACUGGGGUAAUACCUUUUCAAGUACCUCCCGUUUAAGGCCCUAGUAAAUUCUUCUCCUUCGAUCAUUUCCAGAAUGUAAGCGUUUCCCAGGGCACAUCGGCCGAUUCUAUACAGCCCUUCCCAAGUGGGAGACCAUUUACCGAAUUUAGGAUCUUUUGAUCCAAUCGGCAACACUAACUUCCAUACCAGAUCCCCUUGGGAGAACUGCUUGACUUUGACCUUCUUGUCAUACCAUCUGGCCACUUUCUUUUUGUUUUCCUUGAUACUGAUCAAGGCUCUCAAACGUUGGCCCGCCAAAUCGUCGAGUUCCCUAUUCAUGAGCGAGGAGUAAUCAUCGGCCGUCAGCUGAUCUUGAAGCGACGUGCGUCUCGACCCUGUUCUCAACUCCCAUGGCAAUACUGCCUCAUGACUGUACACCAAUUGAUAAGGAGACACCUUGGUAGCCCCAUGGCAGGCCAUCCUGUAUGCCCAUAGAGCUUCGGUUAGACAUAAGUGCCAUUUUUUGGGUUGUUCUUCGAUCUUCCUCUUGAUCAACUUGAUUAUCCCUUUAUUGGAAGAUUUGGCCUGGCCGUUAGCCUGAGGAUAGUACGGGGAGGAAUUUAGCAACUUGAUUCCCAUAUCGGCCGUGAACUCCUCGAACUCUCCCGACGUGAACAUCAUCCCUUGAUCAGUUGUGAUAGUCUGAGGGAUGCCGAAACGAUAGACAAUAUGAUCCCUCACGAAAUCGACCAUAGCGGCCGAUGUUACGGCCUUUAAUGGAACCGCCUCCACCCAUUUGGUGAAAUAAUCUGUGGCUACCAGAAUGAAUUUAUGUCCUUUACUUGACGGAGGAUAAAUUUGUCCAAUGAGGUCUAUUCCCCAACCUCUGAACGGCCACGGCUUGAUAAUUGGAUUCAUAGCCGACGCGGGCGCGCGUUGCACAUUCCCAUAUUUCUGACAAUCUUGGCAUCCUUUAUAAUACUUGAAACAGUCCUCAAGGAUUGUCGGCCAGUAAUAUCCAUUAUUCCUAAUCAUCCACUUCAUCUUAUGCGCCGAUUGGUGGGCUCCACACACCCCUUCGUGCAUUUCUCCCAUCAGGGUCUUUGCCUCCUCCGUCCCUAGGCAUUUGAGUAGAACACCAUCAAUCGUCCGGUAGAACAAAUCAUUUUCCAAUAACACAUAUUUUGUGGCCUGAAAUCGUAUUCGCCAAUCCACUUUCUUAGAUGGGUCUUUUAAAAAAUCGGCGAUCUCUUUUCGCCAGCCGUCGGCCGCGAGUUCCAGAAUCAUGGCGCCUUGAAUCGGCCGAUACCCGAACGCGUGCUGAGCCAGCCUGUUGGCUUCUUCAUUGUAAUCCCUGGGGAUAUGCUCAAUAACUGUGGAUUUGAAUUCUUUCAGAAGUUGGAGGCAAUCCUCAUAGUAAACCCUUAAUACAUCAUCUUUGCACUCGGAUCUUCCUGUCAAUUGGUCCACGAUGAGCAUGGAAUCUCCAAAAACCUCGACGGUGUCGGCCUUAAUUUCUCUUAACAAUUGUAACCCUUUCAGGACAGCCCGGUAUUCCGUCUGGUUAUUAGUGGCGGAUGCUUCUAUCGACAGAGAGAAAUCAUAGCAUGCCCCCUGAGGCGAUAUGAGAACGAUGCCGAUUCCCGAUCCGGCCCCACAUGACGAGCCAUCAAAAUAUAAGGUCCACGGUACUGGUUCCACGACAGCGAUUUUUGGUCCGCAGUGUUGGGCGACGAAAUCAGCCAUAACCUGACCUUUGAUGGCGUUUGCCGAUUCGUACCGUAGAUCAAACUCUGAUAAAGCCAAAAUCCACUUUCCGAUCCACCCUUUCAAAAUCGGCAAUGACAGCAUAUACUUUACUACGUCAUUCGUGCAUACAACCACGCAUUCUGCCGAUAACAAGUAGUGCCUGAGCUUGGUGCAUGAGAAGUAAAGACAUAAGCACAGCCGCUCUACCGGGGGAUAUCUUGAUUCGGCGUCCAAAAGUCUUCUACUAAUAUAAUAUAUUACCCGUUCCUUUCCUUCGAACUCCUAGACCAGUGCCGAUCCGAUAGCUCGCUCAUCGGCUGAUAAAUACAGCUUGAAUGGCUUACCAGUUUCUGGUGGGACCAAGUACUGCUUGAUGUCUUCUAGUGCCUUGCGUUGCUCUUCUCCCCAUACGAACUCUUGGUUGGGUUUCAAUUUCAACAACGGUGUGAAGGCCUGGAUACGUCCAGAUAGGUUGGAUAUGAACCAGGCAACGUUGGUAAAGAAAACUGCUAAGAGUAAACUAAACAACGCUACAGUAGCAACACUAGGAACGGAUCUUAAUCGGCUAUGCAAAAAGUAGUAAAUUGAGCAAUAAGAUAUAAAAAAGCCGACAGUCCUAAUUCCAAGCUGGAUAACUGGUGAUAAAACUAGAACAAUAGGCAAAACCUAGAAUUCAAGUGAUUAUCGAUAACUGGUGAAUAAAUCUAAACGAAACGACAGCAAUGCGCCCGAAGUUAAAGCUUAGAUAUUACUCGAUAUGCGGAACUUACAGAAUCAGCCGGAGAUCAAGUUGAUGCAGCCCCGCCAACCCGUACAAACUCGUGAAAAGAAGAAAAGUAUUGGCGAAGUCGCCUGCUCGAAAGUAAAGUGCGAGAAAAUAGUAGUUUGUUGUAUUGAUUUGAUGAUGAUUACAGAUCUAUGAAAGCGGCUAUUUAUAGCCUGUUACAACCAAUCUCUUAACCAACUAGGACUCUAUCUCUAAUUUUAAACAAAAAUGAAUAUUUACAAGCAUAAUUCCUAUCGGAGUUGGUCAUCGUGUUCCCAUGGGCCGAUCUCCUUUUUAUCUUCAUAGCUCACUUUAGGCCCAUAUUGGCCCAACUGCUCCAGCCUCCCAAUCGGCCGAUUUCCACCAACUCCAUCCGCCGAAAUACUGCAGCACCAAUCGGCCGAUUCCCAAUCGUGACCUCCGUGUUUCGCCGCAUCAGCUGAUUCCUUCCCUUCUUGACGCCGAUUUCAUAUGUGUCAAAAUCUGGCGUCAACACAUACAUAAUGAUGGUAUUGUUCCUACUUUCAGGAUGAGGUAUUUACUAUUGAAGCAACAAUAAAUGAAAUUAAUGCAACAUAUGGUUGGUACUACAUCUCAUGUAGUAGAGGCGAUUGUAAGAAGUAACUUGAAAAGAUGUUUGAUCACUACUAGUGCAAUAAAUGUGACAAGAGAGCCUAACCUAAAGCACGGUAAAUUAGUUAGUAGUUUACAAUCUUAUUAUAGUACUUCUAUUUCUAAUAGAGAAUAAUAUUUGCAGAUUCAAAAUUAAGCUUCAAAUAAGUGAUCCAACAACAGUGCACUUGUGUACUUUUGACAAGGAAGCAGAAAUUAUAAUUAAUGAAUGAGCAGAUUCGAUGAUCACCUCAGUUGAUGAUGAUAAUAAGUAGCUACCAAAAUCAAUUCAGAAAAUAUGUGAAGAAACAUUGAUUUUUCAAUUCAAAUUGACCGAGUACAACUUGACAAGUUUUAGACCUGAUUAUACUGUUUCAAAGAUAUUUUUUCCAAAAGAAAAGAGCAGUUCUAGAAUUGGUAUGGAAAGUGUAAAAAAGGUAACACUUUAUUCUUAAGUUUUUAUUGCACUUUUUUCUUUUGAAUCCUUAAUAUUUAAUAAUUUUACUAUAUCAAUGAAACAAAUUCUAACCUAAAUUUACAACUCAGACAAAUGCUACAUGAUAACUACCGAGAAUGAAGAGGUAGACACUGAUGACUCUUUUACCGAGAAAGUAACAUUCGUAGAAGAAGCCAUAAGGACUGGGGAAAGAUUGGCUAGAAAAGUAUACUCACUUCCAUCUAAGUAUUCAUUCUAUUUACAAUACAUGCAAAAAAAUAUUAUUCAUGCAAAAUUGCAGGUCUACUAAGCAUUAAAGGAAUAGCGGAUAGUGCAAUAUCUAAUUUGAGCAGCAUGCAUUACAAAGUGCUCUACUGCAAUUAAAUUAAAAAACAUGAUAUAUGUUGAAUUCUUAGACUUUAUUAUUAUACUUUUCUAUGUGACAAUUCACAAUUUUUUAGAAAAAAGAAGAUCCCAGAAGAAGUGACCAUGAAAAAAGGUCUAUGCCCAGCAAUAAGAAAAAAUGCAAGCAUAGAAACAAAUCCGUAGAAAACAUAGAAAAUAAGGUACUCCAUAAACAAAAGUAUUCUCUUAUAUUUUUAUUAAAUAUUUCUUUAACACUUGACAAGUUCUUUUUUAGGAUCAAUAUAUCAGCAAUUCAGAUGUCAUUGGAGAUGAAAACCUUAGUUCGUCCAAAAGGUCAAAAAAAACAUCUGAAGAAAGGUGUUUGGCUGAAAAGGAAAAGCAAGAAAGUUGUAAUGCAGACAAACACAUGCAGAAAAAUAUAAAAACAUGUAAUAGGGAGGCAGACCAAUCUUGCAAGGAGGUAUAGACGAAACGUGAUACACGACCUGCCUACCUUGUCGUGGAUACCCCAAGAAGAUGUCAUAGAGGUGCAGACCAAGCUAGCAAGGAGGUCGAAACGUGAUACACGGCCUGCCUACCUUGCCGUGGAUAUUAGCCCUAAGAUCAUUCUACUGUUCAAGGAAUAACACUCAAUGCUGCUGCUGCUGCUGACCUGGCUCCAUAAAGUUAUACUCCUCUAGGUGCUUGCACUAACUUUAUCUGAAGUAUUAUUCUCUCUGCACUGUAUAUAUGGUUAUGGAGUUUGCUGGAGUAUCCUGGGGGAAGAACCUACAUAAUACGUCUUGGAACUAACUGACAUUGAUUCACAGACAAACUCUACAAGGUGCUGUUGUUGCCAUUUUAGAGCAUCCAAAGGACUAUAAAUAACAUAGUUUACCAUAUACCAUAUACCAUAAUAUGUUAGCUAAAAUAAGAGCAUACACAUGUUGCAGGAGUCCAAAAGCACCGGUUGAGGACCAGGUACAUUGAAUUACUAGAAAAAGACAGGGGACAAGGUUUAGGUAACCACAUGAAACAUUUGAAUUUACUGUACCAUGAACACUUAGUUACCAUGCCGGGAGCACAUAGUUAACACUAACAUUUAGCCACUUUAGAUCACCCCGAAUCACCAAUGACCCUCAAUAGUGACAAAUUUUGGUUUAAAUGCCGUCACCAAUGAUCCUCAAUAGUGACGUAUUUAGGUUUAAAUCCCAUCACUAAUAACCCUCAAUAGUGACCUGUUUUGGUUUAAAUCUCAUUACCACUUAUCCUCAAUAGUGACGUGUUAAAACGCGUUAUCUCAAUGGCAAAUCAUUGGUGACGUGUUUUAAAAAAACAUGUCACUGUGAGAGUCAUUGGUGAAGGGUAAUUAAAAUGCGUCACUAAUGUUGUAGCAUUAGUUAUGAUAAUUUAGUAAUGCAAAAAUCUACCAUCAGUAAUGAGCUUUAGAGCCAUCGCUAAUGUGGGUUUCUUACAUAGUGAUGCAAGCUCUACAAGGUGCUGUUGCUGCCAUUUUAAAGCAUCCCAUGACUACAUGUUAAUAACAUACUUUACCAUAUACCAUAAAAAUAUUAGUUACAAUAAGCACAUACGCAUGUGGAAGAGUCCGAAUGCACCGGUUGAGGACUAAACACAUUUAAUUACUAGAACCAAAUGUAUGUCCAGAACAAAGACAGGGGUCAAGGUUUGGGUAACCGCAUUAAAAACAUUGGAUUUUACUGUAGAUGAACACUUAGUUACCAUUACCAUGCCUUGAGCACCUAGUUACAACAAACAUUAAUUUAGCCACUUUAGAGCUUCCAGAAUCGCUAUAAAUAAUAUACCUACGCCGUACCAUGAAAACAUCAAGAAGAGAGACGGAUACAUGGACCACCAUCAAGCGAGUACUGACAGCACGCACAAGAAUACCCAGAACCUGUUAGCUUGUCUGUAGUGAUCUGUUUUCUUCCCCAUAAAAUCCAUGAGUAUUGCCACAAAUAAUGAAAGAGGCUGACCAAGCUAGCAAGGAGGUAGAGCAAACGUGAUACACGGCCUGCCAAGAUUGCCCUGGAUACGCCAAUAAGAGCGACAGAUACAUGGAUCACACCAAUAUGGUGAAACGUAUAUUCAUCACACAAGCAAAGCUGGUCAGUUUAUCCAUGGUCAAAUUGUGGUCUUUGUUUUCACUUGAGAGCUAAUUGAGGCACUAUAAUAUGGGCAGGCCUAUCUUCAACAGACAUGACAGCUACAGGGAACUUGACAUAAUUUGCUGGACCGCCUGUGCACAAUUAUUUGUUUUAUUGUCCUUGCAUAGAAUGCUAAAAUACUCUUUACAAAAUGUUGGAUCUAAUAUUUGAAAUAUAGAGUAGUAAUCAUAUAUUGAUCAACAACUUGAAAUUAUCUGUACAUUCUCGGUGAAGCUGUUGAACUAAUUUUUGCAAAUUAUUAAUUAAUUCAUCUCAUUACGUAAAGAAAACAGUAAGUGGAUAAGAUAUUUCGUGGACCACAUCACUGCAAACAUGUCAUGGAGAGACAGACCAAGGAGGCAGGACGUGAUACACGACUUACCCUAGGUUGCCGUGGAACCGCCAAGAAGAGAUACGGAUACAUGGACCACACCAUCUUGGGAGUAGUGACAGCAUAUAUGCAGAAGAAUACCCCGUGCCUAUUUGCAUGCAUGUCUCAAGUGAUCUGUUUUCUUCAGAAAAUACAUGAGCAUUGCCAGAAAGAAUGGCAAGAGACAAACAUGUCAUAGAUACUUGCAUGUCUUGCCUUGGAUACGCCAAGAAGAGGGACACAUACAUGGAUAACACAAAUCUAGUGACACGUAUAUUCAUCACAAAGGCAAAUCUGAUAAUUUUAUCCAUGGAGCAGACCAAGCAGAAAUUGAUGACGGACAUGUGAUCUCUGUAUUCAGUUGAAAGCUAAUUGAGCUACACUAAUAUGAGCAGGACUAUAUUCAAGAGACUUGUUGAGAGCUACAGGGAACUUGUAAUAAUUUGCUGGGCGGCCUGCGCACAAUGAUUUGUUAUACAUAGUUGAAAUAUUUCAAGAAUUUAUCAACCUCGUACUCUGAAACCCUUGGUGCAAUGUACUCUGCUUUCCGAGGUAGACUGUUCACGUAAAAUGAGGUCAUGCGUAAGACGGAAUCGGAUUGGAUUCGCAGGGAAUCAGAUUUGGAUAGCACCUUUUAGCCGGUUUUUAGUCAAAUGCAAAUUCGGAUCCAGAUGUGGUUGAAUGCGAGUUCAAAAUUCUACUUGGAUAUCCAUUUAAUUUAGGUGAUAGCAAUUAGCACAAAAUGUUGGAAGAACAAAAUCAUAGUUAGACAUACAAUUACAUGUAUUGUUAAAGUAUAAUACAAUACACCAAGAUUAUUCCUUCAAAAUAUUUCUUAAAAAUAUUAUAAUAAAUGAAUAAAUAUAAUUGUGGCCACCAACAAAUAGUCGGUGGUCACUAAGUUGGAGCCAUUUCUGGUUACUAAUGCGGCCUGCUCCUCGACCAGCGACGACAGCUGAGCUUGUUCCUUCUGACACCAAAUCAUCAGAGUCUUCCCUCCACUACUAUAGAAUGCACCUUUAGCACCAAUUGGGAAAUCCCCUUCAGUAUCGGAUGCUGCAACCUGUGCUAUGAAAAUGGAGACUAAAAGCCUCGGUCUUGGGUACCGGUUGCAUGACGCAUUACUAAAGGAGGCAAAAGAGAAAUGUAACAAAAAAAUAUUUUGAAUUCCAAGAAUGUUUCACUAUUCAAGAUGACUAACUGAGAGUCAUCAGACAAGAUACUAGGAAUGUGGGUGCUUGAAUGCAUUUGUACAGAGGUCAUACUAUUUACAAACUCUUCUGUGUUUCCAUAUGACUACCUACUUCAAUGUCACGCGAGCCAUUCAGGACACAUGGCACACAAGCUUGCAUGUCGAAUCCAUGAUUAAUUAUUUCCACUUGUGAUCUCUUACCAGUAUUUGUCCAGACUAGAAACGUGCAACACAUUUUUUGGAUAUGGACACGCAUAUAUUUGGACUAGUAUACAGGUCACCUUUGGAUGAGUACAAGGAUGACCGGGAGGGACUAAUGGAUACAAGGAAGGGACCAUCAGGAUUAAUAGUGACAUAUGCCACAUGACAAUCUUCAUUGUCAUGCAAUCCCUAUCAACAAUCAUGGAAUCCCUAGUGUACUAAUCCCUGGAGGGUUGUGUGGAAAUUUAUUUUACCUUGCGGUGAAAAUCUCAUGAGCAGUCAUUAGUUAAGCUGACUAGCUGAGAUAUAAUAGACAAGCUAGUAAGAUUGGGAGCAUCAAUGCAUCCAUACAGGGUCACAAUAUCCUUUCCAUUCACUUUUAUAUAUAACCCUACGAAUACAAGUCCAACGAAACGCGGGCCUUUCGAUCAAGAUAAAUUAAAUGGCCCACUUGUAUUUCUAAUCCAGGAUUAAUUAUGCCCUCUGUUCAUCUCUUGCAAGCACGUGCAACACAUUUUCACGAUAUGGACAUGCAUGGAGGUUAUUAUACUGUUUGGACAAACUCUGAUGUGCCAUGACCUGGGCCUGUUUGGUUUGAGUUGCUUAUUAUAAGCAACUUAAAGUUGCUUAAAGUUGCUUAUUUGAAGUUGCUUAUUUUUAGUCUAAACUGUUUGGAUACCCUUGCUUAUGAGCAUUGAAUGAGAUGGACAUUGUCAUAUUUGCCCCUUGUGUAGCUACCCCUCCAAUUUGCCUCCCCACCCUUCUUCUUCCUGCACACGCCCGAUCCCGGGGGCCGACGGCGGGCAGGGAGCAGCAGCAGCUGGCUGGGGCGGCGGUGGGGCGGGAGCGGCGGCGCACACCAGCAUGCGCUCGCACGCCAGGUGCUGGAGCGCGGCGAGGCAGUCGUCGUAGACCGCCGGGAGCGGGUGCUCGGGCGUGAGGCGGUACUCGACGGAGACAUCGAGCGUUGGGCGCGUGGCGGCGAGCGCGUUGAGGAAGCGAUGGUAGUGCGGCGACGUCGCGGACUCCGCCACGAAGCCGCCGCCGUGGACGUACACCACCACGGGCAGCUUCGUCUUGCCGUCGGCGGCCACGGCCGCGGCCUAGGGUGGCAGGUAGAGGCGGAUGGAGCAGGAGCCGAGGUCGACGUCCCCGGAGUCGACGCCCGUGGCGGCGUCCAGGCCGGGCCCGACCGGCGGCGGCACGAGCGACGCAGCCGCUCUUGUAAAUCCAGCAGGUCUGCGCGGAGGCGGGCGGCGGGCGGGAGCGGCGGCGGGUGGUGCGGAGGCCGGCGGCGGCGGGUGGCGCGGAGGAAGGGGAGCUGGUGAGUGGUGACAGGGGAGGGGGGAGAGAGAGAGGGGGGUAGGGUGCAUUGAAUGAGGGCAGGAGGUGUAAAGUGCACCUUUUAGUCCCCAUAAGCAACCAUAAGCAGCCCAAGAGUUGCUUAUUUACUUAUAAUAAGCAACCCCAUAAGCAAGAGUGAUUGGUUUCAUAAGCAACUUAUUUGCUUAUUUUAAGUUGCUUAUGCGUAAGCAUGUGAAACCAAACAGGCCCUUAACCUAUGGUUGUGGCACACAACCAUACAGUAGAUAGUAUUUAAUAAUGCUAUUCGUUUGGUAUGUGCAGAAGGGCACGCAUGAAAUGUCUGGCCCACGGUAAACAAGUACGGACGCUGCAAAUAAUCUACUCUGCUCGUCCAGUCCCUAGCCUAUAAAUAGAUGCCAUGCUAGCUCUUGUUGUGCUCACAAUUAAUCCGAUUACACACGAGCUUCUCUCCCUGGCCAAGACACAAUCAUAGUAUGAUGAAGAACAUGGCACUAGCCGGCAAUGGUAUGAAGAAGUUAAUCCUCGCUGUUCUCUUACUGUGUCUAGUUAUAGGGCAGAUACAAGUGGAAGCUAAGAGCUGCUGCCCAUCCACCACUGCAAGAAAUAUCUACAAUACCUGCCGUAUCACGGGUACAUCCCGUCCAACGUGUGCAAAACUGUCAGGCUGCAAAAUUAUCAGCGGGGACAAAUGCAAGCCCCCUAACGACCACCUCACCCUUGACCCGGACACUGGUAAAUAAUAAAUUUAUCUCACUUGAUUUCUUUGUGUUUUGAGUCGUUAAUGUAUUUUCCAUCUGAUGAAACGUAUUGGUUUUGCAUUGAAGAGGAAGUUAAUGUGCUUAACUUCUGCAAGUUGGGGUGUGCGUCGUCUGUGUGCAACAACAUCAACGCUGGUAAGCACCUUUUGCUCAGACAGAGAAAACAAUAAUCAUUAAUUAGCGGCAGCUAGAAUCCUAUAAUCUAAUAUAUAUAUAUAUAAUUUUAUCAGCUCUGGGAAAUGAAGAGGCGAACGAUGCCGUUGAGAGUUGCGACCAAGCCUGCUCUAGCUUCUGCAACGUGCACGUUGGCGCUGCCACCGUGGUUGCUUAAGCAAAUGCAUCCAACUGGAUCGUCCUUGUGCUGAAUAAUUGGAUAUCGUAUCCACUUAAAGCUGCCUUGUGUAGUACGUCUUUGUUUGUGUCUCUCUUUAUAUUCCAAUAAGGUCGGUGAUCUUGAUGCCACACACUCAGACGUGUGUUCAUCUCCAGAUACUACUCCAUGCUACCUACCCUUUGUGUUUUGUUCAAUAACUGGGUAUCAUAUUCCGGCCAGUGUGCCAUCUGUUUUGUGUUUAUUUCCUUCUAGUUCCAAAGGGGUCAUCAUGAUGUUACCUUCUUUCGAUAUGGUGCUUUGCAUGACUACUGUUGUAUGGUACCAUCUUGUUGGCCAAUAAAUACAUCUUAUCCUAUGACCCUUUGCUAUGACCCUUUGCAAAUAAGUACAAGAUUGUUAAAUACUCGGUAUAAAUUGACUACUGUUGUGAGUUCCCUUUCAGCUUAUUGUAGGCAUACAUUAUUGCUAGCACGGUGAAGACAACCAACACGAAUGAUCAAGUAAACGUACCGGUACUUUUGUAUACCAACACCCUUGCUUAAAUGUACCGGUGUUACUCCCCAUUGGCACAUAUAUUCUUUUAUGCUAGCCGGCUUGAAAAUUAACCGAUUAAAAUAAUUAUUUCAAGAUAGAAAUAACUUAUCGGCUUCUCGAAGCAUGUGUAAUGUGAAUUCAAGGACUCGAUGGAAGUUGAAUCGCUUCAUCUAGAUUGCUUUCAGGAUUUUGGGUAACUAAAUUUAACAUUUGCACAUACAAAUGUUAAUGUACAAAUGUUAAAUCUAGUUACCCAAGCAGAAUAUGAAGAUACUCUAUAGUAUAUAUAUACUAUAUAAAUCUAGUUAACAUUUAGUCUAAAUGUUAAAUCUAGUUACCUAAAAUCCUGAAAGCAAAAUGUAUAAAUAUAUAUCUUUUAAGGAAUCCCAAAGCAAGAGUUCAGUGGCAUUCUAUAGUCCCAUGCUGCUAGUUUGAGUUGGUCGAAGCCAACUUAAAUAGGAGAGCUCUCUCACUUCUCUAAAUACGUAACUGAAGGAGAGAAGGGGGCUUGGGUUAUACAAUGCACGCACGCACGCAUAUUUGCGUUCUUUUCGCGUAACCAACCAUGUGACUUGAAACUUGCGACGUAGCGUGCUGCCAAGUCAAGUUGAUAUAACCUUUUUGCCGUUUGCGUGUAAUCUUUUGACAACGGUCAUUGGAGGUGAUAAGCACGCAGUCAAUACCUUAAUCCUGAGUUAAUAGGGUGGUUACUACUGCCAAUUAGUGGGGCAAUUUUGUAGGGGAAACGGUUAGCAGAGGGCUACCGUCUUCUCUAUAAGAAGUUCUGGAGACGUCCAGAAACACACAUGUACAUGUGAGAGACCCACGAAUUCCUUCCCUUCUCCCUUUUCCAUCUGAUGAAGAGUGCUGUGGUACUGAGCUGCUGGAUCUCACCGGCUCUUCUCCUUGGCGUGCACUGAGGAGGGUGAGCGGUAUCUCCGAGCUAUUGCCGUCAGGAAGCCUGCACGACGGACAACAAUAAAGUUUUUGGGUAGCGCAACUGUGCAACCGCUCGAUUCGAUCGACUAUGUUAUGCGCUGCCUCAUCUUCGAUCUACACUGCAACGCGUAACCCUGCAGCAAGUCUACACGAGGACGGAGCACUAAUCUGUAAGUCCUAGAUUGGUUUCUUACAAAGUUGUAGGUUACACAAGAUCUAGAAUGUUACAUACCUAUUAUUAUGGGUUACAUGAUGUUUUGUACGGUUACGUCUAUUUUGCAUAUGCUAUUUUUACAUACCGUUUACAUGCAUAUGUUAAUGGUUACACCUAGCUAUUUGAAUCUAGAAUUGGGUUACAUAGUAGUAGCAAUGAGUUACGUAAUAUGCCUCAUGUUUAUAUCUGGUAGAAUUUAACACGUAUCUCCAACAUAUUUUGAGGCAGUAUAAAUUUCAAUUCCUUUUGCUGCUCUGUUAAAUACCAUCUUUCGUUGUGGCCCAACACUCUAGUAUGCAUGUAGCACCAAGCUUGUUUGAGCUGCUUUGUGCUCUGAUUUUGCUAUCUGUAUCAGGUUGGACUGUUUCUUUGUCUUGCGAUGUAUAGCUUCAUAUCUUCUAGAGGUUAGACAGCAAAACCCGCGUUCUCUUAAGGCAACAACUCGAAGAAUCUGCAGUGCCCCUGAUAUAUCACUGCUGCAGAAACGAUCUUUAGUACUGAUCUCCAACCCCCUUUAGUAUUGGUUUGGCAAUCAGUACCACUAUGUCGGUACUAAAGGGAGUUCUCUAGAAUCGGAUCAAAUAACCGGUACUAAAAGGGCUCCUUUACUACCAGUUGGUAACACCAAUAGGUAGUAAAUAUUUUGCACCCAAAAAAUUAAAGAAAAACAGCUGGGAGGCUCGCGCACACACGCAUCAUGAGUAAUAUGUGCGUGCAUGGUUUGUAGGAUUCCAACCCACGACCAAGCUAUAAGCACGUAGUUACAAAAAAUUAAACACUUAGACAUUUUAGAGCAUCCCAAAUAACUACAAAUUCUAUAGUUUACCAUAUACCAUAAAAUAUUAGUUAAAAUAAGAGCAUACACAUGUCGGAAGAGUCCCAACGCACCGGUUGAGGAUCAGACCAGGCACUUUGAAUGCACAUGCCAUAAGAUAAUUCUGCAGGACGAUGAUUGCAAUAAUGGACCAUCAAGAAGAUAGGGGCGAUGGGGUUGCCUCAUCAAUUAUCACUUGGCGCAACAAGACCAGCAAAGUCUUUAUCGACAGGGGUGGAUCAACGGGUGGGGCGGGCAGAGCUUCAGUCCUCCUACCGCCGCUCGAACAAUGGAGCCCCCCUUAGCCCCUCCAUAAAUUUUUAGGUAGAAGAAAAAAGAAGAGAAAGGAAGGAAGGGGAAGAAGAGGGAGCCCCUCCUAAGUAGGUCGCCAUCAUGCUUCCCAACGCAUGAUCGCCGCACCGCAUCCAUUCCUCUACAAGCCUCCAGCGUCUCUCCCGCCGCUACCUCUGAACCAUGUGCAGCUGCAGACCCAACUAGUGUCUUGUCCCCCAUCUCAGUCCCAACAGAGCAGCGGCGGUUGCCAGCACAAAUCUCCCUCCGCCUCUUCUUCAUGGUCGAUGGCCGCCACAAGCAUAAACCUCACCUUCGCAUCCACGCAAAAGGGUCGCUGGGGUGCCUUCUUGCAUCGCUUCUCAGCCUCCUUCACUUGCGGCCAGCCAAGAACCGUGCCACCACCUCGGGUGCGCGCCACCACUCCAGGGCUGCUACCCCAUGCCUGCGGCUGCCGCCGGCCACCACACAUGUCCCGCCGGCCACCACACGUGUCCAACCGCGUCGCACCGCUUCCCUGCUCUGUGCCACCACUUGUACCACCAGCUCCACCACCUUGGGCUGGUCGCCAGGGUGACUGAUUGGUGGAUUGUUACUAAAAAUAAGUUCCUUAUUAUCUGCAACUACUAUUAACUCACGGAUACAUGCAUAUUUUGCUUCUCCUGCUAAUAUGUCCUAAAAUAUCUAGGAUGCCUUAUAUUUCUGGAAAGAGGAAGUAUUUGAAUAAAAUGAACCAAUUUAAAAAAAUGUGUUAUACACUACUACAGAAAGACCUAUCAGUGUCAAACCCAAAAAUGUCGUCACCGCCAGUUUUAGGCACCGUUGGUGAAAGGUUGGCGGUGAUGGGCAUCCCCUUCAACAACGGCACUGGAGCCGACGGUGAUUGGCAUUAGAAAACAAAAAAGGGGACCCUACCUAGCCACCCCUGCAACCCGGCCAGCCGUGCCUCCCCUCGUCCCCGCCACCUCGCCUCCCCCGUUACCCCCCUCCGGCGCCCUUGCGCCUAGCCCCCUCGCCUGCCCGACUGGCCACCCUCGUCACGAGAGAGAGAGGUGCAUGUUGUAUAAUUGCGUGAAUUUUUUAAUGUUUAAUUUCAUGUAAGUUUCAUGUAAUAAAUUGUACAAGAUUUAUUGUAUAUAUGAAUUCCAUAUAUAUAUAUAUUUAUAAUUUAAUGUAUGGUUUCAUGUGUAUAUUUCAAUCAUGUGUAUAUUUAGUAGAUUGCCGAUUUUUUUUUACUAGACAAGGGUUGAUGUAUAAUUACGUGUAUAUGUUUAUUGUACAGGCAAUUAGGACAAGUUUUGUAUAAAUUUCUUUUAUUUCAUGGUUGUUGUAUGGUUUCAUGUAUAUACAUUUAUUGUAUCACUAAUUGUAUUAUUAGUUAAGAUGGGAGCCAAAGAGGAUGAAAGGUAUAUAAUGGAGCAGAUUAUUGCUGGCGGUAGUGGCUCAAACGUUGCAAGAACCUACACCGAGGGUGAGGGUAGCUAGGUGGACAUGUACCUCAACAUGUCCAGUGAUGGCAAUGGUGAUGAGGAGCACGAGCAUGACGUUUAUGAUAAUGCGGAACAAGACAUUGCAGAAUUGGAAGGUUCUAAUGAGGUGUGUUUCAUGUUGAUGAUCUGGUUGGCUUUUUUUCUUUGGUCACACCUUAGUUACCAUAGAACUUCGUCUCGGGAGAAGAUUAGUGGUGCUAUGGUGAUUGGAAUUUUAUUGCCUCCAAAUCUGAUUUCCAUCGAAUCAUAUCCCUUGUAUUUAUCUUCUUUUUAUUUGUGAGAGCAUCUUCUUUAUGCUUGCAAAACAAUUCAAGUGCACAUACUACACCUAGGGUGACGAUUAGGAGUAGAAACAAUUGCCAACAAACCAACACCACAUCCUAAGAUUCUUAACUUGUGGCAUAAUUAGUCUAGUAAAAAGAAAGAUAAAAACCUAAUGGGUGUACGUGAGUGCAAUGUGUAUAUGCAUAUGAGUGGAAGGCAUAUAAGCAAAGAUAAUAUUUACACAUAGUUCUAAACACCAUGUUUACAGCUAGGUUGCUGAAUUUCUCCAUAGCUAUAGAGAUUAAUUAACCAAGGUCAAAACACCAUGUCUAUCCCAAGAUCAGUAAUUCUUUAUAGCACAAGAAAAAGAAAGCGCAUUGCAAAGUUUAUAAACCAACCAAUGCAGCAUGAAAACAAGAUGAAUAGCUAGCAAGGUUUAUUAAACUGAAUGAUGAUGGUCUGCAAGCAAGUUUAAACACCAUCUUUACACAAGAUUGCGAAUGGAAAAUGCCCAUAUGAAGCACUAACAUGGAUAUGAAAUCAUUCAUCAUAAAGCGUAAAGAACAACCAAGCCAACCAUAUGCAAAGCAUGAAUGGAAUGCAAUGAAGGUGCAAGAGAACAUUUUUGGAUGAACACAUUAUAAUGAUGGCAAAAUGCAAUGCAUGCAGAAAAAAUAAAUAUGAACAUGAAUAUGAUGAUCAUGGGGCGGACCCACUAUUGUGGCCUGGGUAUUCCUGGGCAUACCCAAUAUUUUUGGGAAAAUGUUUAGUAGUUUUUAAUGGUAUAUACAUGUAUAAUAUAGUUUAGGUGUUAAAAUUGAUAUUCACAGCUAUUUUGGGCCGCAAUUCGCGUCCAAACCAGCCUGGCCCACAGACCACACCCGGCCGGCCGGCCCAUCUAGUCACUGAUCCCCCCACCACCACACUCAGCCCGUCAGUCGGUCAGGUCCCGAGCUCCUGCCUGACCUAGUCCGCUACCGCCGCCAGGUGCCAGGCACAGCCGCACGCACCACGCCGCCCCCGUCCGCCGCACGGCCGCGCCGCGCCCCCCAGCCCCCGCGGUGAGAUCCCGCCGCCCGCUACCGCCAAACCUCAUUAGGCCUCCACCAGCAGGUCCACCCACAAUCCCGAGCGACGCGGCAGCCUCUUGGCUCUCGUCGNNNNNNNNNNNNNNNNNNNNNNNNNNNNNNNNNNNNNNNNNNNNNNNNNNNNNNNNNNNNNNNNNNNNNNNNNNNNNNNNNNNNNNNNNNNNNNNNNNNNCCCCCCCCCCAUCGGGCCUCGGCCCCUCCCCAGCUCCCCCCCUCCACCAGGACUGCUGCUUCCCCCCACUGCGAGGUAAUCAAAAUCGACUGCUCAAUCUCUCAAUCUGUUGACAUGAUGCACACGGUUGCAAAAAUAGAUGUGUCAAAUAGAUGUAUUGCCAAUUGCUAUAGAUGCAUACGGUUGACAUGAAGAAGUCAAAAAUGACAUUUGGUUCCUUGUAGGCAGUCAAAACUGAAGAAGUCAAAAAAUAUUGAUCUGAAAUCAAUGUGGGAAAGGGCUACAAAGACACACAGGUAGAUUCCCUUGUGAACUUUUUAUGUCGUUCGUCUAAAUAUUUUUUUGCAAUGGGCAUACCCUACUCUAAAAUCCUAGGUCCGCCACUAAUGAUGAUGGUCUAAAAAUAAAACAAGCCUAGAUUAAUUAGCCACAACUGAAAUUAAGCAAAGGCUAAUGUCAUUGACACUAGCUCUAUCCUAGCUUUUACCAAAGUCCUGGCACAUAUAGUGGUUGGGCCCACUCUCUCUGCUUCCCUCUCUGUUGCAUGCACGCACACGAGCAACGGGAGGCCCGACGAAGCCCAGAAGGGUUCGGCCAAACCAGUCUGAGCGCCGCUCCCUCCCAGCCUUCGCGCAGAUGCUCCUCCAACGUUCCUUGACCCCUCCCUCAGCGUCCCGUUGGGUUUAACAUUGCAGGACAGGAGUCCCUUUUUUAAAAUCUCAACCACCUCCUCUCCUCAUUCACUCCACUCUCAUCUCCAUCAAACUAAACGAGAUCCACACCAGAAAUCCCUGCUUACCACCAUGGCUAGCAAAGCCCUCGUCCCUUUCACCAACUUAGGCUUGACCACUGAUCUCGAUGGGGAAAUCACUCCGGCAAAUGUCAUUGUCCCUGUCGGGCGAUCUUGCGAUGGAGGAGGUCCAGGCACUAGAGGUCGAGCCCCUAGCCAUCAUACCGCCCAAGGGGUAAAGCAGGGGUGUGACAGGCGCUGCUAGGGGUUCAGCCAAACUCCUAGUUCGGCCAAACCAGGACGGCGCCGCCUCGGCCUCCCGCUCGACUGCACGCUCGCCCUUGCCAAGGAGGACUCUAGAACAGCGGGCGCGAGCGUCAAGUCCCUACAAAAGGCUGAAAUACAAUGAAUAUCCAGGGCCACCCUUGAAGAUGGGUGAACGCUACGCCGGGUCCUUGUUUGACUAGUACGGCGAUGCAUUCUGCCACCGCUAUGAGGAGGACUUGUGGGCAGAAAGUCGGCUACCACAAACUUGCCUCCGAAUAUUUGGAUUGCGAACCUUGGAUGGUGGUUGUGGAGACCCCAAGCCAUACCUCGCACCCUUGGAGAGGUAAUUGGCUGGAUUGCUUGGUUCGUCUCUAGAAUGCGACAAGGUCAGGCGCCACCUCUCACUGCUACCAGUUAGAAGGCCGAGGGGCCAGUUUCAACAUAGUAAUGAGAAUCUCCGAAGGCCACCAUGGUUAAGCAGCUAACCUCCAUGAUCAUAGACUUACGUUUAGAAAAUAGGAGGCUUAGCGAUGCGUUAACAGAGCAGAAGUUAGAAACAGAAGAACUUAAGGACAACUUCCGUGUCCUCCGUCGUGGUCUUUGUGCUAAGAUAAAGCGCUUGUACAAUGCCACGGGGCAUGACGGUCUCUACGAUGCAGCUCAAUAGACGUGCCCCUUGUAUCCCUUCCUUUAGGCACUUUAGAAUAUGUUUAUUUGUUUUCCUUCAUUUUAAUUUCCAAUCAGAUUGUUAGCACCUCCAAUUUAAUUUCAAUAAAGUGUAGACUCACCGGUCAUCCAACCUGAUGGAGUCCUUGUGUCACUUAGUUGUCUUUGGAAGAAGUAGCUAGGUACAAAAUAAGUGUGGGGGAGAGCCACGGACUCUCUAGAGUUGAAACAAUGCACAACACCCACAAAUAGAGAAAACCACGCUGCACCAGCACGUACGUGAAAGGGGAGCCAGAGCUGGACCCAUAGGGGUUUGGCCAACCCAGGGUGUGGCCCACUCGGGCCAUCUUCAUCCACCGCGUCGGUUUGUGUUUCUUUACCCCUGAUCUCCCUGAUUCAUGAGUUUGAAUGAAUUUUAAAUCUGACCAACUAAUUCAAACUCAACUAAAAUGAAUCAAUUGCUCCACCUGCUCUACAUGUUUUCUAUGGUUGGCUUGCAUAUGUUUUAUUCCAUGCUUAUCAUCUUGAUGCUUGUGAACAAAUAUCUUUAGGACAGCAUGCUCAUCUAAGUAGUUGAUGUGUAUGAUAUGGUUUGAUGAUAUGAUCUUCGCUCUUAAUGCUUAAGUGCUUGGAAAAUUCUAUUUGAAAAUUUAAAGCCUUUUUUGAAAUCUCCUCUUUGAUGUGCCAAGGUCCUACCAAAGCCGUAUGAUAAGUUGUCUUGAAGAACCAUUUGCAUAUAUUGCUUGUCUUUGCAUUAAGCUUUGUCAAAGUGGUGUGACCCUUGAAGAACCAUUUGCAUAUAUUGCUUGUCUUUGCAUUAAGCUUUGUCAAAGUGGUGUGACCCUUGUGACAAUUCUUUUCAUACUUUCAUGAUCAAGACUCAUGUGCACACCAUAUACCCCUUGCUAUGCUUCUAUGAGAUGUUAGCAUUGUACCAUCCAUUGAUUCCACAAAAUAAAUGCUCCACCAUAUGUGUUGGUCUCCUUCUAAGAUUAUUGUUACAAAAGAGAUAUGGGCUAUCAAAAAAAAAUAUGAAUGUCCUAGAAAGUUGGACACAUAAAUGUCAAGAGAUCAUACAAAAAGGAGUUUCCAUUCCAUCCACCACAUCCAUACACGUGCACAUCUUGAUCUGAUUGUAUGACUUAUUUUUCUCUUUGGAUCUGGUCUUUGACUUUGCAAUAUAUGUGAUGCAAGUAUGCCUUAUCCUUCAUAGCCUACCUUGAGCUCCACAUAUAGCCAUCAUUAGAAGUAGGAUGAAGAAAGGCAAGUCUAAUGCCUUGGUGAGGACAUAUACACAUUGAGUGAUCUGAGAGAAUCAAAUGAGGAGCUAAGCAAGGUUUUGUUUUGAAAACUAAUUGAAAAAUCCCAAGCUACUUGGCAUAUGGAGUUGCGGUGACUUGAUUCAAGAUCAUUCCAUUCCUCAACUACCCAAGAUGGCAUGAUAGACACUCCAAAGUUCACAAGUGCAGGUAUGGUUUGGAAUAUCUUUUAGGCUCGCUUCAUACCUUUGAAAGUUAUGUUUCACCUUAGUCCUUUCUUCUUCACUCGAGGAUAAGCAAAGGCUAAGUGUGGGGGUGUUGUUGAUGGCUCUUAAGUACCAAAUCUGCACCAUCAACUCUUGCAUAAACACAUAAAAUAUGAGCAUCAACAGUAGUGGUAGCAGUUAUUACAAACGAAUUCCACAAGUCUUGGUGAAUAUUUGUAUGCAGGCCCAUUAGGAGAGAAAAGACACCUCAAGAGCAAGGAAACACACUCUCAACCAAUCAGGAGCAAGCACAUGGAACCAUGGGCCCACAACCGGAAGGAAAUCGACUACAUUCACCACCAAACACCCUAUACCCACAUGAGAACCCAUAGGCAGUGACCCAGAGCAGAGGUGGUGCCAGAGUGUAGAUGGCAGUUAGCAUGCCAAAUUGUGAACCGCAAGCGCACGGAUCAAUUGUUGCUUUUCCCUUAGAGAUUCCCCCAAGGUUUAUGAAUCCAUGGAAUAAGGGAUUUGCACGUUUAACUAAGCACUAAUCAAUGUAAUUGAAAGCUUUUCGAAUAAGAUAUGAUUAUGCUAACAAAGGAACUAAGCAAUCUAGAUUAAGAUGGAUAGAGAGUAAAGGUUGUGAACAAGAUAGAUUAAAUGCUUGUCCUAGGGAUCUAGGAUCACUUGUAGAUGGAAUCGCCAUGCAUAAAUGAAUUAGAUCUAGGUGUUAUCAUGAGUGGUUGUGAACCAUGCCCAACACUUUCCCACCCGCAACACUGUCACUACAUGUGGGUACUCAACUAUCAGAACAUAAGAACACAUCAAGAUGAUCAUUCUAGGUAAGCAAAUAAGCAACCCAAAGUAGUGCUGGCUAGCCUUUUCAUGAAAGAGCAUCAUCAAGAUAAGAUUGAUAACAAAAUAGAUCUCAACCAAAGGUUCAGCGAUUACAAAUCAAGAUCUCCGUAUAACCCCGAUGACAAAUAGAGGUAUUACCCCCAUGAUCUUACACAUGUUGAUGAAUUUUGGGGUAAAGGACACCUUGUAGAUCAAUUGGACCAAAGAUGAUGAUAAACGGGGGCAGGGAAGGCCCAGACCGAUCAGCCUGGGCACUUUUGAGCCGAUCAGCUCAGGGGGUUUCCUCCUCCCCUAGAGAUCAUGGUACACUUCACGCUGAAGAAACAAGAGAUCGACCGAGCCCUGGGAUAGACCAUGAGGAUCAGCCUAGAGGGUCCUAGGCCGAUCGGCCUAGGCCCUUCCUAGCCCUUCUGGUCCUCUCCUUCCUCAUGCUGGCUUUUCUCGACGACCCUUAUCCAAAUAUCCAUUAAGCUCUCUAUACAUACCCCCUUGAUUAUGUCGUAUUUCCUGCCAAAAUACAAUGCUCCAAAAUACAACACAUAUGCAAUAAUAGGGUUAUUUUAGGUGCCAAUUGGUGGGUUAGUAUACGAAUAAGCAUGAAAAUACUGAUUAAAUGGCACUAAAAGUGUGUCAAUAAUGAGCACCAACAAUCCCCCCACGCUUAGAUCUUGCUCGUCCUCGAGCAAGUCUAGCGACUAAAAGAUCUUGAAUUAAACCUGAGCAAGCGAGUCAAGUACCUAGCCUUGAAACAAAAGAUUAGAGGAGCAGCAAAGAUAAUCAAAGUCUGGGUGUUCAAAGAUUUAUCUAAGCAAAGAUUCCCCUACAACUAUUAUUCAGAACCAAGUAACUUCAAGUAUCAACUACACUUAUUUUUUGGCUUUUUUCAGAGGGUUUUUCUUUCAUCAUAAAACAAUCUCCCUGCAAAAAAAUUGGAAAAAGAAUUAUUUUCCAGGUGCUUAUAUGUCGCUUAAAUGAAUGUUGGCUAUCCUACUUAUUUGCAAGCUCUCAUCUCUCAAAAGUCAUUCAAUUCUAUGGUGGAGCUUGGGUAAGGUUAGCUAGAAUCAACACGUAUAUUAUUGAAUUAAGAAAACCCUCUAACGGUGGCCUACCUUCCGAGCCAUUGAUCAUAAGAAUAUCCACAUAAUGUGAAGUUUUCAAGGAUGAGAAGAUAUAGAAUGGUGGACAUGUGCAAAUGCAAAGAAAUAUAGUGACUCUGAGGCACAAGCAAUGUCCUCGUCAUUGGAUUGCAUAUGGUUGGAAUGAAAAUCCGUUCCUUAAACAAGUCCAUCUUUUCUUUGCACCACUCUUGAUCUUCAUGACAGUAAAAACUCCUCCUUUAUUUUUUUCUCUCUUUUCCUAUUAUUUCUUUUUAUUUGUCUCAAUACUUUUCUUUCUUUCUUUCUUUAUUUUAAUCUCUUCUCUGAACCUCCUCUGAACACCACACAAUAAAAAUCAGUUUUAGAUCCUUCCAGAGACCUUCCAUGAAUUUGCUACAUGAAAACUGAGGCAAGGAGACCUCAGGCCGAUUGGCCUGGCCACUCCUUUGCUCUCCUCUAGCUCUUCUUUCUGGUGAAGCUUCCAUAUCUUGUAUCUUUCCAAAAAUUUCAAUAAGCUCGACUAGAAGCAGAACAGAUCUUCAUAUAAUGAGUUGUGUUCAAGGAAUUGGUAAUAAAAUUGAGAAAUUUGUGGUCCGGGUUUACGAAUUCAGUACAAAAAUCUGAUGGUUCCAAUGAAGAACUCUCAUUACUGAAUAUUGACGAGGCAAGCAUUCAAAGAUGGUAAAAAGGAUAUGAUCAAUUCUCAAAAUUAAAGCAAACCAAGAGAGAGCGAUCCUAAUUCAAUUCAAAGUGUCAAAUAUUGCUUAUGGUGGUAUGAAUAAAUAUUUUUAGGCAUUGGGUAGGAUAAAUAAAAACUCUCAACCUGGUUAAAAUAUAUUGAUCAAUCUUGUUUUUGCAGAGGUUUUAAAUAAAAAAUAAAAUUUUAAAUCACCUCCAAUUCAAAGCCUUACUCAUAAAUCAUAAUCAAAACUGAAGCACUUGAUCAUCAUAAAGCAUGGGUAUUGCAUAAACAAAUUGAUUACUAAAACUCCACAACUACGAUUUAGAAUUCAAGACAAUGCUCAUAAUCCAAAGUUGCAAAGACAAAAUAAAAGACAAGCAAGCCAAGGUAGACACUAAAAACACUUGCACGAUCCUUGAAUUUUAUUCAUGCUUCUUCUCACAAAGAUGCUAAAGUAGCCAUGUAGGCCUAAGUCUUCCCAAAAGCUUAAUAAGAUUACUACUUUAUUUACUUUUGGUUGAAAUAAAAACACUAAUUUAGACUCUCACAUGACUCGACUCGACCAAACUAGAUCCAAAAACUCAUAUGAGCGACGAUCUCCACCCCCCCUCACGCUUAAAAUCUACGACCUCCUCGUCGUAACCAUAUGGAGUACAUGGAAAAGAUGCUUGUAAAUGCACUAAUGACGCUACCCGCACUACUUGCACAUGGGAUGGUUGCUGCUUCCUUCACUUUGUUCUUCCUCAUGUUGCUGCACAUCUCGAAGAGCUUCCUCAUGUUCCUCUGCAAGAACUUGAAGUCGUCCUCCUGACUUGCAUGAUGUCAUCGACAGCAUCGAAGAGGUAGUGGAUGUUCUUCCUGCAAGCUGCGGAACAUGUACGAUCAUGCUCCUCUGAUUCUGGCCCGUCGUCUUCUAGAUCCUUCUCUUUGCCCUUGUCUUGAUGGUGGCCAUCUUGCUCCUUGCUCGCCUUCUUGCCUUCAGCCCAAUCCCAGUACGUGUUGUCAUCUUCUUCAUCAUCACGGCCUGCAGCACCCUAUGAUCCAGGGCUCCUAUCGUCCUCCGAAUUGCUAUCACCUCCAUAGUCAGCUGGCGUGUACUCGGGCAUCUUCGCUAUGUAGCUCUUGCGCUUCAUCAUGAGGAGCCUUGCUGAAAUCCUUGUGGGAGUGACGACGACCUCCUUCUUCUUCUUGGGUGCUUCAUCUUCGCUCGAGAAGAUGAUCAACAUGCGAUUCGCAAGCUUUCCGGAUGGUGCCUUGCCUCCAACACUGAUGUGAGCGUUACGAGUAGUCCUUGGUGGAGUUUUGGGACCCUACUCACACCUCUUGGCUUCCAUAUGAAGGGUGAAGGUGGCAGCCAAGGGAGGGGGUGGUGCUGAUCGGCUUGGGGAGGUCAGGUCGAUCAGCCUGGCCGCCUCCUUCGCCGGCUGCUGCCCCCUCUCGUCUCCCGAGCUCCUGGACGUCACCACUGCACUUUUUUUUUGGUUUGGUGGAUCUGAAUUGCUUGUGUAGAUGCAAAACUCAAGCUCCAAUUGGCCUCAUUAUAUACUCUUGAAGUCUUUGUCAAGGAUCCACACAUUUCCAAAAACUUCCUUGCCCCUUCCCGCAAAAAUUCACUUCCAUAAUCUGUUGUUACCAAAGAUGUGAAAGAGGGAACUGAAUCGGAAAUUACAUAUAUUUUUAGACGUACGCUCUGCCUCCCAAAUUUUCAUGGCAGCGCGUAUGUCUAAAAAUAUAUGUAAUUUUUUGAGUCUUACACAAAAUUCAAAUGAAAAUAAUAGAAUUUAAGAUAGUGUAUGUACAAGGUACCUAUUUUAGUGUCGUCAAGCUUGACUUGGCCAUUCUUCCUUCAUGGUAUAGACGUCAAUAGAAUUGAUAGGCACGAUGUCGGCUUCCAAGAAUACCUUUAGCCGCUGUCCAUUCACAAUAUAUUGAUCUCCUUUGACGUCCAUGAUUGUUACUGCUCUGGUAGGUGACGCAGAAUACAUGACGUAUGGUCCACCCCACUUGCUCAUCAAUUUUCCCUUACCGAAGAAUUUAAACAUGGAGUUGAACAAUAACACUUUAUCCCCUUCUUUGAAUUCCUUCUUAUGAGGCCUUUUAUCAAACCACCUCUUGAUUCUUUCCUUGUAAAUGCUUGCAUUGUGGUAAGCUUUAAGCCUCAUCUCUUCCAAUUCACUUAUUUGAAUCCUUCUUUUUACUCUCGCAGCAUUAAAAUCAAGAUUCAUCUCUUUUAUGGCCCAAUAAGCUUUAUGUUCAAGUUCAACAGGAAGAUGACAUGUUUUUCCAUAGACAAAUUUAUACGGGGUCAUACCUAUAGGUGUUUUAUGAGCUGUCCUAUAUGCCCAUAAUGCUCCGUCUAGUUUCUUUGACCAAUCCUUCCCUCCUUUGACUAUGGUCUUUUUCAAUAUAUCUUUGAGUUGCUUGUUUGAAGUUUCUGCUUGGCCAUUUGUUUGAGGAUGAUAGGCUGUAGACACUCUGUACUCAAUCCCCAGUUUCUUCAAACAUUUGCCAAAAUCUUUUUCUAUGAAAUGUGAUCCUCCGUCGCUUAUCAAUAUUCUGGGCACUCCAUACCUAGGAAAUAUUAUCUUCUUGAUCAUGUGAAUUGAUUCCUCUGUUGAUGCCUUCCGACAUGGGAUAGCUUCUACCCAUUUAGACACAUAAUCAACUAUAACCAAGAUGUGCUCAUAGCCAAGUGAAUUUAAGAAUGGUCCCAUGAAAUAUAUACCCCAAACAUCAAAUAGAUCCACUUGCAAACUAUAGUUCAAAGGUAUAGAAUUUCUAGAUGAAAUAUUUCCUUUUCUUUAGCAUUCUGAGCAAGUAGCAAUGAACCUCUUUGCAUAUUCGUGCAUCUCUAGCCAAUAAAAUCCCCUUGCCCAUACUUUUGCUUGAGUUUUGAAGUGUCCAUAAUGUCCUCCAUAUUCUGAUGAAUGGCAUUUCCUAAGCACCGCAUCUCUUUCUUCUCUAGGAAUCCAUCUUCUCAAUACUCCAUCUACUCCAUACCUAUAUACAAAAGGUGCAGACCAAUAGUAUUUCUUAUUUUCAGCAAUAUUUUUUCUUCUGUCAUUCCUAUCCAAGUGAUGCAAGGGCGCCCUUUUGAAGACUCUGAUAAUGUCAUGCAUCCAAUCAUCCUUGUCAAGUAUUCUGUAUAAAUGGUCAUCUCUCAUUCGAUCUUUAAUUGGCUCCUUCCCAUUAUCUUGUUGGUACAUCCUCGACAAGUGGUCAGCUACCACAUUUUUUGACCCCUUUUUAUCUCUAAUUUCCAUAUCAAACUCUUGUAGUAACAAUAUCCAAUGAAUCAGACCUGGUUUAGCAUCUUUCUUGGACAAAAGAUAUUUAAUUAAAGCAUGGUCGGUGUCCACAAUCACUUUAGAAUACACAAUAUAUGAUUUGAAUUUUUCCAAAGCAAAUACUACGGCAAGCAGCUCCUUCUCUGUAGUUGCAUAAUUUAUUUGAGCCUCAUUUAAAGUCUUGCUAGCAUAGUAAAUUGCGUGUACCUUCCCUUCUGUUCUUGUCCAAGUACUGCUCCAACAGCAUAAUCACUUGCAUCGCACAUUAUCUCAAUGGGUAGAUUCCAAUCCGGAGGUUGAAUGAUGGAUGCACUGAUAAGUGAUUGCUUUAAAGUUCUGAAAGCAUAGAGACAGUCUUCAUUGAAUUCAAAGCUCACAUCUUUCUGUAGAAGUUGUGUUAAUGGUUUUGUUAUCUUCGAGAAAUCCUUAAUAAAUCUUUUGUAGAAUCCGGCAUGUCCGAUAAAGCUUCUCAAUGACUUGAUGUCUGUUCAAGGAGCUAACUUUUCCACAGUUUCAAUCUUCGCUUUAUCAACUUCUACCCCCCCCCCCCCUCUAAGAUGACAUGCGCCAGCACUAUUCCUUGCUUCACCAUAAAGUAGCACUUCUCCCAGUUUAGAACUAAAUCAACUNNNNNNNNNNNNNNNNNNNNNNNNNNNNNNNNNNNNNNNNNNNNNNNNNNNNNNNNNNNNNNNNNNNNNNNNNNNNNNNNNNNNNNNNNNNNNNNNNNNNNNNNNNNNNNNNNNNNNNNNNNNNNNNNNGCGUUGAAUUGAUGUGGGCGCAUUGCAUAGACCAAAAGACAUUCUUCUAUAAGCAAAAGUUCCAUACAGACAAGUGAACAUCAUCUUAUGUUGGUCAUUCGGAUGUAUAGGAAUUUGAUCACUAUCCUGUCACUAUCCCCUGGAGAAUUAGCUCAUUCUUCUCAUUUGUCACAACAGUCAAUCUAUCCUUCUUUGGCACGCAAUGCACUGGGCUUACCCAUUCACCGUGUGGUACUGGAUAGAUUAUUCCAGCAUUAAGCAAUUUGAUCGCCUCCUUCUUUACUACAUCACGCAUAGCAUGCUCAAUCUUCUCUAGUUCUCCACAACUAGUUUGUAUUGAUCUUCUAAUUGUAUUCAAUGAGUGCAUAAGGUUCGAUUGAUUCCUUUCAAGGCUUUGAUUGUAUAUCCAAUCACUUUCUAAUGUUUUCUUAAUAAAUUCAGCAGCUUCUCAGUUUCUUCCUUCCUCAACUCGUUGUUGAUAAUGACUGGAUAUGUCUUGUUGUUCCCCAAAUAUUCAUAUUUUCAUCCCUUGGGUAAUGGCUUCUGCUCAACAUCUGGUGCUUUAGUCUCUUGCUGCUCCAAAUCUCCAAUGUCUUCAAAUUUUUUUGCUUCUAAAGUUCCGUAUUGCAGUGAUAAUGCUUCGGUUGCUUCUGCCAGUUCAUCAUCCUGACCACCCUCAUUGUUUUCCAUUGCUCUUAGUAGAGGAUCCCUGAAAUUUUCAGCAAAACAUACACUUUCUAAUUCCUCGUUAUCAGGAAGUAGAGGUAGGGUUUGUUGAGAAGCAGGCAAAAAAUUAUAAGUGUAUUUGGCACUGCCAAGAUUAAUCGUUACUUUGUCCUUCCCAGCAUCAACCACAACAUUAACCAACUUAAGAAAAGGUCUACCAAGGAUAAUAGCAUCAUGGCAAUCAUCAAUAACAAAGAAGUCAGUUGGUAUAACUUUUCCCGAGAUAGCAACAUCUAGAUCUCUAUGCACACCUAGAAAGACUUUCCGUAUGGUUGCACGUUUCACUAGAAAGACUUUCCCUCAAGUCGGUCUUUAUGUGAUCGGAGUAAGCUAUUGGGACAGGAUCCUCUACCGAGGCUGCCCUCUUACUCCCUUGUACUGUCCUUAAUAGUUUCUAACUCUUUAGUUGGUAAUUUUAGAUUUAUCUCAAAAACUCACACAUUGUGUUUGCAUAUUCCUAGGGAGUUCUAUCUUCUAAAAUGAUGCUCGAUCAUCGAUCUAGUCAUGAUCGGGGUAAUUUAUGGGAUUUUUUGCUAGAAGUGGCUUCAUGUCAAGGCGAGAAAGAGAACAGAUGUGGGUUGCUUCUGUAGGUUUGUAAAGAGAUGAAAGUUAGAUUAUUAUCUUGGUAGAUUUUAAUAUCUAUGAAUACAAGGGGUACGUGCUAGGAAUUACCUUCAUUAAAAGUCCUUAGCACGUUUUCCUAGGUUGACUAGAGCCCUGGCUUCUCAAUCUUCAGGUCUUCCGCUUCUACUUCUUGUUGGGGUCAUUGGAGCUUCCACCAGGAUCUCUGGAGUCCGGAUCUUCCAUUUCUUGUCGCAAUUCGAGCCUUACCAGGCUAACGCAUCUACGCAUCUGCUGGACGGCCAAAAAUUUGACUUCACAUAUUUUUUUGGAUCCUUGGCUUCCAACCGGGUCUUGGUUGUGUCCUCGCCUCCAACAAGCAUGCAAUCAUACAAAUAAUUCUAACAAUCAAUUUCUUGCAAUCAAUAUAUGACUAAAGGAAAUGGAAAAAGAAUGGAUGAUGGAUGCUUUAGGAAUUAUCAGAUUUCUAAGGAUAAUUCCAGAAUAAUUGAUGGAUAUCUUAUCCAUUAUUUAGAAAUAUUUCUAAAUAAUUGAUGGAUAGGAUAGUUGGAUUUCUAGGAUAAUUUUAAUAAAUUAAUAAUAGAUUUUCGAGCAGUACGACCGCUAGGGUUUUGUUGAUAUCUAGGGUUUUGAUUGGGCAACAUAUCAACUAGGUUUGGUUAAUAUAGGAGGUUUGGAUUGGGUACUAUAACGGCUGGGUUUUGGAAUGGAUCCUAAGUGUGAUUCGGGCGCUAGGUGUUGUGAAUGGAUUUCAAGGCUAGGAAACUUGCAUGACAAGCUCGGCUUCGACCCUACGACGGGUGGAGCUAGUCAAGUUUCCUUGGGCUUGGGUUGGCUGUCAGGCUUGAGAGUUUGUGCGACGGGCAUCACUUCGACCUGACCUGGUGCUAGAAGUUAGCAACCCAGCGAUAGGUGGAGCCAAGCAAGACCAAGUGGAAGCUAGAGAGCUUGCACGACAAACUCACUUCGACCACUAGGGUGGAGCUCGGGCAAGAUCAAGUGGAUGGAAGUUAGAGCUUGCUUGACAGACUCACAUCGGCCACUAGGGUAGAGCCUGGGCAAGGUGACCAAGGAUGGGCAUGGGAAUAGGCUUGGAUGGCUCUAAGAUAUUUUAAGGAAUUUUCCUAGGGUUUUUGGAAGUGAAAUAAAUGAAAUGCAACUUUUGGUGUGCACUUUAAGAGGGUUUUUCUACUAUGUAAGUAAGAAAAGGAUAUUUUGGCGAAGGGGUCAUAUGAGGUGAUCAAUGGGAAAGGAACACAUGGAUAGGUUUGGAAUAUUUUGGAAAAUUUUAGGAACUUUUGGAGUACAUGAAGGGCUCUAAGUGAACUUGUGUGUGCAUUUGGCUAGGUACGCAUAGCAAUUUCAGGAGCGCUGCCGCAACAGGGCGGGGCUGCGGGUACUGUGGUGUGGAACCGUGGUCACAACGAGCGAGCUGCGCAUGUGCAGUGGGCCGAGGUAAGGCAGGCUGAGCGAGUGUUCAGAUUUAUUUACCGACACAAACAACAACCAGUAAAAUCAACAAAUCAAGCACAAGAGAUACAAGGAUUUAUUUACCAAAGUUCAGAUUCCUUCAUCGAGGAUUCCUACAUCUCCGUUGGGUUCUUCCAAUAAAGCCGAGUCACUCUCAACCCUUUCCCCACUUCAUAUCUUGAUUUCUUCCCCUACGGAGGCGAAAUCAAAGCCUUCACAAACUUUUCAUGGCACACCACAAGCUUGGGUACUCACCAGGUGAUGCCUAGCCAUCUUGGAGGCUUGACCUAGCCACUCAAUCUGUCAAUCUGUCCACCCAACGCAUUUUUCUCUUCAAAUCUGAUAGGAACACUCAAGCUCUAGUAACAAAAUGGAGGGGAUGGAAACACAGAAGCGUAGUGGUGGGUGGAUUGGAUAAAACUAGCUAGAAUCACUUGAAGAUCACUCAACAAGAUCAACUAGCACCGAAUAUUACUCUACGGUUUUCUCAACUAGGAUAACUCGGAGAUUACUCGACGAGAUCAAUUAGCACCGGAGGUUACUCUACGGGUUUCACAAGGAAGAGCAACACUCAAUUCUCGUAUCAUAUCAAUUCAUCAACUCUGCACAACACAUUGCAUAGCAUCCCUUUAUAUAGAGAGGGAGAGACAGACACUUAAUACUUUGAACUCUUAGAAAAAUUAAAUGGACACUUAGGAACUGACUCCCUAAUUACUAGUCUUAGACUCUAAGAUACAUAUGACUCUUGGGAAACAAAGAGAUAAUAAAGCAACUGAAGAGUCUUGGACUUUCGCGCGGCUUCCUGGCAGCCUGCACACUUUACACUAAAAUGACCAUAACUCUUGACUCGGAAGUCCAAAAGAUGCAUCGUUUGUGGUGUUGGAAACUGUGCCAAUUAUUUCUCUCUUUUUCAUUCUCUCUUGGCUUAUAUCCAAAAUCAUAGCAGCCGUUGUUGAACAUUGAACUCAGAUCCAAAAAUUCCAUACAUGGAUCCAAAAAAUUUUCACUGAUAUGUUUGUCCUCAAAAAAGAUAAUACUUGUUGGCGCAUAAUAGAUAGAAACUUCAGGAUUAAUGGACAGAAAAGUGUUCGUCUCAUCACUUUGAAAGAAAUCAUCCAAUAUAUUUUCAUUAACAGAUUCAAUAGGAUCAAAAUCAAUGGAUAUAUUUUGCUCCUCAUCAUAGAUAGGUGGCAUGCAAUAACACCACUUCUUGGAGACACCAUACGAAUCAUAAGAUGCCAAACCAUAAAUCUUGCAACAAUGAUAGUCCAAAACUUCCCAUUUGCUGCAAACCAAGGACAUCAAGUUGAUCAAAAUCAGUACCUUCAUAACCAGUAGCGCCAUGAAGAGCAGCUUAACAUCCAGAAACAUCACAACCAGUAGGAGCCCCACAAGCAACUUGAUGGCCAUAAUCCUCACAGCCAGCAGUGGCACGACCAACAACCUCUUGACGAGGUACUUCACAACUAGCAGCCUCAAGACCCUAUAAGCGUUCUUGUACUUGACGAUUUUCUUCUCCAAGACCUGCAAGGAUCACAUCAUGGUGAUCAUGCUCUUGGUUGGCAAUGUCGUUGUCGGAGUCUGCUUGAUGACGUUGAUGACAAGCCAUCAACCUUAAUCCAGAUGAUAGAAAUCUUGAAGCAUGGAACAAUAGCUCUGAUUAUCAAAUGAUAGGAACACUCUCACUCUAGUAACAAAAUGGAGGGGAUGGAAACAUGGAAGCAUAGUGGUGGGUGGAUUGGAUAAAACUAGAAUCACUCGGAGAUCACUCAACAAGAUCAACUAGCACCGGAGAUUACUCUAUGGAUUUCUAAAAUAGGAUAACUUUGAGAUUACUUGAUGAGAUCAACUAGCACUAAAGGUUACUCUAUGGGUUUCACAAGGAAGAGCAACGCUCAAUUCUCAUAUCAUAUCAAUUCAUCAACUUUGUCCAACAAAUUACAUAGCAUCCCACCCUUUAUAUAGAGAGGGAGAGAUAGACACUUAAUACUUGAACUCUUAGAAAAACUAAAUGGAAAUAAAGAGAUAAUGAAGCAACUGUAGAGUCUUGAACUUUCGCGCACCUUCCUGGCAGCCUGCACACUUUCCACUAAAAUGACCCAUAACUCUUGACUCGGAAGUCCAAAAGAUGCCUCGUUUGUGGCAUUGGAAACUUAACUCAUAGGACUUUCUAAUGAUGUAUCAUAUGAAUACGGAAACCAAGUAGAUCAGUACCAGAAAUCCAUGAAACUUAGAGAUGUUGCUGCAUGUUCUUCCAACUUGUGUAAACCACCACCAUUUCAUGUAACCGGUUGGUUUACCUUCCCAUGAGGAUAUCAAAAUAUCUUGAAAAUCUAGAGAGGGGAGAGCUUCUUCGGUCUGUGAAUAUGUCUUUUUUGUGUGGGAAACCAGUAGCAGCUAAUGGGAGGCGGUGAGUGGUACAAAUACCUAUCCCAAAAAACUAGCUGUUGGGCUGUUAAGUUCCAGAAUCUCUGGAAAAAAUCUCCGAAAACUCUGGAACCCUAAAACUAGCCAUUAGAUUCAAAAAGUUUCAAACACUACGAAAAAUCGUAAAUUUGCCGAGUGUUUUUUCCUUUGUCGAGUGUUUUUUUUCGGACACUCGACAAACAAGCUCUUUGCCGAGUGCCGAGCUAAAAACACUCGGCAAAGAAAAAACACUCAACAAAGAGGGGCUUUGCCGAGUGUCAAAAACAAAACACUCAGCAAAGAGGGGCUUUGCUGAGUGUUUUAUUUUCACACUCGGCAAAGAAUUUUUUUUUUGAAAAAAAAGUCUUGCCGAGUGUCCAGAUUGGGACACUCGGCAAAUGUCAAAAAUAUAUCUCCCGUCCCCGACCCCCCUACCCCAGCACCCCACCCGCCCGACGCCCCCCUCCUCUUCCUCCGCGCAACACCGGCCCCCACCUCCCUCUCCCUGCCGCCGGCUAGCUGCCGCUGCCGCCGCCCCUUCCCUCCCUCCCUCCCUCUCCCUCUCCCUCUCCUACCGGCGCCCCUCCCCCUCCUCUCCCCUCCUCCCUCCCUCACGCAGCCGCCCCCUCUCUCCGGUGGCGACCUCCGGCCGCCGCCCCGCGCCUCCUCCCCGGAUCCGGCGGGGACUCGCAUCGGGGACGCCGGAUCUGGCGGGGACUCGCGUCGGGGGCCCCGGGAGUGGCGGUCUUCAAGCGGCGGCGUGGAGAUGUGGUGGUGGUGGUGGUCGGCGGGAGGCAGCUCGUGGUGGUCUGCAGGCUGUGGUGGUGGUGGUGGUGGCCGGCUGUGGUGGUGGCAGCGGGCGUGGAUGGUGGCCGGCUGUGGUGGCGGUGGCGGCGGUGCGGAUCGUGGCGGCGGGCGUGGAUGGUGGUGGCAGGUGUGGAUGGUGGCCGACUGCGGUGGUGGCGAUGCCGGCGUGGAUGGUGGCAACGUGCUGGUGGUGCUGCCGACGGUGUCGGCAUGCCUUUUUUUUUAUUUUUUUCAAAAAAAUUGUUUGCCGAGUGUUUUCUGGGCACUCGGCGAAAGCUUUGCCGAGUGCCCGACCGAAAACACUCGACGAAUGUUACUUUGCCAAGUGCCAGAUGCCGAGUGUAACACUCGGCAAAUUUGUUGCCGAGAGUAUUUUGGGUUUCGCCGAGUGCUCCUGGCGCUCGGCAUAAAACCUGUGUCCAGUAGUGGAAAUCUCCACAAAAAUCUCUGGAAACUCUAAAUAUUUUUGUUCUCUCAAAAAUCUACAGAAACUCCACAAAAUUCUCCGAAAUCUCUGCAACUUACCGAUUCUCCGUAGAAUUCUCUGGAAUUUCCGCAAGUCCACUGGACAACAUAAGUCACCCAAGAGAAAGGGAUCUUGGACUCUAAGGAAAUCUUGUUCAAAGAACUAUCCAGUCCAAUUUAAAACAAGCCACCAGAUCACUCAGUGCAAGUGUUGUGACAAGUGUUUCUCUCAUGUUAAAACUUGAAAGGAUAGGUUUGAGCACUAAGGCAUAGGUGAAGCAAUCAUUGCAUCCCUCUCGAUAGCACGGCAUUACAUAUACUCAAGAUCAAAAAAUAGACACAAUAUCAACCACUUGAGCUUGAAUACCUUCACCAUGCUGCUUUUCUUUAAAAUCACACUUUGAGGUGUUUGCAAGCAUUUCUUUCUCUUUCUAUCGGUGUUUUAGACCGGCAACCCGCCUAGGGGUACCCUAGGUGGUCUUUUAUGCGGUAAGGGUCGUCGAGAAUCAAGGAAUCAAUGGUGACACAAGGAACACGAUUUAGACAGGUUCGGGUCGCUAGAUCGCGUAAUACCCUAUGUCCUGUAUGCUUGUAUGUAUUGAUCUUAGAUGCACUUGGAGUUGUUCUGUUUGAGGGGGGUCCCUGCCCGCCCUUAUAUACACGGGAGGGCAGGGUUACAAGUCUGAGUCCUAGUCGAGUACAAUUACAGAGUUCUACUCGGUAUGGCCCGAGUAGUUUUCCAUAUGCAUACUUGACUAGUCCGAGUGGAGAAGCCUAUCCCUUUGUCCUGAUCAUAUCCGAGUACGUCCCUUAGUGGGCUGUCCAAGGUCUACUCGUGGGCCUAGGGUGCAUGCUCGACAAGCCCCCGAGUACUUUGUAGUCGUGCACUGUAGUCUUGAGUACUGUGGGCAUUAUCUGAGUAGUUCUUUUGUAGAGGUUGCGGUGUCCAAAGUGCUCGAGUAUUGUUCGCGUGGCUGGAAGGUACUCUUCUUGCUCCUUUGAGUUGCUUUUGUUCCGAGAAUUUUUUAUAUGGUAGUGCGAUGACAAUCGUACUCCAUAUGGAGUAGCCCCAGAGCCUUAGGUUGAGUCGAAGAGUCAGGCUUAGGGUCAAUCCUGCUUCUUGGCUGUUUUACUCUUGGUAAUCUGAAAAAGAAAAUUCUGACCAUCGGGUACGGUACCCGCAGCCCCCGAGCACUUAGGCAAUUUUUUUCGUUGAAGUGGUCAAGACCCAUUGAACAGAGUAUCCGUUGGGUGUUUAAGGCAAUUAAUUUGUUUAAAAACCCAUCCGUUGCGUAACUAAUGCUUGGAAUCCGGAGGUGGCGGAGAUAUAAUCGGAGGGCCCCCUUUCAGUUAGGUUUACGCCCCACUGUAGCAGAUCUGUUUCUCUUCUUCCCCCACCUUUCCAUUCCUGUUUUCCUCCACCGUGAUUGUCUAGCGCCGCCGCCACCGUUGCUGCUCCUCUGAGAGAGGUCCGAGGUUGAGUGCAUUUUGCUGCGGGUGAAGCCGGUGGAUGCGCACCAAGAAGAUGGGGAAAAAACCCGAGAAGGCUCAAGGCAAGGCUCCUGCGGCGGGCAAGGUGAAGUCCAAGAAGGGGAAGGAGGUGGUGCUACUGGCGCCGAAGGUAGGGCCGACAAACCAGACUGCGCCGCUGCCGCCUGGAGCGAUGUGGUAGCAUUCGGUGAUGAAGGAGGCGGCCAUUCAGGUGCUUGUCGAUGCCAAACUUCUGCACUCGAAAUAGGUACUCGAGUGGAGGCCUACCUUCGCUGACGCGUGGCAAUUCGAGAAGCAUCCGAAUGAGACGGUUAUGCUUGCUCACUUUGUGGAGAGGGGGUUGGCAGUGCCCACCUCCGACUUCUUCAGAGGUAUUCUUGAGUACUACAAGCUUCAACUUGUACACUUGAACCCCAAUGGUGUACUGCACAUGUCUAUUUUUGUGCACCUUUGUGAAGUUUACUUGGGAGUUCCUCCUAGUCUUGAGAUGUUUAGGAAGUUGUUCCGUAGCAGGCCUCAACCUAGUGCUGUUAGGACAGAGGUCUUUGGGGGCGCUGGGUUCCAGCUCAGGAACUCAGGCGCGUAUAUUGAAUAUAACUUGACUGACUCCCAUGGGAAGUGGAAGAAAAGGUGGUUUUAUAUUGGGAACCAUAACCCUCGCUUGCCGGUGGUCACUGGUCAUGCGCCGAAGCACGCAGAGAAUUGGGUGAGCGAGCCUGAAGAUAGCCCAGAGCUCGAUCACUUAAUUCCCCAGAUUGCUGAGUUGAAGGCACUCGGUUUGACUGGAGUCAAUCUGGCAGCCAGCUUCCUCAAGAGAAGAAUUCAGCCCUUGCAAAAGCGGGCGCACUUGGGUGGGGAGUACUCAGGUUUUAAUGACCCGUCCCGUAUGUCUCCGGAUGAUAUUUCUGAUGAUGAUGUUGAGGCACUGUUGGCCAAGUUCUUUAGGAAUUAUCAAGGAGUACUAGUUAUUCCUUCAACGCUUCGUCAGUUUGAUGCUUGGUAUCAGCCAGAAGUGGUAUGGUCUUUCACUUUGAGUUGUACUUUUUGAACUGUUCGGGAUAUUGUUUGAGUGUCGACUUGCUUUUGUAGUCCCGAGUUCUUACUGGCUACUUGGUGUAGUCGGAAGAAGAAGAAUCUGUUGUUGAGGAGUCAGAGGACGAGCCCUCUCCUCCUGUGAAGAAACGCUGAGUAGUCCGCAAGAUGUCUGCUGCUAAGUCUACCACGACUUCUCCUGAGAAGUCUCGGGGUGCCAAGGUAUGUAGCUGUGUACUCACUUGUAGCUGACGGAUUUUAACUUGUAAUCUUUGAUCACUUUAUCUGUCUUCAAAAGGCUGACGACGCGGCGCUUGGUGACGAUGAGGCUGCUUCGGAUGAAGUAGUCAUGAGCGCCUAGGGUGUUGAUGUUGUGUCUGUUGAGAAGGUACUAGGGAAGGUGCCACCAACAGAUGCUGGAGUAGCCCCCGAGCUGACAGUCCAAGCUCCAUCGGCUACCGCGCUGCCGGUCCCAGACCAGGCAGUCCUGGGUUUGCCUGCUGGAGUGGCGGACGAUGUUGGGAAAGGAGUAUCACCAGUAGUUGCUACUGGUUCUUUGUCGUCCAAGGUGAUUGCUAGUGGUGAGCUUUCUUUCCCGACUGGUUUCGUUAGUCUGAGUUGUAUUUUAGUCUUGACCCUGUGUUUCCCAGGUCUUGGCGAGAAGACAGAGCCAGCAGCUGCUCCCGUGGCGUCGAGUACUCGGCCACCUGUUGCCGAGAAGAAGCGUGUGCGAUUGCCGCCACGAUCAACUCGGUGAGCUGUUUAUCCUUGGUGUGUAUCUUCAAGGUUUCUUCAAGUCGUGUAAUGACUUUGUAUUUUGAUGUAGGGAUGCGGAGGAGACUAUCCCUGUGGAGGCAAGAGUAGAUUCGUGUCCCCCGACUACUCUUUCUGCUCCUUUUGAGGAUUUGACUGUCGACAAAGUAUCCGGAGUUGAUGCUAGUCAUCUUGGAGCGUCCAUGUCUAUGCUUCAAGAAGUGAUCCGCUCGGUGGAAGAUCCCCCUGCUGCCUCGGGUUCUAGGAAUGUAUCCUUGUCAGCGUCUACUGGCGGAGAUUUGGCUGUAAUUGAUGCAGGGAAAUCUAAGGAACCAGCUACCCUAGGUAUGUAUCCGCAGUCUUGGUAUUGUAUUCGUAGUAUUGAGGUGGCUGAUGUUAAUCUCUUAGGUACUGCCUUGGGUGCAGCUCCUCAUCUUGCGAAGAGUACUCAAGGUCCAGUAAUCGGGCUCCCGUCUGAGUCAGAGUUCCAGAGAGCUGUCAAUGUUUUUCAAAGCUUCCAGGUGUGUUUUAUUUACUUAUCUAACAGGUUUAGUAACUAGGGGAGUUGACCGUUUGCUUUGCUGUGUAGGAUCUGUAUGACCAAAUGCAAAGGAACACUCGGGCCCUUCAGGAGCGGAACGAGCAAUUGGAGCAGGAGUGUGUCCGACUUGCGGAAUCCUUGAGGGUUCAUGAAGCUGGAGGGAAAUCCUUUGCUGUGGAGCGGUCAGAUCACGAAGUCUUACAGCAAAAGCUAGAGAGCCGCUACAAGUCUUUGAAUAAAAAGUAUCAAGGUGAGUACUUUUCAUGUUCUGGGUAUGUCCGACUAUUGUCGGUUGUGUUUGAACUUGGCCGUUUUUGCAGAACUCAAGAGGAAGGAGGCUACUGCAAGUAGCCAACUCCUUGAUUGGAGAAACUCGCAUGACCGAGUAGCGGAUGAAGCUGAACAUCUUCAAGCCGCGCUGACAGAGGCACAGGCUGCCUGCGAGCAUCAACGGGAUAGGAAGAUCCAGAAUGGAGUGAUGCUUGCUAUGGCCAUAGUGGUGUGCAGAGACCAUGCCCAGACCGUUGGAAGAUUUUGAAGCGAGCUCCAAGAGUUAACUGAUGCCGCUCAAGACUUGGUGAACGCCAUUGCCCCCUUAGAAGAGGAUGCAGGACCUCAAUCACUAGUCGAGCGCUUCAAGGCUGCUCCGGGUAAGGUGGCAGGCCUCUGCAAGGCUGUUUGCAAAUAGCUCCUUGCUAUGGUAAGGUCAUACUACCCAAGGGCAUAUUUUUCAACGGCUGGUGACAGCGUUGCUCGCAAUUGCACAGAGAAAGCCUAUGCGCAGUACCUCGAGGAGGCGGAACCAAUCGCGUCGAAGAUGUCAGAAUUUGUAUCUCUGGAGGAGCCUUGAGCGUUUAUGUACUCUUGUAAACUUUCGAGUACUUUGAAUGAUAUUGUGUCUGAGAGUUGAACACUUGUCUAUACUUUGUUGUUUGAAGUGGGUCUGACCCAUCAUGGGUAAGGAACGUUUUACUCUAUCUCACCUGACCCAAGGUCCCAUGGAUAGACACGCCCGACCCUAUGAGGAUGGAACUCCGCCUUGCCCGACCCCUUGCCGUAAGGCUUCAUAUCGCCCGACCUCGGGUGUAGGGAGUCGGACUCAACUGGGCCCCCAGGACAAGGAUCCGCUACAGGCACAACCCAGGUUUUGGCAGAAGUUGUUCUGAGGAUUGAGUUUGAGUAGUCACGAUGUAGUCGAGUAACCUUGUUAUUCUGUGAAUAGGAGGUGCACGGGUGUACUGUACUCUUUUGUCCUUCGUGGCAUGAAUGCUUUCACGUGGGCAGUCAGAGAUCAUCCAGACUCAUCGAUCACGGGCGCAUAGUAAAUUCUGGGUGGUUGAUGGUUGCAGCCCUUGGCUAUAAAUAGACCCUCCUGGAGGUCGACCCUGAAUCAAGCUUUGAGUAGCGCUAGAUUGCCUUCGGUUGCUGUUGUUUGAGUGUAGAGAGCCUUCAAAGAGUACACCGGUGCUAGAAGAUUCCUCGUAGGUCCCUGCACAGACUCUAGCGCUCAUAGGGAUAGCUGCGAUGCUAGAAGAAUCCUCGUAGGAGGUUUCAUCGCUGUCGUUUUGGAGUAGCUUUGGGAUCAACAUUUAGAGAGUGUUCGAUCAGCUCCUUGGGCACACCGGGCAUGUCAGCUGGUUUCCAAGUGAUGAUAUCGUGGUUAGCCCAAAGGAAACUGAUGAGCACGGAUUCCUAUUUAGGAUCUAGCCCUGUUCCAAUCAGGGCUGUCUUGGAGGAGUCACCCGUCUGGAGAUCGACUGGUUUGAAGUCUUGCUUGCUUGCGGGUUUCACCUUUGUAGACCCCGACUUGUUUUCUGGGAUCUCGAGUUCGGUUAGAUGGAGUUUCUUUGAAGCUGUGAAGACUUAUUGCAUGGGACUAGGUGUUUGAGAAGUCGCAGCGAUCUCCACGGCUUUAGUGUCGCAUUCAUAGGAUCACCGUAGAUCUCCCCGUAGCGUUAGUUCUCCCUUGGGACCUGGUAUUUUGAGUACCAAGUAAACGUAAUGUGGUAUAGCCAUGAACUUGGCGAGUGCUAGCCUUCCGAGUAUGGUGUGGUAGGAUGUCUCGAAAUCGGCGACUUCAAAUAUGAUAUAUUCGGUGCGGUAGUGUUCCUUAGUUCCAAAGGUAACUGGGAGGACAACUUGUCCAAGUGGUAUAGCUGCAUUUCCAGGUACGAUGCCAUAGAAGGGUGAAUCUGUUGGGGUCAACAUUUCUGUGACGUCGAGGCACAUCUUUCUUAGUGUUUUGGCGAAAAUGACAUGGAGUCCACUUCCACCAUCGAUGAGUACCUUUGUCAGCUUUGACCCUGCCACAAUGGGAUCGAGUACUAGAGGGAAUCGGCCUGGUUCUGAGAAUUUUGUCCACUGGUCUUUUCUGCUGAAGGAUAUGGGUACUUCGAACCAUUUAAGUGGUGUUGGAUCUAUUGGCUCGAUGGCCAUGAUUUUCCUGAGUACGAGUUUGUUGGCUCGCUUGGAUGCAGUGCCUGGGAUUCCGCCAAACAUGACGUUGACUGUCUUGGAGGCGGUCUGGAAGUCGCCUUCUUCUUCGUCGUUGUGGUUGUUCUUGCCCUUGUCCUUUUUCUUGUUGUAUUCUUCAGGGGGUGGUGGUGUGGGUAAGUCUUGCAUGACUUGACGCAUGCUGUAGCAAUCUAUUGCCGAGUGCUUGCUAGUCGGGUGCCAUGGGCACUGCUUUUUGAGUAGCUUGGUGAAGGUUGGCCCUUCAUCGUUUUUACGGGAUCCCUUUUUCCCGGAGUUGGUCAUGGCAGCAACGGUGUUGUCGGGCUUCCUUUUGCGAUUCUGAUUACUCGAAAAGUUAUUUCAAGUAUCAUUGUGCUGAGUUCUAUCUUGGUCAUUGUUGUUGUCGCGUCCUCGGUUGCGAUGAGAGCCAAACCAUUCACGCUCUUUGUCUUCUUCAUCCGCCCACUAUUGCACCAUGACUUUGAGGUCUUUGACGUUAGCUGGUCAUCAUUGACCGAAGUCUUGGUAUGUUCGCCGAUCAUAGGGUCCGUUCUGGAAACACUCGAUGACGUCUGUUUCUGAAAUGUCAACUAUAGUUGCCUUCUUUUCGAAGAAUCAUCUCAAGUAGUCGCGUAAGCUUUCACCUUCUUUCUGCUUUAUUUGACUCAAGUGGAUCUUGUUGCCUGGUCUAGCCAUGGAGCCAGCAUAGUUGUUGGUGAAAGCCUUUGUCAAAUCUGCCCAAGAGUCAAUUGACUUGGGUUUGAGUGACUCAAGCCACGUCAGUGGUUCGGGUUCCAUGCAUAUGGGAAAGUGGAUGACUUUGGUGUCGUUAUUGCCCCAAGCUGCUUGAACUGCUAGCGAGUAGCAUCGUAGCCAUUGAAUUGGGUCUUGUUUGCCAUCAUACUUGGUGAUUCCUGUUAGCUUCAACUUCUUGGGUAGUCUUGUCUUCAUUACCCUAUUUGUGAAAGCAGGAAAGUGGUUGUAGUUGUCGACUUCUCGCUCACGCCAACUGUUGAGUAUUUCUCGUAGAUCACUAAAGUUUGACACUUCGUGUUUCUUCUGAGUAGGGUGAAUACUUUUGUUGGCGCUAGAAAUCAGCCGAUUGAAUCUCUAGCGUCGGACACACGACCCGGGAGAAUCUACUUAACUCCUGUUCCGGUGAUCGCCCUGGUGCGGUUCGCGCGACGUGCCAGCCAAUCUGACCUAUUGAUUGGCACGGAAAGAAACGUGUCAGGUCCUAGAGGUUGCGAUCGGCUAAGGUUCCGAUCUUGAGAGAGCUUAUCAGCGAAUGGGUCGAUUUGCUGUAAUAAAGGAAUCGGCUAUAAUACAGCCGAUUACCAGGCAACAUUGGUAAAGAAAACUGCUAAGAGUAAACUAAACAACGCUACAGUAGCAACACUAGGAAUAGAUCUUAAUCGGCUAUGCAAAAAGUAGUAAAUUGAGCAAUAAGAUAUAAAAAAGCCGACAGUACUAAUUCCAAGCUGGAUAACUGGUGAUAAAACUAGAACAACAGGAAAAACCUAGAAUUCUAGUGAUUAUCGAUAACUGGUGAAUAAAUCUAAACGAAACGACAGCAAUGUGCCCGAAGUUAAAGCUUAGAUAUUACUCGAUAAGAGGAACUUACAGAAUCGGCCGGAGAUCAAGUUGAUGCAGCCCCGCCAACCCGUACGAACUCGUGAAAAGAAGAAAAGUAUUGGCGAAGUCGCCUGCUCGAAAGUAAAGUGCGAGGAAAUAGUAGUUUGUUGUAUUGAUUUGAUGAUGAUUACAGAUCUAUGAAAGCGGCUAUUUAUAGCCAGUUGCAACCAAUCUCUUAACUGACUAGGACUCUAUCUCUAAUUUUAAAUGAAAACAAAUAUUUACAAGCAUAAUUCUUAUCGGAGUUGGUCAUCGUGUUCCCACGGGCCGAUCUCCUUUUUAUCUUCAUAGCUCACUUUAGGCCCAUAUUGGCCCAACUGCUCCAACCUCCCAAUCGGCCAAUUUUCACCAAGUCCAUCCGCCGAAAUACUACAGCACCAAUCGGCCGAUCCUCAAUUGUAGCACCAAUCGGCCGAUUCCCAAUCGUGACCUCCGUGUUUCGCCGCAUAAGUUGAUUCCUUCCCUUCUUGACGUCGAUUUCAUAUGUGUAAAAAUCUGGCGUCAACACAUGCCCCCCAGUUUCGGAGUAAAACAUAAUCUUUACUUCGAAAUUCCUUUCAACUUCCCUUCCGAAACAAUUGCAUUGAAAAUACACUUUCGUUUCGCGGUCUUCUGCCUGAUGAUUGCAAUCUUUUCGAAAUGGGCGCCCACGACAACCACUCCUCCCAAAAAAAUCGAACCGUCGGCGUGGUAAAAAUUCCGCUUUUACCCUUUCUCAGACCGCCCUUAGAUAUCAGUACGUCCCGUACUUCUUCUUCACGAGCCCACGUCUUCCUUCUUUGGCGCACUGGCCUCCUUCUUCCGGCGUCUCUUUAGCCUCUAACCUCUCACUUCGGCGAGUUCUUCCAUCUACAUUCCACCCCACCUUCUCGAUGGCGACACCUUCAGGCACUCCACCAACAUCCGAGGUCCUGGAGACGGCUCCAUCAGCAGUGGCUCCAACAGCAAUGGCGGCAGCUCCAUUGGCAGGAGCAGGAGCUCCAUCGGGCGGGAGCGGGAGCUUCAUCGACGACCACAAUGAGCUUCAUACCAGAGGUUUCUACCAAAACUUUCCUUUCCGCUCCUCUAUGUCGAUGCAUUUACCUUAGAUCUGUUCUUACUUCCCCUUCCAUUCUUUACCUGUUUAGGCGGUUAGGCACAAGAUUACUAUUCGCCUCACCGAAACUCCCGGCCUUAUCUGUCUUGGUCCCAUGGGAAACAUAGAUACAACCGACCUAAUCAAUUUGGAAACCCAUAGGAUCCCUUUCAAGCAAUCAACCAUGGACCUAGAUCACUGGUCAGGUACCUUCAGAUCAUGGCCGAAUGAAACCCCCAGCUGGAGGGAAUGGUACCAAUGGAUAGCCGCCUUAAAAAGAGUUCAAUGGGACGAGCCUUUAGUAAUAGCAGCCUUAUCUUUGUCCCAAAUGGAAAGGAAUGAGCCUUUAGUAAUAGCAGCCUCCUACUUUUGGUCUGAUGCCCUCAACGCAUUCCUCUUAGGACACGGACCUAUGACCCCUACCCUGGCCGAUGUGGUCAUGUGGAUCGGCCUUGAUAUCUCCUCUCCCGAUACUCCUUUCCGUUACUUGGCCAAAACAUCCCAUCGGCUGGAGACGAAAGGAAUCGGCGGGUGGAAAGGAUUCAUCAAGUGCAACAGAAGGGCCGGGACAGUCCAGGAAAGAGAGCAUGCGGCCUUCUUGAUGAUGUGGCUAGAGAAACACCUUUUUUGCGGGAGGGCAGCCGGUCCAUCCACUAACACACAGGCUCUGGCCGAGACACUAUCGAUAGGGGCCUCUGUUCCUCUUGGAAAGCACCUAUUGGGAUCGGUUUACCAUAUGUUGCAUCAGAUCGGCGUCAAGCUAUCCAAAGGAGAGCCGAUUGGAAACCCAGGUGGACCCUGGUGGUUCAUCAACUUGUGGCUUAAUCUGUAUAUUAGCAAGAUCUCCCAGCAGCGAGUGGAGUACAUGACGUUCCCAAACAUCGAAUCGGCAGAGAAUCCCACUGUACGGCGCCGGUGUACUUCCUUCGGUGAAGCGGCAUCGGCCUUCUCCGGUUUCUCAUAUUCUGUUGCCAAGGUGGCCGAAUACUUCAGAUGCUUCUACAAUGGCUUUAGUGAAGACGCAACCAGCUGGUUCCCUUAUCAAAGGGAGGAACCACUCUUCGAGCUCCCGUCCUGUUUUGACUCGGCCACCAGCAAAUUUGAUGAGGACCUCACAGAUGAAUUGAUCAAGCCGGGGAUCCUGCCGGCGAACUUCUUCUCGGGGAAGGAUGCCCCCACUUAUGAGUUUUACCAUCCUUCCGUCACAGCACGGCAAUUCGGCUUGGGUCAACUGCCGAUUUAUGCAUACUUCACCGGCCGAGCAAAAUUUCGAGACGAGCUCACCAAAGGUCUCCACUACUACGAUCGGAUUCUAGACUCCAGCACCAUAGACUUGGCCAGUUGGAUAGUAGCCCCUUUCGCUGUUCAGCAGUUCAAGCUAUGGUGGGUGGAAUGGAAGCAACAUCUAUUCUGCGCCUCUACGGCGAUAUAUUGUAAUCUCCUGAAUCCCGACAACAUCGAUCCGAAUGCCGAGGUAUCGCUCUCUUUCUGGCUGAUUUUCAACUCCUUUUUUUUUAUACUGACUCUUAUUAUUAUUUCAGUCUGAGAGCCAUGCUCCCCCAAAAUGCAGUCGGAGUGGUCGGUCGAUAGAGGACCGUUAUCCAUACACAGCAUUCCCCCUCAUCGGCUAUCACGCCCCCUCCGUUGAUGACAUAGCCGGCCGAGCGAAGCAAGCGCAGAAAAAGAUUAUCAAGAAGACAAGUCGCCGAGUACGCGCCCGCACAGAAUCGGCCGAUCCACCCGUGGUUGCAUCGGCGGAAAUUUCGGCUGCGCCGACCCUUCCAGUCGCUGAAGAAUUUGACCUCCAAGCUGCUACAGAGGCCGGAGCAGCUGCCGCGUCAUUAUGGGUGGAAGCUAUUCAGGUAAACUCACCAUCCAAUUUUCCUAACAGUCAUUUCAAUACUGUCCUUUCCUUUAUUAGGCCGCGCAGACUCCCUCAGCAGAUCCACAGCAAUCUGCAAUGCCCCAAGCAGAAGUUGAAAUACCAGUGCCCCUUCCCGUUGAGGUACAUGAUCUCUCAACUCAAUUCUUUAAUAUUUGAAUGAUGAUCCUACCAACCUUGAUGCAAGUCAUCGGCACAUUAACUAUGCUAUCCGACUAGCCAUCUGCCAGAGAAGUCCUUCAAGAGGCCGGCCCGAGCAGAACGCCGAUCGUUGUCGAAUCCUCUUCUUCCGAUGAGCCAAUGGCACCAGUCCCCGAGUCGAGAGUGGCUGUUCCGCAAACACAGAUGGAGGAGAUCCGUUUCAAAGAGGUGAGAAGUCAUUUGACCCGCAUUGACCGAUUCAUCACCACCAUCGGCUGACUCAUUUUCCUUUUAUUUAUCAUUCACAGGAACAGGACACUCCCAAUAAUAGCCUCUUCUCAUUUGCGGUCGCGCUCUCUGAUGACGAGGAAGUUUCUUCUUGUCAAGUUACUUUGAGCUCCAUCCCCGAUGAUGUCCGCACUAAGCUCGAAAGUAUAUGGUCCCUUCUUCAAGAGGACAUCGGCCGAUUGGUGGAGGACGCCUCGCCGAUUUGGCAGCUCUUUGGUGAUGUCAGCGGGCAAGUCCCAGAGGAAGCAGAAGAAGCCUUAGCGCCGGCCGCUUAUAUCGAGUCGAUGCGGAUCCCGAUCUUCAGGGCUCUGCGUCACAUGGCUGAUAGCGCCAAGCUGGCUAAGACUCAUGAGGAAGAGGACUCGUACAAGCAUCGGGCCCAGGAGGUACACCAUCGGAUUCACUUCCUCGAGAAUUCCCGACCCGGACUCGUCGGCACGAUAGAUCGCCUCAAGCGCCGAAGGGCGGAACAUGCCAAGGAGAUGGAGCAGGUAACCAAAGAAAUAGCUAUUGAAGAGAAGAAGCUUCAGGAACUCCCUUCCGUUAUCGCCGAUUUAAAGCAGGAGAGGCAGCAUCUGGCCCAUGAGGCCCUUAGACUCCAUCGCCAUAUGUCAGAAGUUCCAGGGUCGGCAGAUGAUGACCAACGAGUCUUGGACUCGGCCGAUCAGAUCAGAAGUCGAGCGAUUGCAGCCAUUAACGCCCUUCUGGGUGAUCUGUAAAAGUACUGGCCAUUUUGUACGAACAUUAAUGCCUUUUGACUGUCCUUCGUGGCGCUCUCCUAUUUAUUACCCUUUUUACUCUGACAGGACGCAUCUUACCAAACCUCCGCGCUUCCUCUUAUUAUAAAUACCGGCCCUGGUUUCGCUCUUGAGAAUACCUGCUCCACUCUAUUCCUUUUUCCCCGAUUACGUUUCCAUCGGAACGUUCGUAGUCAUGUCUUCUUCGUCUUCUUCUUUCUCCUCGCCUUCUAUCAAUCAGGUACGAGGUCCGUCUCCGCCCUUUUUUCAGUUUGAUCCCUUUAAAUCAUUCCAACUUUUAGGCGGCUAUGUGCUAACUUUUUCAGCCAAGGCACCUUAGCCCUGAACUCGAAUGAGCAAUCAAACUCGUGCACUCUGACGAGUCAUUGUCGCAAGAGAACAAGGACUUGAUCAAGGCACACCGUGAAGAACUCAGAGAUCACGUUCCUGCCGACGUCCAACGGAUCUGGGACUUCAUCGAUGUCAAUGAUUACGGGAGACCGCAAGUUGACAGGAGCCACCCACUUCCUCUUCCGGUUGUUCUUGAAAACGUCGCGGUAGGGACAUCGCACCCGGUGAUGGAUCGGAGCCAUCCUCUUCCUCGCCAAGUUGAGGCGGAGGCCGCGAUGAGAGAUGUGGCAGAACGAAGCAUUCGCCUUCUGAUAGAAUUAGGUAGGAUUGAGAGGGAACUCAAGAAGAAGCGUAGUUGAGUAUUUUUUGUUCUAAGGACGAAGUGUACUGCGUCGGUCGUGUAAUUCAUCGUUCGUACCGAAUCACAAAUCGGCCAAUUUGAACGAUUAUUUUUCUCCUUUAGGCGAUUUCUUCUCCCGUAUCGGCUGUGUGAUCAUUCAGGGAGCGAUCUUUCUGUCUUAUGUUCCGACCCAUAUACUGGGGUAAUACCUUUUCAAGUACCUCCCGUUUAAGGCCCUAGUAAAUUCUUCUCCUUCGAUCAUUUCCAGAAUGUAAGCGUUUCCCAGGGCACAUCGGCCGAUUCUAUACGGCCCUUCCCAAGUGGGAGACCAUUUACCGAAUUUAGGAUCUUUUGAUCCAAUCGGCAACACUAACUUCCAUACUAGAUCCCCUUGGGAGAACUGCUUGACUUUGACCUUCUUGUCAUACCAUCUGGCCACUUUCUUUUUGUUUUCCUUGAUACUGAUCAAGGCUCUCAAACGUUGGCCCGCCAAAUCGUCGAGUUCCCUAUUCAUGAGCGAGGAGUAAUCAUCGGCCGUCAGCUGAUCUUGAAGCGACGUGCGUCUCGACCCUGUUCUCAACUCCCAUGGCAAUACUGCCUCAUGACCGUACACCAAUUGAUAAGGAGACACCUUGGUAGCCCCGUGGCAGGCCAUCCUGUAUGCCCAUAGAGCUUCGGUUAGACAUAAGUGCCAUUUUUUGGGUUGUUCUUCGAUCUUCCUCUUGAUCAACUUGAUUAUCCCUUUAUUGGAAGAUUUGGCCUGGCCGUUAGCCUGAGGAUAGUACGGGGAGGAAUUUAGCAGCUUGAUUCCCAUAUCGGCCGUGAACUCCUCGAACUCUCCCGACGUGAACAUCGUCCCUUGAUCAGUUGUGAUAGUCUGAGGGAUGCCGAAACGAUAGACAAUAUGAUCCCUCACGAAAUCGACCAUAGCGGCCGAUGUUACGGCCUUUAAUGGAACCGCCUCCACCCAUUUGGUGAAAUAAUCUGUGGCUACCAGAAUGAAUUUAUGUCCUUUACUUGACGGAGGAUAAAUUUUUCCAAUGAGGUCUAUUCCCCAACCUCUGAACGGCCACGGCUUGAUAAUUGGAUUCAUAGCCGACGCGGGCGCGCGUUGCACAUUCCCAUAUUUCUGACAAUCUUGGCUUCCUUUAUAAUACUUGAAACAGUCCUUAAGGAUUGUCGGCCAGUAAUAUCCAUUAUUCCUAAUCAUCCACUUCAUCUUAUGCGCCGAUUGGUGGGCUCCACACACCCCUUCGUGCAUUUCUCCCAUCAGGGUCUUUGCCUCCUCCGUCCCUAGGCAUUUGAGUAGAACACCAUCAAUCGUCCGGUAGAACAAAUCAUUUUCCAAUAACACAUAUUUUUGUGGCCUGAAAUCGUAUUCGCCGAUCCACUUUCUUAGAUGGGUCUUUUAAAUAAUCGGCGAUCUCUUUUCGCCAGCCGUCGGCCGCGAGUUCCAGAAUCAUGGCGCCUUGAAUCGGCCGAUACCCGAACGCGUGCUGAGCCAGCCUGUUGGCUUCUUCAUUGUAAUCCCUGGGGAUAUGCUCAAUAACUGUGGAUUUGAAUUCUUUCAGAAGUUGGAGGCAAUCCUCAUAGUAAACCCUUAAUACAUCAUCUUUGCACUCGGAUCUUCCUAUCAAUUGGUCCACGAUGAGCAUGGAAUCUCCAAAAACAUCGAUGGUGUCGGCCUUAAUUUCUCUUAACAAUUGUAACCCUUUCAGGACAGCCCGGUAUUCCGUCUGGUUAUUAGUGGCGGAUGCUUCUAUCGGUAGAGAGAAAUCAUAGCUUGCCCCCUGAGGUGAUAUGAGAACGAUGCCGAUUCCCGAUCCGGCCCCACAUGAUGAGCCAUCAAAAUAUAAGGUCCACGGUACUGGUUCCACGACAGCGAUUUCUGGUCCGCAGUGUUGGGCGACGAAAUCAGCCAUAACCUGACCUUUGAUGGCGUUUGCCGAUUCGUACCGUAGAUCAAACUCUGAUAAAGCCAAAAUCCACUUUCCGAUCCACCCUUUCAAAAUCGGCAAUGACAGCAUAUACUUUACUACGUCAUCCGUGCAUACAACCACGCAUUCUGCUGAUAACAAGUAGUGCCUGAGCUUGGUGCAUGAGAAGUAAAGACAUAAGCACAGCCGCUCUACCGGGGGAUAUCUUGAUUCGGCGUCCAAAAGUCUUCUACUAACAUAAUAUAUUACCCGUUCCUUUCCUUCGAACUCCUAGACUAGUGCCGAUCCGAUAGCUCGCUCAUCGGCCGAUAAAUACAGCUUGAAUGGCUUACCAGUUUCUGGUGGGACCAAGUACUGCUUGAUGUCUUCUAGUGCCUUGCGUUGCUCUUCUCCCCAUACAAACUCUUGGUUGGGUUUCAAUUUCAACAACGGUGUGAAGGCCUGGAUACGUCCGGAUAGGUUGGAUAUGAACCAGGCAACGUUGGUAAAGAAAACUGCUAAGAGUAAACUAAACAACGCUACAGUAGCAACACUAGGAACAGAUCUUAAUCGGCUAUGCAAAAAGUAGUAAAUUGAGCAAUAAGAUAUAAAAAAGCCGACAGUCCUAAUUCCAAGCUGGAUAACUGGUGAUAAAACUAGAACAAUAGGCAAAACCUAGAAUUCAAGUGAUUAUCGAUAACUAGUGAAUAAAUCUAAACGAAACGGCAGCAAUGCGCCCGAAGUUAAAGCUUAGAUAUUACUCGAUAUGCGGAACUUACAGAAUCAGCCGGAGAUCAAGUUGAUGCAGCCCCGCCAACCCGUACAAACUCAUGAAAAGAAGAAAAGUAUUGGCGAAGUCGCCUGCUCGAAAGUAAAGUGCGAGGAAAUAGUAGUUUGUUGUAUUGAUUUGAUGAUGAUUACAGAUCUAUGAAAGCGGCUAUUUAUAGCCUGUUACAACCAAUCUCUUAACCGACUAGAACUCUAUCUCUAAUUUUAAACGAAAAUGAAUAUUUACAAGCAUAAUUCCUAUCGGAGUUGGUCAUCGUGUUCCCAUGGGCCGAUCUCCUUUUUAUCUUCAUAGCUCACUUUAGGCCCAUAUUGGCCCAACUGCUCCAGCCUCCCAAUCGGCCGAUUUCCACCAACUCCAUCCGCCGAAAUACUGCAGCACCAAUCGGCCGAUUCCCAAUCGUGACCUCCGUGUUUCGCCGCAUCAGCUGAUUCCUUCCCUUCUUGACGCCGAUUUCAUAUGUGUCAAAAUCUGGCGUCAACACAUACAUAAUGAUGGUAUUGUUCCUACUUUCAGGAUGAGGUAUUUACUAUUGAAGCAACAAUAAAUGAAAUUAAUGCAACAUAUGGUUGGUACUACAUCUCAUGUAGUAGAGGCGAUUGUAAGAAGUAACUUGAAAAGAUGUUUGAUCACUACUAUUGCAAUAAAUGUGACAAGAGAGCCUAACCUAAAGCACGGUAAAUUAGUUAGUAGUUUACAAUCUUAUUAUAGUACUUCUAUUUCUAAUAGGAGAAUAAUAUUUGCAGAUUCAAAAUUAAGCUUCAAAUAAGUGAUCCAACAGCAAGUGCAACUUGUGUACUUUUGACAAGGAAGCAGAAAUGAUAAUUAAUGAAUGAGCAGAUUCGAUGAUCACCUCAGUUGAUCAUGAUAAUAAGUAGCUACCAAAAUCAAUUCAGAAAAUAUGUGAAGAAACAUUGAUUUUUCAAUUCAGAUUGACCGAGUACAACUUGACAAGUUUUAGACCUGAUUAUACUGUUUCAAAGAUAUUUUUUCCAAAAGAGAAGAGCAGUUCUAGAAUUGGUAUGGAAAGUGUAAAAAAGGUAACACUUUAUUAUUAAGUUUUUAUUGCACUUUUUUCUUUUGAAUCCUUAAUAUUUAAUAAUUUUACUAUAUCAAUGAAACAAAUUCUAACCUAAAUUUACAACUCAAACAAAUGCUACAUGAUAACUACCGAGAAUGAAGAGGUAGACACUGAUGACUCUUUUACCAAGAAAGUAACAUUCGUAGAAGAAGCCAUAAGGACUGGGGAAAGAUUGGCUAGAAAAGUAUACUCACUUCCAUCUCAGUAUUCAUUCUGUUUACAAUACAUGCAAAAAAAUAUUAUUCAUGCAAAAUUGCAGGUCUACUAAGCAUUAAAGGAAUAGCGGAUAGUGCAAUAUCUAAUUUGAGCAGCAUGCAUUACAAAGUGCUCUACUGCAAUUAAAUUAAAAAACAUGAUAUAUGUUGAAUUCUUAGACUUUAUUAUUAUACUUUUCUAUGUGACAAUUCACAAUUUUUUAGAAAAUAGAAGAUCCCAGAAGAAGUGAUCAUGAAAAAAGGUCUAUGCCCAGCAAUAAGAAAAAAAUGCAAGCAUAGAAACAAAUCCGUAGAAAACAUAGAAAAUAAGGUACUCCAUAAACAAAAGUAUUCUCUUAUAUUUUUAUUAAAUAUUUCUUUAACACUUGACAAGUUCUUUUUUAGGAUCAAUAUAUCAGCAAUUCAGAUGUCAUUGGAGAUGAAAACCUUAGUUCGUCCAAAAGGUCAAAAAAAACAUCUGAAGAAAGGUGUUUGGCUGAAAAGGAAAAGCAAGAAAGUUGUAAUGCAGACAAACACAUGCAGAAAAAUAUAAAAACAUGUAAUAGGGAGGCAGACCAAUCUUGCAAUGAGGUAUAGAUAAAACGUGAUACACGACCUGCCUACCUUGUCGUGGAUACCCCAAGAAGAUGUCGUAGAGGUGCAGACCAAGCUAGCAAGGAGGUCGAAACGUGAUACACGGCCUGCCUACCUUGCCGUGGAUAUUAGCCCUAAGAUCAUUCUACUGUUCAAGGAAUAACACUCAAUGCUGCUGCUGCUGCUGACCUGGCUCCAUAAAGUUAUACUCCUCUAGGUGCUUGCACUAACUUUAUCUGAAGUAUUAUUCUCUCUGCACUGUAUAUAUGGUUAUGGAGUUUGCUGGAGUAUCCGGGGGGAAGAACCUACAUAAUACGUCUUGGAACUAACUGACAUUGAUUCACAGACAAACUCUACAAGGUGCUGUUGUUGCCAUUUUAGAGCAUCCAAAGGACUAUAAAUAACAUAGUUUACCAUAUACCAUAUACCAUAAUAUGUUAGCUAAAAUAAGAGCAUACACAUGUUGCAGGAGUCCAAAAGCACCGGUUGAGGACCAGGUACAUUGAAUUACUAGAAAAAGACAGGGGACAAGGUUUAGGUAACCACAUGAAACAUUUGAAUUUACUGUACCAUGAACACUUAGUUACCAUGCUGGGAGCACAUAGUUAACACUAACAUUUAGCCACUUUAGAUCAUCCCGAAUCACCAAUGACCCUCAAUAGUGACAAAUUUUGGUUUAAAUGCCGUCACCAAUGAUCCUCAAUAGUGACGUAUUUAGGUUUAAAUCCCAUCACUAAUAACCCUCAAUAGUGACCUGUUUUGGUUUAAAUCUCAUUACCACUUAUCCUCAAUAGUGACGUGUUAAAACACGUUAUCUCAAUGGCAAAUCAUUGGUGACGUGUUUUAAAAAAACAUGGCACUGUGAGAGUCAUUGGUGAAGGGUAAUUAAAAUGCGUCACUAAUGUUGUAGCAUUAGUUAUGAUAAUUUAGUAAUGCAAAAAUCUACCAUCAGUAAUGAGCUUUAGAGCCAUCGCUAAUGUGGGUUUCUUACAUAGUGAUGCAAGCUCUACAAGGUGCUGUUGCUGCCAUUUUAAAGCAUCCUAUGACUACAUGUUAAUAACAUACUUUACCAUAUACCAUAAAAAUAUUAGUUACAAUAAGCACAUACGCAUGUGGAAGAGUCCGAAUGCACCGGUUGAGGACUAAACACAUUUAAUUACUAGAACCAAAUGUAUGUCCAGAACAAAGACAGGGGUCAAGGUUUGGGUAACCGCAUUAAAAACAUUGGAUUUUACUGUACAUGAACACUUAGUUACCAUUACCAUGCCUUGAGCACCUAGUUACAACAAACAUUAAUUUAGCCACUUUAGAGCUUCCAGAAUCGCUAUAAAUAAUAUACAUACGCCGUACCAUGAAAACAUCAAGAAGAGAGACGGAUACAUGGACCACCAUCAAGCGAGUACUGACAGCACGCACAAGAAUACCCAGAACCUGUUAGCUUGUCUGUAGUGAUCUGUUUUCUUCCCCAUAAAAUCCAUGAGUAUUGCCACAAAUAAUGAAAGAGGCUGACCAAGCUAGCAAGGAGGUAGAGCAAACGUGAUACACGGCCUGCCAAGAUUGCCCUGGAUACGCCAAUAAGAGCGACAGAUACAUGGAUCACACCAAUAUGGUGAAACGUAUAUUCAUCACACAAGCAAAGCUGGUCAGUUUAUCCAUGGUCAAAUUGUGGUCUUUGUUUUCACUUGAGAGCUAAUUGAGGCACUAUAAUAUGGGCAGGCCUAUCUUCAACAGACAUGACAGCUACAGGGAACUUGACAUAAUUUGCUGGACCGCCUGUGCACAAUUAUUUGUUUUAUUGUCCUUGCAUAGAAUGCUAAAAUACUCUUUACAAAAUGUUGGAUCUAAUAUUUGAAAUAUAGAGUAGUAAUCAUAUAUUGAUCAACAACUUGAAAUUAUCUGUACAUUCUCGGUGAAGCUGUUGAACUAAUUUUUGCAAAUUAUUAAUUAAUUCAUCUCAUUACGUAAAGAAAACAGUAAGUGGAUAAGAUAUUUCGUGGACCACAUCACUGCAAACAUGUCAUGGAGAGACAGACCAAGGAGGCAGGACGUGAUACACGACUUACCCUAGGUUGCCGUGGAACCGCCAAGAAGAGAUACAGAUACAUGGACCACACCAUCUUGGGAGUAGUGACAGCAUAUAUGCAGAAGAAUACCCCGUGCCUAUUUGCAUGCAUGUCUCAAGUGAUCUGUUUUCUUCAGAAAAUACAUGAGCAUUGCCAGAAAGAAUGGCAAGAGACAAACAUGUCGUAGAGACUUGCAUGUCUUGCCUUGGAUACGCCAAGAAGAGGGACACAUACAUGGAUAACACAAAUCUAGUGACACGUAUAUUCAUCACAAAGGCAAAUCUGAUAAUUUUAUCCAUGGAGCAGACCAAGGAGAAAUUGAUGACGGACAUGUGAUCUCUGUAUUCAGUUGAAAGCUAAUUGAGCUACACUAAUAUGAGCAGGACUAUAUUCAAGAGACUUGUUGAGAGCUACAGGGAACUUGUAAUAAUUUGCUGGGCGGCCUGCGCACAAUGAUUUGUUAUACAUAGUUGAAAUAUUUCAAGAAUUUAUCAACCUCGUACUCUGAAACCCUUGGUGCAAUGUACUCUGCUUUCCGAGGUAGACUGUUCACGUAAAAUGAGGUCAUGCGUAAGACGGAAUCGGAUUGGAUUCGCAGGGAAUCAGAUUUGGAUAGCACCUUUUAGCAGGUUUUUAGUCAAAUGCAAAUUCGGAUCCAGAUAUGGUUGAAUGCGAGUUCAAAAUUCUACUUGGAUAUCCAUUUAAUUUAGGUGAUAGCAAUUAGCACAAAAUGUUGGAAGAACAAAAUCAUAGUUAGACAUACAAUUACAUGUAUUGUUAAAGUAUAAUACAAUACACCAAGAUUAUUCCUUGAAAAUAUUUCUUAAAAAUAUUAUAAUAAAUGAAUACCACCAACAAAUAGUCGGUGGUCACUAAGUUGGAGCCAUUUCUGGUUACUAAUGCGGCCUGCUCCUCGACCAGCGACGACAGCUGAGCUUGUUCCUUCUGACACCAAAUCAUCAGAGUUUUCCCUCCACUACUAUAGAAUGCACCUUUAGCACCAAUUGGGAAAUCUCCUUCAGUAUCGGAUGCUGCAACCUAUGCUAUGAAAAUGGAGACUAAAAGCCUCGGUCUUGGGUACCGGUUGCAUGACGCAUUACUAAAGGAGGCAAAAGAGAAAUGUAACAAAAAAAUAUUUUGAAUUCCAAGAAUGUUUCACUAUUCAAGAUGACUAGCUGAGAGUCAUCAGACAAGAUACUAGGAACGUGGGUGCUUGAAUGCCAGGUGCUGGAGCGCGGCGAGGCAGUCGUCGUAGCCCGCCGGGAGCGGGUGCUCGGGCGCGAGGUGGUACUCGACGGAGACACCGAGCGUUGGGCGCGCGGCGGCGAGCGCGUUGAGGAAGUGAUCGUAGUGUGGCGACGUCGCGGACUCCGCCACGAAGCCGCCGCCGUGGAUGUACACCACCACGGGCAGCUUCGUCUUGCCGUCAGCGGCCACGGCCGCGGCCUAGGGUGGCAGGUAGAGGCGGAUGGAGCAGGAGCCGAGGUCGACGUCCCCGGAGUCGACGCCCGUGGCGGCGUCCAGGCCGGGCCUGACCGGCGGCGGCACGAGCGACGCGGCCGCUCUUGUAAAUCCAGCAGGUCUGUGCGGAGGCGGGCGGCGGGUGGGAGCGGCGGCGGGUGGUGCGGAGGCCGGCGGCGGCGGGUGGCGCGGAGGAAGGGGAGCUGGUGAGUGGUGACAGGGGAGGGGGGAGAGAGAGAGGGGGGUAGGGUGCAUUGAAUGAGGGCAGGAGGUGUAAAGUGCACCUUUUAGUCCCCAUAAACAACCAUAAGCAUCCCAAGAGUUGCUUAUUUACUUAUAAUAAGCAACCCCAUAAGCAAGAGUGAUUGGUUUCAUAAGCAACUUAUUUGCUUAUUUUAAGUUGCUUAUGCAUAAGCAUGUGAAACCAAACAGGCCCUUAACCUAUGGUUGUGGCACACAACCAUACAGUAGAUAGUAUUUAAUAAUGCUAUUCGUUUGGUAUGUGCAGAAGGGCACGCAUGAAAUGUCUGGCCCACGGUAAACAAGUACGGACGCUGCAAAUAAUCUACUCUGCUCGUCCAGUCCCUAGCCUAUAAAUAGAUGCCAUGCUAGCUCUUGUUGUGCUCACAAUUAAUCCGAUUACACACGAGCUUCUCUCCCUGGCCAAGACACAAUCAUAGUAUGAUGAAGAACAUGGCACUAGCCGGCAAUGGUAUGAAGAAGUUAAUCCUCGCUGUUCUCUUACUGUGUCUAGUUAUAGGGCAGAUACAAGUGGAAGCUAAGAGCUGCUGCCCAUCCACCACUGCAAGAAAUAUCUACAAUACCUGCCGUAUCACGGGUACAUCCCGUCCAACGUGUGCAAAACUGUCAGGCUGCAAAAUUAUCAGCGGGGACAAAUGCAAGCCCCCUAACGACCACCUCACCCUUGACCCGGACACUGGUAAAUAAUAAAUUUAUCUCACUUGAUUUCUUUGUGUUUUGAGUCGUUAAUGUAUUUUCCAUCUGAUGAAACGUAUUGGUUUUGCAUUGAAGAGGAAGUUAAUGUGCUUAACUUCUGCAAGUUGGGGUGUGCGUCGUCUGUGUGCAACAACAUCAACGCUGGUAAGCACCUUUUGCUCAGACAGAGAAAACAAUAAUCAUUAAUUAGCGGCAGCUAGAAUCCUAUAAUCUAAUAUAUAUAUAUAUAAUUUUAUCAGCUCUGGGAAAUGAAGAGGCGAACGAUGCCGUUGAGAGUUGCGACCAAGCCUGCUCUAGCUUCUGCAACGUGCACGUUGGCGCUGCCACCGUGGUUGCUUAAGCAAAUGCAUCCAACUGGAUCGUCCUUGUGCUGAAUAAUUGGAUAUCGUAUCCACUUAAAGCUGCCUUGUGUAGUACGUCUUUGUUUGUGUCUCUCUUUAUAUUCCAAUAAGGUCGGUGAUCUUGAUGCCACACACUCAGACGUGUGUUCAUCUCCAGAUACUACUCCAUGCUACCUACCCUUUGUGUUUUGUUCAAUAACUGGGUAUCAUAUUCCGGCCAGUGUGCCAUCUGUUUUGUGUUUAUUUCCUUCUAGUUCCAAAGGGGUCAUCAUGAUGUUACCUUCUUUCGAUAUGGUGCUUUGCAUGACUACUGUUGUAUGGUACCAUCUUGUUGGCCAAUAAAUACAUCUUAUCCUAUGACCCUUUGCUAUGACCCUUUGCAAAUAAGUACAAGAUUGUUAAAUACUCGGUAUAAAUUGACUACUGUUGUGAGUUCCCUUUCAGCUUAUUGUAGGCAUACAUUAUUGCUAGCACGGUGAAGACAACCAACACGAAUGAUCAAGUAAACGUACCGGUACUUUUGUAUACCAACACCCUUGCUUAAAUGUACCGGU